RNAcentral lists this long non-coding RNA (167433 nucleotides) under Durio zibethinus. RNAcentral describes it as "long non-coding RNA (DZIB_LNC002431)". Lineage: Eukaryota; Viridiplantae; Streptophyta; Magnoliopsida; Malvales; Malvaceae. The record is from RNAcentral.
AAAAACUCCUCCAAAUCCUUCCCCUUUCUUUUACCGUUUAAAAGAAUUCCAAAAGGUGCCUAAAUAAAAGUGAAUCCCAAACCAAAAACCCACUGCUAGAAGAAAAUCUUUCAUUUUCGUCUUUCGAUUGUUGAUCUAUCUCUGUGGCUAUUUUUUAUGCUUGACUCUAGUUAUUGUGUUUUGAUUAUUUGUUGGAUUUUGUGUUUUGAUUAUUUGUUGGAUUUGGAUUAAUGGUUACUAUUUGGGUGAGGAAAAGUAGUGGUAGGCUUCGGUGUUUGGUUUAGGCAGUGGAUGACCGAUGGUGGUGACUGGCAAUUGGGAGCUAGGCCGAACAAAAUGGGGAUUUGUUUCUGAUUUCCCUUGUGUUUCCCUCUGAUUUUCUCUGCUGAUUUCUUUCUCUGUGAAAUUUUUUUUUUUUUUAGUUGUUGUGAAUUGAAAGUUUUUUUUUAGGUAAGAUCAUGAGAGUUUCAACUCACUUAGGAUUAGAUUUCUUUAAAAUUAAAGAUUAACCCAAAGUAAUUCUAAUCUCAAACUGCUUCUAAUGAAGCUAGCACCUUCACCGAGAUAACAUUAUUUUAAACUUCCAAAUUAUCAAUUUUUUAAAAGAUGAUCAGAUAAUUAAGGAUAAAAUCAAGAUAAAAUACUAUAAUAAUAAGGAUAAAAUAAAUAAGGAUAAAAAGAAUACAAAAAAAUAAAAUAAAAAUCUAAAAUUUAAAAUUCAAUAAUUGGAUUCCAAACUAGUUGAAGUCCAACUGAUUUGGGUCUCGGGCGAAAUAAAAUAUUUAUCUCAAGGAAAAUUGCUCGUAAUAAAAUACAAACCCAAGCUUUAUAAGAGAAAUAUUCAAAUCUUCUCAAGUCAACCAACUUUUGUCUCUCACAUUGUCUGAAAAUCUCAGUCUCUCUCACAUUGUCUUCCUAUAUGGUUGGCCUCAAAUCAAUUGUAGAUGGUUCAAUUUCUCCUCGUUUGCCCUUCUUUUCUAUUCUUUUCCUACUUCAUUUUUCUUUUUUCUUUUUCCUUUUUUUCUUUUCUUUGUUGGCAAUAAGUAUAUUUCACCACCACCACCACCAACAAAUGGCUUGGUCGAUGAGUGCAAGAAGUCAGCCAUCGCUGUCCUCCUUUGAGGCUACCAUUGUAGUGACCAAAAUCUCCACCCUCCUUUGAGACUACCAUUGUAGCAACCAAAAUUCUCAUCCAAAAGAAAGGUAAUGCUAAUUAUGAGGUUUUUAUAUUACCUUAUUUUGGGUUGAUUUUUAGAUUUUGAUUUGUGUGAAAUUGUUGAUAUAUUUACAGUGAAAAAAGAACAAAAAUAAAAUCUUCAAAAUGUAAAUUUUCAAAAUGCAAAACCACAAACAAAAGCUUUGAAUAUUGGUAAAGUUGUUCUAAGUUUGAUAUUUCUUUUAUCAAAAUUUUUGGAUUUGAUAUUAGAUUUAAAGAAAUAUUGAAUUUCAAAGGUUUGGAUUAGUUAUGCAUUUGAUAUUUUUGAUUUAGGAUUUAGGCUUGUAAACUGAGCGUAGCCAUGCUAGUUUUUUCCAACUUCUAACUACAAUUUUGAGUUUCAAACACCUACCAAAUAGUUUCUUCUUUAAGAGAAUGAGCCUUAAGCCAAGCAAUCCUAAUUGAGCCCGUUUUAGACAAUAAAGUCCAAAAUAUUGGAUGAUACAAACUUUAUUCAAACUGAAAAGAUCUUUAAAUAUACUUUAGAUUUAUGGAAUAUUUCCCCAUCAUUUUAGUUCGAUUUAAUGAUUAGUGAAAUAUGAAAAGUUUUCUAAAUAAAAUUGAUUUGUUUUUUUUUUUCUUUCAAAAUUUUAUUUCCAAAGGCAUUAGUUAAUAAAAAUAUAAUUUUAUUUUCAAAAGUUUAUUUUCAAAUAAUUAACUAAAUAAAAUAUGAAAAAAAUUGGAAUUAAUAUAUAUAAUUCGUAUAACUUUUUCUUUUCCUACCUAUUUUUAAUUCAAGUCAAUAGUUAAUAGGAUAUCAAAAGUCUUUUUGAAUAAAAUUUAUUUCUAUUUUUUUAAACGUUUUUUUCAAAUCAUUAAUUAAAAAGUACAAAAAAUUUACAGUAUUUUCAAAUCAUUAAUUUUAUGCCUUUUCCUCUCCCUACCAUUUAUGAAAACAAAAAAAAAAAAAUAGUGAUAUUUCAUGAACAAUUUUUAUUUUAAACCAAAUGACGACAUUUGACAUUUUUCCUUUCAAAGGUUUGUUUUCAAUUUAUUAAAUAAUUCUAUAGAAAAUUAAUAAUUGACAAAUGAAAACAUGAGGAAAUUUAUAGAAAAAUGAUUAGCAAUUGUUGUGCACCAAAACAUUUUAGCAAAAGAAACUAAUUCCUCUAAAAUGAGAAAAAAAUGACGACUUUCUGAAUACAAAAAUAUAAACAAUAUAUUCAUAUGUUCUCACUUGAGCUUACUUAUAUAUUUUAGCUACUCACCAUUUAUUGAAUAAAAAAAUAUUGACACCUUUCAUAGAAUAAAAGUAACAGAAAACCAUUGGCAUGAAGUUACAUAAACUUUGCAUAGUUUAUUUCAAAAUAUGAUUCAAUAAAACUAUAGAUUCCAAAUAAAACAUAUCACUCUAAUGUUCCUCAAUAGAAAAAAAAAAAAAUCAUUGCAACAAAGAUGAUCGGCAUUUCUCAAGAAGGAAACAGCACACGCAUUUGGCCAUGAUUUCAUGAACUUUUAGACAUUCCACGUCAUUGGAAGGUGAACUUCCAAUGCAGCAAACAACACCAUAAAUCUCUCAUCAAAGCUUUAUGCAAUCACAAUAAGAAAGAAACAGCACAAUCUAUUCCACGCUGAAUUCAUAAGUUACAUACUGCAAUAAAGUUACAAAACUUGCAUCAGUUCCCUUUUUUUUUCUUUUUUUUUUUUUGAACAAGAAGCUUGCGUUCAUAUUUUGAAAAUCAAUUUCUAACAUAAUCAAGUGAAAGAAAAAAAGAUGAACUUCAAGAAGCUUGCACCUACCUCUAUUAUUAUUCUUUUUCAUCAUACUUAUUAAANNNNNNNNNNNNNNNNNNNNNNNNNNNNNNNNNNNNNNNNNNNNNNNNNNNNNNNNNNNNNNNNNNNNNNNNNNNNNNNNNNNNNNNNNNNNNNNNNNNNNNNNNNNNNNNNNNNNNNNNNNNNNNNNNNNNNNNNNNNNNNNNNNNNNNNNNNNNNNNNNNNNNNNNNNNNNNNNNNNNNNNNNNNNNNNNNNNNNNNNNNNNNNNNNNNNNNNNNNNNNNNNNNNNNNNNNNNNNNNNNNNNNNNNNNNNNNNNNNNNNNNNNNNNNNNNNNNNNNNNNNNNNNNNNNNNNNNNNNNNNNNNNNNNNNNNNNNNNNNNNNNNNNNNNNNNNNNNNNNNNNNNNNNNNNNNNNNNNNNNNNNNNNNNNNNNNNNNNNNNNNNNNNNNNNNNNNNNNNNNNNNNNNNNNNNNNNNNNNNNNNNNNNNNNNNNNNNNNNNNNNNNNNNNNNNNNNNNNNNNNNNNNNNNNNNNNNNNNNNNNNNNNNNNNNNNNNNNNNNNNNNNNNNNNNNNNNNNNNNNNNNNNNNNNNNNNNNNNNNNNNNNNNNNNNNNNNNNNNNNNNNNNNNNNNNNNNNNNNNNNNNNNNNNNNNNNNNNNNNNNNNNNNNNNNNNNNNNNNNNNNNNNNNNNNNNNNNNNNNNNNNNNNNNNNNNNNNNNNNNNNNNNNNNNNNNNNNNNNNNNNNNNNNNNNNNNNNNNNNNNNNNNNNNNNNNNNNNNNNNNNNNNNNNNNNNNNNNNNNNNNNNNNNNNNNNNNNNNNNNNNNNNNNNNNNNNNNNNNNNNNNNNNNNNNNNNNNNNNNNNNNNNNNNNNNNNNNNNNNNNNNNNNNNNNNNNNNNNNNNNNNNNNNNNNNNNNNNNNNNNNNNNNNNNNNNNNNNNNNNNNNNNNNNNNNNNNNNNNNNNNNNNNNNNNNNNNNNNNNNNNNNNNNNNNNNNNNNNNNNNNNNNNNNNNNNNNNNNNNNNNNNNNNNNNNNNNNNNNNNNNNNNNNNNNNNNNNNNNNNGAUAGUAAAAAAAUUUUUACACUAUAUUACACGCAAAUUGAUUUUCUCCGAACCUUCCAAUAAAGUUUUUGAUUCCACUCUUAGUCACGAUUAUAAUUGAUGUAACACAAAAGGAGCAAAAUUCUAUCCCAUAUUGCAAGCAAUUCUUUAUCCAUUUGGACUUUAGGAAAGGUGCAUUUAAUGCAUCAAAAAUUUUGUCAAACAAACAAAAAAUAAUAAUAAUAAAAAAAAAUAAUAAAAUGGGUGUUUACAGGAUUGAUGCAAUCGAUAGUAAAAAAAUUUUACACCAUAUUACACGCAAAUUGAUUUUCUCCGAACCCUCCAAUAAGGUUUUUGAUUCCACUCUUAGUCACGAUUAUAAUUGAUGUAACACAAAAGGAGCAAAAUUAUGUCCCAUAUUGCAAGCAAUUCUUUAUCUAUUUGACAGACAGUGGCAUACUAUGGGAUGACUGACAAACUAAGACCUCGUUUGGAUUCAAACAAAAGUCAUGUCACGAUAUGUUUGGCCUCAACCGUGCCAUGUACCCCAUUCGGAAGAAGUGGUGUGGCAUCUUUAGAACCUUUUAUUAGCAAAUAUUUUGAUUUUCAAACAUUAAUAUUGACACUGCAACGCAGCAGAUGAAUAAAAAAUAAAAUCACAAUAUAUUUUCAAAAAGAAUUAAUAAAAGGCAAACUAACACAUCUAACUGUACUCUUACCAUUUGUUUUUUUUUUUUUUAAAGGCAAAAUGAAAUAUCAAUGGAGUAAAAUCUUCAUUCCCUGCCUCGCAAGGACGAGCAACAUUUAAUUGGAAUGCGGUCAACGACCCCACUCAACUCUAGAAAAGUCAUAUUUUUACGUAUAAAUAAUUUUUUUUCGUAAUUUUCUUAUUCGACGCCACAAAAAUCGAACAAAAAACUUGAAAUAAGGGGGUCAAAUAAGUAAAAAUUUUAACUUUUUUUUAUGAUGUCAAUGAGUAGUAUAUAUGUAAAAAAAUCUUUAUAAUAAUAUUAAUAUAAAUAUGAUCAUACAUUAAUAAGCUUUAAAAUGUAAUAUGUGGCAUACAAUAAAAUUGAACUUUAAUAACUCGUUCUACAUUUUAUCAUCUUGAACUUUAGUUCUUUAAUUUCCUCUUAUUCAAAAGCCCAAUUUGAAUUUUUUGAAAAAAAAAAAUGGUAUGUUUGAGUCAAUGCUUGAUAUUUAUCUUGAAUUAAUUUUUUCUUUUGGCUUGAUUGAGGUUUAAAUUGUGAGUUGAUUAAAACUUAAGUUGUUGAAUUUUGUAGAUUAUAGGAUUUUUUAUUUUGGGAUAAAUUUGUCUUGUGAUUUAAUGCAAUUUUUUUUUUAAAGUUCAAACAAAAAUAAUGUCUGUAACGUCUCAUUAAGUUUGCUAUUUUUUGCAAUCCCUCUAUUUUGUGGCCACAAUGAACCAUUAAACCAGUGAAUCUAAGUCACACCUCAAUUUCAGUGGAUAAUAUAAGAAAAAACCGAAACUACAAAGAAGUGGCCAUUAUAUCACGUUGCAAUGACUAUUUAAAUCCUUUAAAACCGACUUUACCUGAUGCCAAUUCAGAGUCUUAAAAGGGAUAGGACAUCAUUUUUGGAAUGAAUUAAUUAUUAGUAUGGUUUUUGAACUAAAUUAAAUUGUAUAAAUUGAUAUUUAAACUAAAAAAUUGUAUAAUGUACUCAAAAUCUUUCAAAAUUUGUGGUAAAUCGCAUAUUAGUUCCAACAAAAGGUUUCAAGUUCAAACUUUCUCUGCUCAUCAUACCUAAGAAAAUCCACAAGCACAUAAAUCCUAGAAAGAAUAUUAUAGGCACCCUGCAACCUCUUUCUUUUUCUUUUUUUUUUUUAACUACACUGCAAGCGGGCAACAAAAAAGUGAUUGUGAGAGACCCCAAUUCUUUCCUCACCAUCAACCUGAGGGGAUUGUGACUGGCUUAAAAGUGACCAAAUCAUUGCAUCAUACAAAUUUAGAUUCAUAAUCGAACCGAUGGAAAUUAUGGCUGCAGUUUUAUUUACUCCACUAUAAGCAAAUAGCAUAACCACAUUCCCUUUUCGGUUGGAAUUGCACUGAAAAACUAUUAGGGCUCCUUUGAAAGCAACAGAAGCACUAGAGAGGUGCAGUUCCUAUGGGAGUAUGUGCUCACUGGAGCUUUUUUGCCAAAUGAUGGAAUGGUGCAUUUGUUGAAAUGCCCGUCAUCAACUGCCCAUUUUUGGUCAAGUUGAUGACAGGCCAUAGAUUUUAUUUUGCUUUUCAAUUUUGUCUUUUAAAUUAUAUUGUAAUAUAAAAAAUAUCCUUAUGAUUUUUUUUAAUUUUGAUUUUUAUUUAAAAAUCAUAAAAUAUUUUUUGUUAAUUUAAUUUCAUAAAUAAAUUUUAUUACUUAUUAAUAAAUUUUAUUAUUUAUUAGCAUUUUUAUAUAAUAAAUAAAAUUUAUAAAUAUUAAAUAAUUUAAAAUAUUAAUUAUAUAUAUAUUUUAAUUUAAUGUCUUUAAUAAUCAAUUUAUCUUCUUAUUACAAUUCAUCUCAUUAUCACUAUUGUUUUUGCAUCCAAACAUAUAUCCUAUAACUGAUUUUAAUCUCACCACUAUAAUAACCAAUCUUACCUUCACCACUGUUUUUAAUCUCACUAAAACCAAUCUCACUGUUCAUUCAAAUAGGACCUUAGUUGUAUUCAUGGAGUACACACUUUUUUUUUUUAAAUAGUAGGCAAACCUCCAUGAAACAAGUUGAUGAUUAAAUGCUGCAAGAUGUUAAAUUGGAAUAUAAAGCUAUGGAGCUUGCCAACAAGGUUAGCUAUGGAUGCAGAAUAUUUUUUCAAGGUAUCCACUUAUAUUUAUAAAUAUAAAUUAAUAAUGGAUUUAUCAAUUUUGUCGAUGAAAAAGGUGUCUGGGAAAAAUUUUGGGAUGUCUAAAGAAAAUUUUCCUUCAAAUUUUCUUUUUUUCCAAUCUUUGAGUUGUCCAUGAAAAAUUUUUGUGGGUGUUUAGGAAAAAAUUUUCCUUCAUAUUUGUAGAUCCUUUUUUUUUUCAAGAUGCGAUUAAUCCCUUGAUUCGGGUCUCUUUGAGAUCAUCAAGCCUCGAAAGAGUUCAUGCUUGGGUUUCUUACAUAUUAUUUUGUUUGGGUUUUGGGCUCAGUAAUUGUUAAUUGGAUGCGAGUUUUGGCCCAACUAAUGUUGUAUUAUUAUUAUUAUUAUCAUUAUUACUAUUAUUAUUAUUGUUAUUAUUAUUAUUAUUAUUAUUAUUAUCAUUAUUAUUAUGUUUAUUUAUUUUUACUAAAAAAGGAAAAACGUAAAGGAAAAGGAAAUGAAGGCAAGUUUUUGGUCAACCCCGAAAUCAUGCUCACAAGGAGCUGGAAUUGGAAACAAAAGGCCCUAGAUCAAAUCACUUUUUCAAAGACAAAAAAAUCAAUAGAUUUCACGUGGUAAAUGGGAUUAAAUUUGGCAAGAUUUUGUUAUUCUUGAAACCCUAAUCUAAUCUGACAGAUUUCUUAAAUAAAGUUGUGGGAUUUGAUUAGGAAAAUCCCUAAUUUUUCUUUAAAAAGGAGCCGUAUAAACGUGUUUCCAACCUAAUAUUUUAGCAUACAACAUGGUAAUUGACAGCGUUUGUAAUGACAGGCAGCUAAUUGAGCUUUGAACCUGUUCUCUUAGGUGAAGGUAACGGCAUUCCAUAUGAUGUUUUCACUUAAGUUGCUUGAUUUAUGGAAUGUGUAAUUUAGGUCAAUGGAAGGAGGCUACAAGAUAUUUUGAUCAAAUGGUAGCUACCAAUAUCACACCAAAUGCUGUCACUUAUAAUGUAUUAGUUUAUACACUUUGUUAAAAGAUAUUGUUGAAAAAUUGGUGUGGAAAAGAGUGAAGCCAGCUGUUGUCACAUACUGUUACUCACUGAUAGAAGGAUGUCGUUUGCAAAAGUAAAUGGAUGAAGCUAGGUAAAAGAAUAUUUGUGUUGAUGAUUGACGAGGAUUACUUAAAAUUUGUCUGAUGAAAUUUAUUGAUGUUAUUUUAUUCAAUUUUUAAUUUAAAGUUAUGAAUUUAUUUAAUUAAAAUUAUUACAGAAUGAUAAAUAUUAUUGACAGAAAUUAUUAGAAGUUAUUGCAUUAUCAACAGAAAAUUUCAUUUAUAAUUAUCGAUAAAAUGUUAUUACCAAUUAGCUUGUAGACAAAAUAUUCCUUCAAUAACUGUUUUACUGACCAAAAAUUCCAUUAGAAAAAUCCUAGUUUCAGAUAGCGAGAAUUAUGCAUCUAAUACAUUUUGUUCCGAUGUCAUGAGAGAUGUAAAUUGCGAGAGUAAGAGAUUAAAUGAGACAGUGAAACUCUUUUCUGAUUAGUUAUACUGCUUUGCUAAAUGGGCUAUGUCGAAAAGGACAUAUUCACGAGGCACCGACAUUAGUUAAAGCAAUGCAUAACUGCGGGGUGGAGCCCAAUAUUUUUCACUGUUCAGUCCUAAUUGAUAGCUUUUGUGAAUCCGGUUGCCUUGAUGAGGCAAGGGUCAAAACUUAAGAUCAUUAUACCUUGGUUGUACUGAAGUGCGUAUAUCUAUACUUGGUUUUUGUCAAAAUUCUUGGCUUUGUUUGCUCAAAAUGGAUUGUGCCAUGAGAUCAAGAGCUAGGAGGUCAAGUUUAAAUGGCAUUUGAUUAAGUGCCUUGAAUAGUUUGUUUGGAUAAUGUCAUGAAUUAUUUUUAAAUUAUAUUAAAAUAUUUAAUAUAAUAUUUAAAUUUUAAAAAAUUUUAAUAUUAUUUAAAUUAUAAAUAUAUUAAUUAAUAUAAUAUUUAUCUUUAUCGUCGUUUGUUUUAAAUAAUAAAUAUAAAUAUCUUCCUAAAUGUGAUUAUAAAAUUGGAGGGCUACUCUAAAAUUUAUUUAUUUUCGUUGGCUUUAUUCAAAAUUUGAAGGAAAAUAGGAAUGGCGUGUCCUGGCUUUAUCAUUUACUCUUUUUUUUUUUGUUUAAAUUUUUUAUGAUUGUUUCAAAAUUAUAUUUUUUUAAUUUCUAAAAUUUUUUAUUUUAAAAUUAUUUAUUAUUAUUUAUUUUUCUUUAAAAAUAAAAAAUUAAUUUUAAUAUUAAAUAUAUUAAAAUUAAUUUUUUUAAAAAAUUCCGUAAAAAUCAAUCAUAAUUAUUCUCCGGAGGGAGAUGAUAAUGAAUGGAAUACAAUCAAGCUCGUGUUUUAAUUCAUUGAUCAAUCAUCAAUCUGCUGCACGUGCUCUAUUAGCACUUGUCUUUUAUGUACUGUUUAUGUGACAUGUUUUCCCUUGUUAAGGAUCCAACCAACAUUGUGCCGAUUAUGACUCACUGUCACUUGUAAUUAUCUAUACCCUAUAUAAAAACUGUCGUAACGUCUAGAUCCGGGGAUCUAUCGCUAGACAUUGACUUUCAGGGAGUCGCCACCAAUCUUUUUUAUCUAGGUGCGAUUGGCCACCUAAGGAAUCUGUCCUUUUAGGGAACGCCUCAGUUUAAGAGUCCCUAAAAGAAUAGGUUCAGGUCUACUAACCAGAACAGGGUUCGGGAGUUCGGUUACGUGUGAGGAAGGUUGUAGCACCCUCACAACGCCCAUCAAAAGAUGGUACCAGCUUAAAUUUGUGUUAUCCAAAAGCCUUAAAAUUUUACCAAGUAAUUAGUUGUUGGAAAUGAUUCUCAAUUGACUCUAAUACUUUUAGCAGAAAAUUGAGAAAAUUCCCUCACCUCAGGAGUAUGCAAGAAAAACUACUGUUUCACUUGCAGGGGCUCCGUCGUCGGAUUUAUUAAAGAAAAAUCAAAAUCAUCCAGUUAAUUAUUGGAAAUUAUUCUCAAUUAACUCUAAUACUUUUAGCAGAAAAUUGAGAAAAUUCCCUCACCUCAAGAGUAUGCAAGAAAAACUACUGUUUCACUUGCAGAGGCUCCGUCGUCGGAUUAAUUAAAGAAAAAAAAAUCAAAAUCAGCCAAGUAAUUAAUUAUCGGAAAUUAUUCUCAAUUAACUCUAAUACUUUUAGCAGAAAAUUGAGAAAAUUCCCUCACCUCAAGAGUAUGCAAGAAAAACUACUGUUUCACUUGCAGAGGCUCCGUCGUCGGAUUAAUUAAAGAAAAAAAUCAAAAUCAGCCAAGUAAUUAAUUAUCGAAAAUUAUUCUCAAUUGACUCUAAUACUUUUAGCAGAAAAUUGAGAAAAUUCCCUCACCUCAGGAGUAUGCAAGAAAAACUACUGUUUUUACUUGUAGAGGCUCCGUCGUCGGAUUAAUAAAAAAAAAAAAUCAAAAUCAAAGUCAAAUAAAAAAAAUUCAAAAAAAAAAAAAAAAAAAAAAAAAAACCUGGAGCGGCUCGGCUAUCGGCGCGGCUCGGCUCGGCUCGGCUCAAGGAAGAAAAACCGGCUCAGGGGAGCGGCUUGGAGGCUCGGCUCGGCUCGGCUCGGCUUGGAGGAGGGAAGCACGCGCGGGUCGACGCUCGGGUCGGGUCGGGUUCGGCAAAACGCGCGGAUCCCCUGGUUAACUUAAAGCCAAAACGACGUCGUUUUGGGAGGGUAUAAAAGGCACCUUCCUCCGUUUUUCAGCAGACCGUUCCUCCCCUCUCUCUCUCUUCUUCCCUUCUUCUCUGCCUUCUCUCUAGAAUUUGAAGAACGCCGGUACCGGAUUCUGGAAAUUUAGCCGGAAUCUGGGAAUUUCGCCAGAAAUUGGUCGGAAGUUGGCCGGAUGGUCGCCGGUUUCUGGGAUUCUCCGCCGGAAACUGGGUCUGUCGCCGGAAACUUCAAAGUUCGCCGGAAUUGUUGCCGGAAAAUUCAAAAGUCGCCGGAAUUUUCGCCGGAAUCUGGAAAUUUCCCAGAAAUUUCCAGAAAAUUUUUUCGCCAAAUUUUUCUAAAAAAUUUUUCUCACUGCCAGAACACUCCUAAACUUUUCCUUAGCUCUCUAAACACCCCUAUUCUCUCAAUCAGUAGCUUUUGCUUCUGUUUUCUCUCUGUGUCUGAACUGUUCCAGGAGGUGCUUUAUAUAAGGAUUGAUCAGGAGUUUCUGAUCAAUCCCAAUUCCUCCUUGGACGGGAAUUCAAUCUUUGAAUCCCACUGGACUCUUCUGAUUGAAUUCCCACUUCCAAUGGGAUUCUUCAGCCUUCAAUCUCAGCCCUCAAAAAUCAAAAUAAAAAAAAAACUAGAUAAUUAGAAAAGAAAAUCAAAAAUUAAAAAUAAUAUCAGAUAAUUCGGGAAAAAGAAGAUAGAAUUAACAGAUGAAAAAAAAAAAUAAUAACAAAUAAAAUAAGAUAAACCCAAAAAUAUAUUACACAAAAAAAUAAUAAUAAUAUAUAACUGUAUAAAUAAAAUACAUAUAAAUCUAAUCUGAAUAAAAAUAAAUAAAUAAAUAAAGAUAUACAUAAUAAUAAUAAUAAUAAUAAUAAUAAUAAUAGAAUACAUAAAAUACAAAAGAAGAAAAAAAUAUACAGGAUUGAAAUGGGCCUUACCCAUUUGGGUCAGGCCCAAUUGAUCUGGGCCCGGACCCAAUUGGGUGUCUACAGCUGCCCCUCUUUGCACAUUUUCUGUGAAACAGAAAUUGCGCAAAGACGUAGACACCCAAUCAAGACUCAACUCAACAUUUUUAUUUUUGAUUUUUUUUUGUUUUUAUUUUUUUUUUGAUUUUUUUGAUUUUUUUGUUUUUGUUUUUUUGUUUUUUUUUUGUUUUUUUUUUUGGCCGAAGCUCCUCUAAACAGAGACUCAACGACUUUUGAAAGUAAAUUGCUCCUCUAAACAGAGGCAACGGACUUUGGAAAGUAAAUUGCUCCUCUCAACAGAGGCACCACGACUUUGGAAAAAUAAAUUGCUCCUCUCAACAGAGGCACCACGACUUUGAAAAGUAAAUUGCUCCUCUAAACAGAGGCACCACGACUUUGGAAAAAUAAAUUGCUCCUCUCAACAGAGGCACCACGACUUUGAAAAGUAAAUUGCUCCUCUAAACAGAGGCAACGAACUUUGAAAAGUAAAUUGCUCCUCUAAGCAGAGGUACCACGACUUUGAAAAGUAAAUUGCUCCUCUAAACAGAGGCAACGAACUUUGAAAAGUAAAUUGCUCCUCUAAACAGAGGUACCACGACUUUGAAAAGUAAAUUGCUCCUCUAAACAGAGGCAACGAACUUUGAAAAGUAAAUUGCUCCUCUAAACAGAGGUACCACGACUUUGGAAAAGUAAAUUGCUCCUCUAAACAGAGGCAACGAACUUUGAAAAGUAAAUUGCUCCUCUCAACAGAGGCAACGAACUUUGAAAAAAUAAAUUGCUCCUCUAAACAGAGGUACCACGACUUUGAAAAGUAAAUUGCUCCUCUCAACAGAGGUACCACGACUUUGGAAAAAUAAAUUGCUCCUCUAAACAGAGGUACCACGACUUUGAAAAGUAAAUUGCUCCUCUCAACAGAGGCAACGAACUUUGAAAAGUAAAUUGCUCCUCUAAACAGAGGCACCACGACUUUGGAAAAAUAAAUUGCUCCUCUAAACAGAGGCACCACGACUUUUGAAAAGUAAAUUGCUCCUCUAAACAGAGGCAACAAACUUGGAAAAGUAAAUACUCCUAGACAAUCAUGUCCGGAGGAGUUGAAAGUUGUGUUUGAAGGGAUUUCAAGAGAUUAUGCCCAAAGGUCAUAUAAAUCAACCCUGAUACCAAGAGACAUCCUAUUUCGAGGAUUAGGAACUUACCUGACAAGUUUCUUCUCAAACUUGCAAAGUCUUUUUAUAUCUGUCUUUUUCAUGUGGGAUGUUGGAACACCCCUGCUUCUUGAAUUUGUACACUAUACUUUCCUGAAAGUAGUGUAUGCUAUGCAAAUGCAUAUGAAUUUCAAUGCAUGCUAUGCAAAUGUUGGUCAAUUAAUUCCUGUUCAAUGUAUGGUACUCAAGUUUCUCAAGCUCUUUUUUCUUUCUUGGGUGUCAAGCCCUUUGAUUCCUCAAGGAUCCAAUUGCACUGCUCUUCUAAGAUCGAACCAGUGUAGCUCUUAAUUGUCUCUUCCACUCAGAUUCUUCCUUGUUCUGUUUUUCAAUACUUUGGAAUAAGCUUCAUCAAUCGAUCAUCACUUGACCAUCAUUCAAUGAAUUUCUCAGCAAUAACAAAUUUUCAAAACAAGUUUCAUCCACCAUCAUUGGGUCAUUACUCUGUCUCAGCAUUAACCAUUCAAAAACAAACUCUGUCCACUGAUUGUCUUCAUCAUUCAAUCAUAACUUGCAAGUCAUAUCGAUCAAUUCAUCACUUUUCCAGAUUUGCCCCAUCAUCUCUUUUAGGUUUCUACCAUUUUUUCAUCAUCUUAGAUUUCUUUUCAAAUGAAUGUAAGAUUCUUUUAAGUACAUGUUCAUUCAUUCAUUAUCAUUUCAAAUUUUGACAAAUACAAUGCAAUCAAGCAUUUUCUCAAUUCAUUCUAAGGGUGUAACAAUAAGAGGACAGAAAGUGAAUUAUGGUAAAGAUAAUCAAUGGAGAUUUAUUUUGGUAGAAAAUAAAUGGGAAAGGAAAUAAAUUGGAUGUCAUUGAGGUAAAUGGUAUGUCCAAAUGAUGAAUAUUCAGACCAUUUUCAACAUUAAUCUAGGAUUCUUUUUCAAAAACUCAUUCAUUUACUGUUGAAGUCAUCUUGAGCUUGGCGAACUCUGCCCCAGUCUUUGAGGAAUCUUCAGAUGUCUUUGAUCUUUCAUUCAUGUGAGCCAUUUGACCUGGAUCUUUUUUUUUUUUUUUUUGGUACCAAAAUCACCCUUUCAGGUUUUCAAUUUGGAUCUCUUUUUUCAUUUUUCAUUUUUUCAUUUUUUCUUCUUUCUUUCUUUUUCUUUUUCUUUUUUUUUCAUCAUCUUUUUUUUCUCAUUCUUCACCUAUUAUUGACAUCCUUCAUACAUCAAACUUUUAAGGUAAUGUAGCAUGAUUCCAUUGCUUCAUCAUGAGCAUGCCUUCGCUCAACAUAUGAUCAUUCAAGUUGGGUAUUCACACUUAAUCCAAAUGGACUUUCCAAGGUUGUAAUGUAGGCUAAGGUGAAGGGUCAUAAAAAAAAUGGAUAUAAUAGGCUCAAAACAUGUAUUAAAAAGGUUCAAGACCGAAGGAUCAUUUGAUGCAGCUUGGCAUUUUGCCCCACAUCGUUUCACUAUUUUUUCUUUCCUCACACAAAGGAUUCUCAUUACUUUGCCCCAAGUCAUGUGUGGCAUUUAUUUUUUUCUUUUGCUUUUCUUUCUCUUUUCAUCUUUGAGACCUUUUGUGGUUUUUUUUUUUUUUUUUUUUUUUUUUUUUCAAAAAUUACCCUCCAGUGUAGAGGGUGAUCCUUGGUUGGGGUUCUUCAAAAAAAUGAUAAGCUCAAAGGGGUAGCAAUAAAUGGUUUUUCAAAUGGUAAAAGAAAGAUGGCCAUUUUUCAUCUCAAUUGUGAAUACCUUUCUUGAACAUCAUCUAUUGAACAGAGCUCAUGAACUUGUAUAAAAUAUUGCACACCUUCAAGAUAUAUCUCUUUCAUCUCUGGUGAUGGCUUACCCUCUUUAUUUUCGCUCAAAUCAUCUCCUCUGUGAAUGAGUUCUCAAAAUUAAAUUCCAGAAUUAUUGUUAUCAUUGUCUAAAUAUUCAUCAUCUGAAAUUUAAGAAUGGGAAUGUGAAGUUAUGGAAGGUAACAAAGCAUGGAGUAAUGGUCAAGUGAAAGAGAAAAAUGUAAUGAAAUGCACUGACUUGCCUUUAUUAAAAUGAUAACAAGUGAAGUCAUAUUGCAAAAAAAAUCUAACAUUGUUUGAAAAAAAUCCUAAAAUGACAGAAGAAACCUUCAAACAGCCUUAUCUCCAUUGAUAUCUUGCCCCUCAAUUCAUUGUGAAUCUCCGGAUCCUUUCUGUUCUUGACUUUCGCUCAGUACACUAACAUUAGGUGCUGUUGCUUUUCCUUGAUCAAAACUUACCAUUCCAUCAUUGAUCAACCGUUGCACCUUAUACUUUAAAGCAGUGCAAUUUUCAGUAGAAUGGCCAGUAAUUCCAUAAUGGUAGUCACAACGGGCUGUAGGAUCAUACCACUUUGGAUAGGGUGGUUUAAGUGGUUCCACAUGGCUGGGGGCAAUCAAGUGGCUAUUAUAGAGUUCUCGAUAUAACUCUGUAUAAGUCAUAGGGAUUGGAUCAAAUACAAGUUUUCUCGAGUAGUCCGUUUUUCUCGUGAGCCACUUGUUGGAUGAGUAGGACGAAUUUGGGUUCUUACAGGAGCUUGAAUGUUAAGGCGGUAAGUGGAUGAUAAGAUGGUUGUGGAGCUAGCUGGUAUGGGUAGGAUGAGGCAUUAUUCACAGCAGGAUAGCAUGGAGAGUAACCUUGGGAUGGAUAGGGUUGAUAACCCCGAAUUGUUGUCUAUCAAAGCUCACAGCUUGAGCUUCAGCUUCUUUCUUUUCUGAUGUCUUCUUGGUUUCUCCUCCUCUCACUUGCCAUUUUUUAUGGCACUUUCAAUAAUUUCUCCAGAGAUUACCAUGUCAGCAAAAUUCUUUGUUGCAUUCCCUAUCAUCUUUUCAUAAUAGGGAGGCUUUAAAGUGCUAACAAACAGCACUGUGGUCUCUUUCUCUGUCAGUGGAGGUUGUACCUGUGAAGCAAUAUCCCUCCAUCUCUGGGCGUAUUCCUUUAAAAGACUCAUUUGACUUUUUCUCCAGGUUUUGCAAAGAUAAACGAUCAGGGGCCAAAUAGAUGAUGUGGUCCGAUAUUGGCUGAUGAAAGUCAUGAGCCAUAUCGGCUCCAGGAGCGAAUGUGGGUUUCUAUCCAACUGAACGAUUACCAACCUGCAGCAGAAACCAGUAAGACUAUCCUGAAAGACAUGCAAUCAAGAAGUUUUUCACAUGGUGCAGUGAGCUGCCAUCUUCACUGCACAUACAUUGGUGAUGUGGAGUUUUAGGGCACUUUUGUACCGUCAUAUUUUUCAAAUUUCGGUACUUUGAAUUUAUAAGGGGAUAACCACAUCAGGAACUAAGGCAGAGCCCAGCACAUUCGACUGACCCAUAAACAGCUAAAUCUUCCACCAGCCUUAGCGCUCUUGCUCUAACAUGACUAAUCUUGGGAACUUUCCUCAGCACUCUACUCUUCAUCUUUUCCUUCUCCUUCUCUUUUAAAUUCAAUCUAAGAUCAGGAAUUGGUUCUGCUGCCUUUUCAGUGAAGACAGGAUUUAUAUAGCUAUUAUACUGCCCUGGGUUGAAAGCUGAUGGCAUUCCAGGAUAGGCGAAAUGUUGUGGCGGGACCUCUUGGGCAGACUGGGCUUGAGAUGGGCCAAAACUGGAGGGUACAAAGGGUCAGCUACCUCUUGUAAAUGGGGAACUUGUUGGCUUUGUAUUUCCUUCAACCCCUUUCCCCUUAUUCAUGUUAUUGAGGGCCUCCAAAAUUUUGCUAAGUUCAUUUUCAAUCUUCUCCUGAGCUUUUUUCCUAGCUUUUCAAAUCUAUGAGAACUUUCCUCCUCCAUUUGCCUUGCUCUGGAUCUUGUGUUGUAUGGAUGAGCAAGGUUUUCGCUAGAUGGACGCUAUCCUCGGACCUUGAGUACCAUACUCAUGAAUUAGAAAUGUUAUGCUGUGCCUUAUGUAUGAUGCUUUGAUACACAAAUGAAAUGUACAUUUUUUUGAAUGAAAUCUAGCAUGAAAUGAAUGCAAAUGAUUGUGUUGAAACAUGAUCAUGAAAAGAAUACAGAUACAUACAAUCAGACAAACAACAUAGUUAGUUUCAUGAAUGAAAUGAAAGUAAUGCUGAUGCAUAACAUUACAAAAAAUAAUACACAAAGUUAAGCAAUCAAAAUGAUUAGAUAAACACCUUUUUUGUGUCCUAAUUUCAGGGUAUAUCUAUCAUUGGGUAGAAAGGACUCUAUCCUAGGGUUAGGCACUCUUAAGGUUCACUACAUGUGGUUUUAAAGUCAGAGUCUAAAGGUCCUCAAAUUGUUCCUUACAUCCUUGUCCAUCACAGACUAGUAAGGCACCCUAAUCCUCACCCAUUACAGGCUACAAGCGGAAAAGGUUCAAUUUGAGUGGGAGUAUUUCGCUAGCCACUACGGAGGCAUUAGACCUCACGAAAGCAAUAGGUACUUUACUCCCUCCUAAAGGGACGGAGCUCGGGUAUAGAGCUCAUGUUAUGCAUAUGCACAUGAAUGACAUAAUUAACCAAGCAAAUACACAUAAAUGAAUAAUAACACAUAUAUACAAGAAUGGUUCAAUUUUAUUAGCUUUUGGAUAACACAAAUUAUUUGCUGGCCUGACUCUCAAAGUCCCCAGCGGAGUCGCCAAGCUGUCGUAACGUCUAGAUCCGGGGAUCUAUCGCUAGACAUUGACUUUCAGGGAGUCGCCACCAAUCUUUUUUAUCUAGGUGCGAUUGGCCACCUAAGGAAUCUGUCCUUUUAGGGAACGCCUCAGUUAAGAGUCCCUAAAAGAAUAGGUUCAGGUCUACUAACCAGAACAGGGUUCGGGAGUUCGGUUACGUGUGAGGAAGGUUGUAGCACCCUCACAACGCCCAUCAAAAGAUGGUACCAGCUUGAAAUUUGUGUUAUCCAAAAGCCUUAAAAUUUUACCAAGUAAUUAGUUGUUGGAAAUGAUUCUCAAUUGACUCUAAUACUUUUAGCAGAAAAUUGAGAAAAUUCCCUCACCUCAGGAGUAUGCAAGAAAACUACUGUUUCACUUGCAGGGGCUCCGUCGUCGGAUUAUUAAAGAAAAAUCAAAAUCAAUCCAGUUAAUUAUUGGAAAUUAUUCUCAAUUAACUCUAAUACUUUUAGCAGAAAAUUGAGAAAAUUCCCUCACCUCAAGAGUAUGCGAGAAAAACCACUGUUUUCACUUGCAGAGGCUCCGUCGUCGGAUUAUUUAAAGAAAAAAAUCAAAAUCAGCCAAGUAAUUAAUUAUCGAAAAUUAUUCUCAUAUUAACUCUAAUACUUUAGCAGAAAAUUGAGAAAAUUCCCUCACCUCAAGAGUAUGCAAGAAAAACUACUGUUUCACUUACAGAGGCUCGUCGUCGGAUUAAUUAAAGAAAAAAAUCAAAAUCAGCCAAGUAAUUAAUUAUCGGAAAUUAUUCUCAAUUGACUCUAAUACUUUUAGCAGAAAAUUGAGAAAAUUCCUCACCUCAGGAGUAUGCAAGAAAACUACUGUUUUUACUUGUAGAGGCUCCGUCGUCGGAUUAAUUAAAGAAAAAAAAAUCAAGAUCAAAAUCAAAGUCAAAUAAAAAAAAUUCAAAAAUUCAAAAAAAAAAAAAAAAAAAAAAAACCUGGAGCGGCUCGGAUCGCGGCUCGGAUCGCGGCUCGGCUUGGUGCGGCUCGGCUCGGCUCGACUCGGAGGGGCUGAAACGCGCGGGUCAGAAAGCGGGUCGACGCUUCGGGUCGGGUCGGGUUCGGCAAAACGCGCGGAUCCUCUUAUUAACUUAAAGCCAAAACGACGUCGUUUUGGGAGGGUAUAAAAGGCACCUUCCUCCGUUUUUCAGCAGACCGUUCCUCCCCUCUCUCUCUCUUCUUCCCUUCUUCUCUGCCUUCUCUCUAGAAUUUGAAGAACGCCGGUGCCGGAUUCUGGAAAUUUCGCCGGAAUCUGGGAAUUUCGCCGGAAAUUGGCCGGAAGUUGGCCGGAUGGUCGCCGGUUUCUGGGAUUCUCCGCCAAAAACUGGGUCUGUCGCCGGAAACUUCAAAGUUCACCGGAAUUGUCGCCGGAAAAUUCAAAAGUCGCCGGAAUUUUCACCGGAAUCUGGAAAUUUCCCAGAAAUUUCCAGAAAAUUUUUUCGCCAAAUUUUUCUAAAAAAUUUUUCUCACUGCCAGAACACUCCUAAACUUUUCCUUAGCUCUCUAAACACCCCUAUUCUCUCAAUCAGUAGCUUUUGCUUCUGUUUUCUGUGUUUCUGAACUGUUCCAGGAGGUGCUUUAUAUAGGGAUUGAUCAGGAGUUUCUGAUCAAUCCCAAUUCCUCCUUGGACGGGAAUUCAAUCUUUGAAUCCAAUUGGACUCUCUUGAUUGAAUUCCCAUUCCCGGUAGGAUUCUUCAGCUUCAAUCUUAGCCCUCCAAAAUCAAAAAUAAAAAAAAUACUAGAUAAUAAUCAGAUAAAUCAAAAGAUAUUUAAAAAAAAAAUCUGAUAAUCAGGAAAAAUCAGAACAGAUAAUUAAAAAUAAUAAUAAUAAUAAUAAUAAUAAUAAUAAAAUAAGAUAAACCCAAGUAUAUAUUACAAAAAAAAAAAUAAUAAUAAUAAUAAAUAUAUAACUAUAUACAUAUAAAUCUAAUCUAAUAAAAAAAUAAAUAAAUAUAUACAUAAUAAUAAUAAUAAUAAAAUACAUAAAAUACAAAAGAAGAAAAAGAAAAAAAAAUACAGGAUUGAAUUGGGCCUUACCCGUUUGGGCCAGGCCCAAUUGAUCUGGGCCCGGACCCAAUUGGGUGUCUACAAGUCUUACAGGCUCUGCUACUAGGUGGUAUGUCCAACUGGAUGGAACCUGCAUUCGUUAUUGGAGCGAUAUGGCUCAUAAUUUCAUUAGUCAAUAUCGACAUAUUAUGGAUCUGACUCUUGACCGUUUGUCUUUAUAGAACCUAGAGAAAAAAGCAAAUGAGUCUUUUAAAGAAUAUGCCUAAAGAUGAAGGGAUGUAGCUUCUUAAGUACAACCCUCUUUAACUGAAAAAGAGACUACAAUGCCAUUUGUUCGCACUUUGAAAUCUUUCCAUUAUGAAAAGAUGAUAGAGAAUGCAACCAAAAAUUUUGUUGAUAUGGUAAUUUUGGGAGAAAUUAUUGAGAGUGCCAUCAAGAAUGGUAAGCUAAAAAGAGGUGAAGCAUCCACUAAAAAGAUCCUAAAGAAGAAAAAGACUGAAGCUCAAACUGUGAGCUUUGAUAGGCAACAAUUCAAGGGUUAUCAACCCUACCCAUCACAAGGAUAUGCCCCAUAUUAUCCUGAUGUGAAUAACACCUCUCCUUAUCCAUACCAACCCAUCCCAUAGCCAUCCUACCCACCCUAUAGCCAUCCUACCCACAAACAUACCAACCUUCCUUCAGACCUUCGAAUGCCACAUAUAAUCCUAACACUCAACCUACCUCAAGACCUCAGACCCGUCCAACCAACCCAAUGGGAGGUUUCGAGAGCAACGAACCACUCGUGAAAAGCUUGUAUUUGACCCAUUCUUUAUGACCUAUACAGAGUUAUAUCGUAAGCUUUACAACAAUCAUUUGAUUGCUUUUAGUAAAUUAGAGCCACUCAAGCCACCUUACCCUAAGUGGUAUGAUCCCACAGCUCAUUGUGACUAUCACUAUGGGAUCGCUGGUCACUCCACUAAAAAUUGUACUAUCUUGAAACAUAAAGUGCAACGACUGAUCAAAGAUGGAAUGAUUAGUUUUGAUACAGGAAGGGUAACUACACCAAAUGUUAAUGGCAAUCCUUUGCCUAAUCACAAUGUGAAUGCUCUGAGUAAUGAACAUGAGUGCUAUCUGAAAAAGAAAGUGACAGAUAUUAAUACACCUUUUAGUCAGCUGUUUGAUAUUUUAUGGAAAGGUUACAUGAUACAACCAGUAAGUCUGCACAACUAUCAUGGAGUAAACAUAGCAAGCACUAGUUGUAAAUAUCAUAAUGGGGCAGAUGGUCACUCUAUCGAAACUUGUGAGCAAUUUCACCAAGAGGUGCAACAGCUCUUAGAUUUAUACCAGUUGAAAGUCUAUGAAGAGGGAGAAGUUUCAAAAAAUGUUGAAGUAUCCAUGACAGAUAAACUGCAAAGCUGUUUCCAAAAUCGGUGAUGAUUCAUUUUGGGAAUAAACCAAAGUUAGUCCUAGAUAAACUCAUUCUUAGGCCGGUAACUUUUAAAGUUUCGACUCCAUUCUCAUAUAAGGAUGACAAAGCUAACCCUAGAAAUAUGGUUGUGAUACAGUAGUUUAGGGGUAAGAAGAGAAUAUCUCUAAAGCUGAUGCCUCUAAUAUAACUGGUGAAGGAAGCAUUACCCAAAGUGGAAGAUGUUACACUUCAAAAUUAUUAGAGAAGGCUAGAAAAGAGAAAGCCAAGGUAGGAGAAGAAUGAAAUAACCCUGAAGUGGAACUUGAAGAAAAUCGCCUGAAGUCGGUUUCAGAAAAAGAGGCUUAUGAAUUCUUGAAGUUGGUAAAACAUAAUGAAUAUUCAGUUGCUGAAUAAUUGAACAAAAUGCCAGCAUGAAUCUCAUUAUUAUCACUACUAUUGAAUUUGAAACCACAAAGAAAUGCCCUACUGAAAGUAUUUAACCAAGCAUAUGUGGCACAUAAUGUAUCUAUUGAAUAUGUGAACCACCUAGCUAGAAAUCUAGUCAUGUCGAAUUAUAUUUCAUUCAACGAUGAUAAGAUUUCCUCAGAGGAAAGGGGAAAUGCCAAGGCUUUGCAUAUCACGGUCAAGUGCAAGAGCCAUAUCAUAGCCAAGGUCCUUAUUGAUAAUGGCCCCACUAUCAAUGUCAUGCCUAUGUCAACUUUGGCAAGGCUACCCAUUGACUACUCUCAUAUGAAAGGCAAUCAAAUGAUCAUGAGAGCUUUUGAUGGGACCAGAAGAGAGGUCCUAAGAGAUAUCGAGAUGCCCUCAUAAAUUGGGCCGUGCACUUUUAAUAUGAAGUUUCAAGUGAUGGAUACCUCUCCAUCUUAUAGCUAUUUACUGAAAAGGCCAUGGAUUCACAUGGUAGGUGUUGUGCCCUCUACCUUGCACUAAAAGAUCAAGUUUAAUGUAAAAGGUCAAUUGGUAGUGGUAGUUGAAGAGAAAAACAUGCUAGUGACCCAACCGUUGAAUGCUCCAUAUGUAGAGGUUGUCAAAAAAGUAAUAGAAUACUCCUAUCGAUCUUUUGAGCUAGUUAAUUUUAUAAGUGAAAGACUUAAAAAUUAACUUUUUUCAAGGAUAGUGAUGAGCCAAGUCAUCAAUAAAGGCUGGUAUCCAGGAUUAGGGCUGGGCAAGAACUUACAAAGAAUAAGGGAACCCCCGACAGUGGUAGACAAUAGUGAAAGACUAGGCCUAGGCUAUAGAGUAACAGAAUGGGAGAUCGAGAGAAGGCCAGCAGGUAAAAUAGUAAGACUAAUGAUUAUCCUACACCUGUAUGAGACUUUUAGACCUAGAAGAUUCAUGUACCCAGAUAUAAGAAAAAGCAUGGAAAGAGCUUUUGCCCAGUUAACCAUCCAUGCUAUUGAAGAUGAAGUGGGGCUUAAUCAAGAAGGGUGGGUCCACCUUUAUCUACCAAAUUAUAAGCUAAAUAAUUAGAGUGCCAUUGAAUGCCCUUGACUAUUGAAACUAAUUCAAUGUAAUUGUACAUCCUAAUAGUUAUUGCCUAAGGUAUUGGGGUGAUCUUUCUUGUUUGAGCCAUUUAUCUUUUAUUAUUCUAAUAAAGAUUAGGAAGGAUGCAUUUUCAUUCAUUUUUUCUUGUGUCUUCAUUAUUCCUAUUUUCUAAACACAUCUUGCCAACAUAUCCCAUUUCAUUCAAUUCCAGGUCCUUAAAUGAACAUGAAAAUAAUUAUGAUAACAAUUAAGAGGUUAGUUUUGAUAAUUCAAUUAAUACUAAUGAACUUGACAAUAAAGAGAAUUUUGAGGAAUAUGUUAUGCCUCCGGAACUAAUGAGAUUGAUUGAACAAGAAAAUAAGCCAAUUAAGCCUCAUCAAAAGAUAGUUGACUUAAUGAAUCUGGGAGAUGAAGAGAAUAAGAAAGAUGUCAGAAUUAGCACUUCACUUUCAUCAGGAGAUAGACAACGUUUGGCAAAUCUACUUUAGGAAUUCAUAGAUGCGUUUGCUUGGUUUUACCAAGAUAUGUCAGGGCUGAGCACAGAGAUAGUAGAGCACAGAUUACCCCUAAAGCCAGAAUGUAAGCUAGUCUAGCAGAAACUGAGGUGAAUGAAGCCUAAAAUGCUACAAAGAUCAAAGAAGAGGUGAAGAAAUAGUUUGAUGCAGGUUUUUUACAAUUGGCUUAGUAUCCAAAAUGGGUAGCUAAUAUAGUACCAGUUUCUAAGAAAGAUGAAAAGGUACGAAUGUGUGUAGAUUAUCAUGAUUUGAACAGGGCUAGCCCAAAUGAUAACUUUUCUUUGCCUCAUAUUGACACACUGGUAGAUACACACGGCUAGGUAUUCAAUUUUCUCCUUUAUGGAUGGGUUCUCAAGGUAUAAUCAAAUAAAAAUGGCCGCAGAUGAUAUGAAAAAAACUACUUUCAUGACUAUGUGAGGAAUCUUUUGUUACAAAGUCAUGCCUUUUGGGUUAAAGAAUACUGGGGCAACAUAUCAAAGGGCCAUGGUGACACUCUUCCAUGACAUGAUGCACAAAGAGAUUGAGGUGUACAUGGAUGAUAUGAUUGUAAAAUCUCGUGAAGGUGAAAAUCAUGUCACCAAUCUCAAAAAGCUAUUUGACAGGUUGAAAAAAUUUUAGCUUAAGUUAAACCCAGCCAAAUGCACCUUUGGGGUAAAGUCAGGCAAGUUACUAGGCUUUUGUGGUCAGUGAAAGAGGGAUUGAAGUCGAUCCAAACAAGAUACAGGCCAUUCAAAAUUUGUCACCUCCGAGUGCACCAAAGGAAGUUCGAGGGUUUCUGGGAAGAUUGAAUUACAUUUCUUGGUUCAUCUCUCAGCUUACCUACAAAUGUGAUCCCAUAUUUAGGCAUCUCCGCAAGAAUAAUCCUGGAGAAUGAAAUGAGGAAUGCCAAGUGGCUUUUGAUAAACUUAAGCAAUAAUUGUCAAGUCCUCCAAUGUUGGUGCCACCUGUUCAAGAGAAAUCCUUAACUUUAUACUUGAUAGUGUAUGAGAAUUCAAUGGGAUGUGUGCUGGGGUAGCAAGAUGAGUUUAGUCGAAAAGAGAGAGCUAUUUACUAUUUGAGUAAAAAGUUCACAGAAUAUGAAUCCAAGUAUUCCUCAUUGGAGAAAAUGUGUUGUGCAUUAACAUGGACUACCAAAAGACUCAAACAGUAUAUGCUCUAUCAUACCACAUGGCUCAUAGCAAAAUUGGACUUAAUUAAAUACAUCUUCGAAAAGCUUUCUUUAUCUAGAAGAAUUGUUAGAUGGUAAGUAAUGCUCUCGGAAUAUGAUAUUAUAUAUGUAAGCCAAAAGGUAAUAAAAUGGGGUGCUAUAGCGGAGUUCUUUGCAAAUCAUGCUACUAAAGAAUAUGAACUAAUGAGAUUGGAAUUCCCUGAUGAAGAUCUAAUGACUAUUUCUCAACUAGAGAAGGAGAAACAUUAAGAAAAGCGUUGGAGAAUGUAUUUUGAUGGAGCUGCCAAUGCCUUGGGACAUGGAAUUGGGGUGAUUCUGAUCUCUCCAGAAGAACAAUACUAUCAUAUAACAGUGAGGUUAAAUUUUAAUUGCACAAAUAACAUUGCUAAAUAUGAGGCAUAUGUCAUAGGUUUACCAGCUCCUAUAGAUAGAAGAAUGAAAGCAUUAAAAGUGUUUAGAGACUCAGCUCUAGUUAUAUAUCAAUUGAAAAGAGAAUGGGAGGCGAGAGAUUCAAAACUCGUUUCAUAUCAUAAGUAUAUUUUAGAGUUGAUAAAGCAAUUUGAAAAUAUCCAGUUUAACUAUUUACCUCAAGAAGAGAAUCUAAUUACCGAUGCCUUGGCUACUCUGGCUGUAAUGAUUCAAAUUAAUGAUAAUACUGACAUUCAGUCCAUCAGGCUAGAUGUUAAGGAUAUGCCAGCUCAUUGCUCCAAUGUAGAAGAAAAGAAGGAUAGAAAGUCCUAGUAUUAUGAUAUCUUAUAGUAUAUUAAGGAUUAGUAAUACCCAAUUCAAGCAACAAAAAACAAUAAAAGGGUCAUCCGAAGAUUAGCUAUGAGCUUUUUCUUGGAUGGAGAUGUUUUGUACAAAAAACAUCAUGAUCAAAUAUUACUAAGAUGCGUAAGUAAGGCUAAAGCAAGGAAAAUCAUUGAAAAGGUGCAUGAUGGAAAAUGUGGGGCACAUGCCAGUGGACAUAUGAUGGUGAGACAGAUCAUAAGAGUAGGAUACUACUGGUUGAUAAUGGAGAGUGAUUGCAUUGACUAUGCUCAUAAAUGUCAUAAAUGCCAGAUAUAUGCUGAUAAGAUCUAUGCUCCGCCAUCUGCUUUACAUGUUUUGGCACCACCUUAGCCAUUUUCAAUGUUGGGCAUGGAUGUCAUUGGUCCUAUCACCCCAAAGGCUUCUAAUGGGCAUAGGUUUAUUUUUGUGAUGAUAGAUUACUUCACAAAAUGGGUGAAGGUAGCAUCAUAUGCAAAUGUAACACAAUCUAUGGUUUGCAAGUUCAUAAAGAGAGAGAUUAUCUGUAGAUAUGGAUUUCUGGAGAGAAUUAUUUCAAACAAUGCCAAGAAUCUAAAUAGUAAGAUGAUGCAAGAAAUAUGUGCUUAAUACAAGAUCAAGCAUCAUAAUUCAGUACCCUAUCGUCUGAAAAUGAAUGAGGCAGUUGAAGUAGCUAACAAGAAUAUCAAAAAAAUUCUUGAGAAGUUGACUAAGACUUAUAAAGAUUGACAUGAGAAAUUACCAUUUGCACUGCAUGCAUAUUAAACAUUAGUGCGCACCUCUACUGGGGCAACCCCAUUUUUCUUGGUUUAUGGGAUGAAAGCUGUACUACCAGUGAAAGUCGAGAUCCAUCUUUAAAGGUUCUAAAAGAAGUUGAAUUGGAAGAAGCUGAAUGGAUUCAAGAACGCUAUAAAUAGUUAAAUUUCAUAGAAGAAAAGAGAUUGACUACAUUGUGUCAUGGUCAGGUAUAUCAAAGAAGAAUGAUGAGGGCUCAUGAUAAAAAAGUUCACCCCCGUUGCUUUCGAGAAGGAGAGUUGGUCUUGAAGAGAAUCCUCCCAACCCAGCACGAUAAUAUAGAAAAAUGGACUCCGAAUUGGGAAGGGCCAUAUGUGGUGAAACGAGCUUUUUCGGGUGGAGCACUGAUACUGACUUAGAUGGAUGGAAAUGAUUUACCCCAUCCUAUAAAUUCUGAUACUGUGAAGAAGUACUAUAUUUGAAAAAAAAAGAGAAAAAAUAAAAUGAAAAAUAAAAAAAAAUGAAAAAAGAAAAAGAAAAAAAAAGUGAAUGAAAAUGGAGGAUUCAAGUCAAAAACCCUAAAAGGGUGGUUUGAGUCAUAGGGGGUUUAUUAAGUUGAAAACCUGACAGGUAGCUUAGAUAAGAGAAUCAAAUCAAUUUGAAAAAUCUUGGGCCAUGGAGGCUAGCAAAUUUGGAGGAAUUCUAAGUUAUUAAGUGCAUCAGAUGAUUGGGUUUUCAAAAGAACCUUGAAAUGUGUUAUCAUGAUUGUCUGAUUGUUCAUUUUUGGGCAUUGUCUCCUUAUGCCUAUUUUUGUAAUUCUUUCUUGGCCAAAGUUUGCCAACAUUUUUGCUAAUAAAAGACAUUCUAUUCUUUGUAUGCCUCUUCUGUUGACUGUUUCCUAAUCAUUCUUGCAAUGGAUGAAAUGUAUGAAUACAUUCUUACUUUUUGAUAUUGAAAUAAUGAUUGAUAAAUAAAUAAUAACAUGAAAGACUACUACAUUACAUUGGAAAGGUCAAGAGAAAUAAAAGCAAAUUUGAGAUGUUCAGUUCCUGAUAAGGACAUUGAAUUUGGAAAGAGAUUACCUGUAGAAAGGAUACUAGAAUUAAAUGAAAGAGAUGAUUAAGAGUUACGCUGACUUGGUCUUUGAAGAACAAAUGGUUCGAUGCCCAAGAAAAGAGCUUGAGAAACUUUAGUACCACAAUUGAAUAAGAAUUAAUUAGCCAACAUUUGCAUAGCGUGCAUUGAAUUUCACGCACGUUGCAUAGUAUAUACUACAUUUAAGAAAAUAUAGUGCAUAAAUUCAAGAAGCAGGGGUAUUCCAAAAUCCCACAUGGAGAAGACAGAUGAGAAAACAUUUUCAAAUUUGAGAAAAAGCUUGCCAAGUAAAUUUCUAAUCCUUGAAAUAGGAUAUCUCUCGGUAUCAGGGUUGAUUUGUAAGACCUUUGGGCAUAAUCUCCUAAAAUUUCUUCAAACAUGAUUUUUAACUCCUUUAGACAUGAUUAUCAAUGAGCAUUUACUUUCAAAGUUGUGAUACCUCUGUUUAGAGGAGCAAUUUACUUUCCAAAAGUCAUUGAGCCUCUGAUUAGAGGAGCCUUUUAUUUUUCAAAGUCGUUGAGCCUCUGAUUAGAGGAGCAAUUUACUUUCCAAAAGUCAUUGAGCCUCUGAUUAGAGGAGCCUUUUAUUUUUCAAAGUCGUUGAGCCUCUGAUUAGAGGAGCAAUUUAUUUUCCAAAAGUCGUUAAGCCUCUAAUUAGAGGAGCUUUGUUUAUGUUUCUCAAAGUCGUUGAGCCCUUGCUUAGAGGAGCUUUGAUCAAAAUUUUAACAAAAAAAAAAGAAAAAGCAAAAAAAAAGAAAAAAGGUCGAGCGGAGUCUUGAAUGGGUGUCUACGUCUUUGCACAAUUUUUGUUUCACAGAAAAUGUGCAAAAAGGGGUAGCUGUAGACACUCAAUUUAAUCCAGCCCUGGAUCAAUUGGGCCUAGUACAAAUGGGUAAGCCCAUUUGCAUUUUUUUUAUUUUUUAUUUUUAUUUAUUUAUUUAUUACUGCUAUUAUUAUUUAUUAAUAUAUAAAGAUUAUUUAUCUAUUAACAUAUUUUAUUAUUUAUCCAUUAAUAUAUAUAUUUUUAUUAUUAUUUAUCUAUUCAUAUUUUAUUAUUUAUCUAUUAAUAUAUAUAUUUUUUAUUAUUUAUCUAUUAAUAUAUAUUAUUUAUCUAUUCAUAUAUUAUUAUUUAUCUAUUAAUAUGUAUAUAUAUAUUUUUUUUAUUUUUUAUCUUUUUCUUGAUUGAUUUUCGGCUAGGAUUAGGAUAAAAAAAUUAGAAUUCUACUGUGAAUUUGGGAUUCAAUCAGAGUCCAGAUUGGAUUCAAUGAUUGAAUCCCAAUCCAAGAUGGAAUUGGAAUUGAUUAAAAACUCUUCUGAUCAAUCCCUAUAAAUAGAUCCAUAAAUCAUAAAGAACAAAAGACAGAAACACACACAGAUAGAGAAAGAGCAAAAAGAAAAGAAAAAGAGGUGUUCAGAAGGGUCAAAAGCAAUUUUAGGAAUUUUUUUAAAAAUUUUAGAGAAUUUUAGGUGAAUUUUUUUCUGAAAAAUUUCUAGAUUCCGGUGAAUUUUCGAGCGAAAUUUGAAUUUUUCGAUGACUUUUUUGGCACUGGUUGAAUUUUUUGGUCAGCUACCCAGUUUUUGAUAUUUCCAGAACCAAUCAACUUUUCGGUGAACUUCCGACGAAAAACUUAGAUUCUGACAAUAUUUUUCAAAAUCCGACGAGAUUCAACCAGAGUUCUUGGUUUCUUUAGAGAGAAGAAGGAGAAAAACGGGGAGAAAAGAGAGAAGGAAAGAAGCAGUCUGCUAAAGAACAGAGGUUGGAGCCUUUUAUAGUGCCGUGAAACGUCGUCGUUUUGGCAUUAGUAAACCCACAAGAUCCCCGCGUUUUGCCAAGAUCCAACCUGACCUGAUCGCGACCUGGUCCAAUGACCCGCAUGCUAGCUGAUCCUUGGAGCCAAGCCGAGCCGAGCCGAGCCGAGCUGACUUUCCUAAACCAUGUCUUCGAGCCGCCUUUUCUGUCUUGAGCCGAGUCGUUUCCCAGUCGAGCCGAGCCGUUCCAAAGGUUUUUUAUUUAUUUAUUAUUAUUAUUAUUUCUUUUAUUAUUAUUUAUUAGAUUAUAAUUAUUUAGUAUUCCUUAUUUUAUUUUGUUUUAUUUUUAUUUUAUUUUUUUAAACGAUUUUCUUUAAAUAAAAUUCCAAAAAAAAUAUUUUUGAGGAAAAAGUUGAAAGUAUCAAUAUUUCUUGAAAAUAAGUUUUUUCCUAAAAUAUUUUUAAGGAAAAGUUGAAAAAUAUCAAUUUUCCUUGAAAUAAGUUUUCAAAAAAAUAUUUUCGAAGAAAAAGUUGAAAGUAUCAAUUUUCUUUUACAAAGCACUGAGUUUUUGAAGAGGAAAAGGAUUUAUAUCUAUAGAUGAAUCAUUAUUUUUUCCUUUUAUUAUUAUUUUUUCCUUUUUGAAUUUUCUUUAAUGUUAAAUUNNNNNNNNNNNNNNNNNNNNNNNNNNNNNNNNNNNNNNNNNNNNNNNNNNNNNNNNNNNNNNNNNNNNNNNNNNNNNNNNNNNNNNNNNNNNNNNNNNNNNNNNNNNNNNNNNNNNNNNNNNNNNNNNNNNNNNNNNNNNNNNNNNNNNNNNNNNNNNNNNNNNNNNNNNNNNNNNNNNNNNNNNNNNNNNNNNNNNNNNNNNNNNNNNNNNNNNNNNNNNNNNNNNNNNNNNNNNNNNNNNNNNNNNNNNNNNNNNNNNNNNNNNNNNNNNNNNNNNNNNNNNNNNNNNNNNNNNNNNNNNNNNNNNNNNNNNNNNNNNNNNNNNNNNNNNNNNNNNNNNNNNNNNNNNNNNNNNNNNNNNNNNNNNNNNNNNNNNNNNNNNNNNNNNNNNNNNNNNNNNNNNNNNNNNNNNNNNNNNNNNNNNNNNNNNNNNNNNNNNNNNNNNNNNNNNNNNNNNNNNNNNNNNNNNNNNNNNNNNNNNNNNNNNNNNNNNNNNNNNNNNNNNNNNNNNNNNNNNNNNNNNNNNNNNNNNNNNNNNNNNNNNNNNNNNNNNNNNNNNNNNNNNNNNNNNNNNNNNNNNNNNNNNNNNNNNNNNNNNNNNNNNNNNNNNNNNNNNNNNNNNNNNNNNNNNNNNNNNNNNNNNNNNNNNNNNNNNNNNNNNNNNNNNNNNNNNNNNNNNNNNNNNNNNNNNNNNNNNNNNNNNNNNNNNNNNNNNNNNNNNNNNNNNNNNNNNNNNNNNNNNNNNNNNNNNNNNNNNNNNNNNNNNNNNNNNNNNNNNNNNNNNNNNNNNNNNNNNNNNNNNNNNNNNNNNNNNNNNNNNNNNNNNNNNNNNNNNNNNNNNNNNNNNNNNNNNNNNNNNNNNNNNNNNNNNNNNNNNNNNNNNNNNNNNNNNNNNNNNNNNNNNNNNNNNNNNNNNNNNNNNNNNNNNNNNNNNNNNNNNNNNNNNNNNNNNNNNNNNNNNNNNNNNNNNNNNNNNNNNNNNNNNNNNNNNNNNNNNNNCCACAUUAAUAGAUUUUGGUAAUAGUUUAGCCCAGUUACCAUUUGGGCUAGGAUAUAACAAUAUAAAUAUAAAUACUACUAUAUUAUUUAUCUAUAAUUUAAUUUUAGAUUUAGAUUGAUUUUAAAAUUUUAUGAAACCAUAUUAAAACUGAAAUACUAAUUCAUAUUAGCUUUGAAACCAAACUAAAAUUUUUCAUUCUUCAAACAUUUGCCGUUUUACACCAAAUAAUGCUCAGUUCAUUUUUCAUGUCUCCGCCUUUAAAAAGCUACCUGCUCAAUAAUUUUUAUUGUUAGUAAAUUCAACUUGAUGAGAUAAGAAUUUGCAUCUUUUCAUAAACAUGACAUCAAAAUUAAUGCUAAAAAACUAGGCUCCCAUUUGAAAAAUUUUAGACAAAUAUAAGAGAGAGAGAUCAAUAAAAUAUUAUUUCAAUUCAUUAUUAGUGAAACUUUAAUUUUUUUUUUUCAUUCCUCCAAACCAAUGCUUAUUUAGAACUCAUUUAAUGAAUUUAUUUAUGUUGUGAUUAAAUAUUUGUAAUAAAUUAUUUGUUGUUAUAUAACAUAUUGAAAAUUUGAGUAAGUAACAACACUAAAUAUAAUUAAAUAUCACAAUAAUUUUUUUUUGCUAGGAAUAUAUAUAAUAGGAAUUCACAAUGAUAAAAGUUAUCGUUAUAUAAAAUAUUUUUUAAAAAAAAUCAAUUAAGUAAUGAUUAUGAAAUGUCAUUGCAGAUGUUAUACUAUUUUGCAACAAUAAUUUUUUAUCAUUAGAAAUAUGAUAAAAAUUUUUGAAAUAGCUUUUAUGUCAUUGUAUAAAAAUAUUUAAAAAAUAAAUUAAGCAACGACAUUGAAAAAUCAUUGCAAAUAAAAUAGGUUUUUGCCACAAUACCUUUUUAUCAUUACAAAUAUGAUAAAUUUUUCAUAAUAACUUUUUUUGUUGUUGUAUAAAAUAUAAAAAAAUUACUUAAGCAUCAAUAUUGAAAAAUCAUUGCAAAUAAAACAUAUUUUAGUAACAAUACUUUUUUAUUGUUACAAAUAUGGUAAAAAUGUUGCAAUAACUUUUUUUGUCGUUGUAUAAGACACAAAAAAAUAACUUAAGCAACGAUAUUGAAAAAUCAUUGCAAAUAAAAUAAAUUUUUGCAACAAUAAUAUUUAAUCAUUACAAACAUGACAAAAACUAGUAUAACAACCAUUUUUAUCAUUAAAUAAAAUAUUGAAAAACAACUUAAGCAACGGCAUUGAAAAAUCAUUGCAAAUAAAAUAAGUUUUCACAACAAUUUUUUGUUGUCGUUAUGAAUAGAAGUGUAAUUAACAACAAUAAAAUUUAGUAUUGUAUAAAAUAUUAAAAAGUUCAAUUAAGCAAUGAUUAUAAAGUCAUUGUAAAUAAAACAAUAUUUUGCAAUGAUAUUUUUAGCCCUUGCAAAAUAGAGUUAUCCACUUUCUUCUUGUGUUACCUUGUAAAAUUCAUGAAGAAUAGGGGCUGAAAUCUGGCCAUAAUGAUAUGCAUCUCUUUCCCACUUUGGCUAGAUUAGUAUUUAUCAUCUUGCUUUCUGUGAGAUGUGCUGCUGAUCCUACUUUUUCUGUAUUUGAUAUAGUUCAUGAAUACAAUUACUUAUAUUAACCUUCCUUGAAAGAUAUUGAAAAAGAAGAUUAAUUAACGGAUAAAAUAAUUACUAUUUUCAACUUUCCUGAUUAUUGUUUGAAGAGGAAAUGCCUUAUUUCUUUCAAAGGUCCAUUCAAAUGCAUCUUAAAUGAUGCAUUUUCUAGAAAAUUCGAGUUCAUUGUCCAUGUUUGAACAACAUAUUACGGGAAAGUGUCAAAUUUCCUUAAAUCCAGAUGCUUUGUGAGCUAAAACUUCAAUUUUAUAUCAUAUAUGAUAUCUUCAUUGGAAUACUAUCUAAAGAUGAAUAAAUAGGAAAUUGAGAAGCUUGGAUCUUAAAAAUACUUUUCUCUUAAUAGAGUAGUUAAAUUACUAAAUUGGAGUGCUAGGCACCUUGUUGGCAAGCAUCAUAGCUUUAUGUCCUAGUUCAGUAUUUGCAUUAUUUACUCAACACCUUGUUUCAAGCAAGGUUACUUACUAUAUAACAAAAAAAAAGUGCACUCCAUUAAUACAAUUAAUAGAUUUUCAGUGUAAUUCCAAUAAAAAGGCAAAUGUGAUUAUGAUUAUUUGCUAACACAAAUUGUGUAAAUAAAAUUGCAACCAUAAGUUCCAUAGGUUCGAUUAUGAAGCUAAAUAUGCAUGAUGACAUGAUCUAGUCGCUUUUAAGCUAGUCACAAUCUCCCUAUGUUGAUGCUUGAUAGCACUAAACUUUUGUAUUUUCUUAUCUCAUUUAGUGCAAUUUCUCUUGAAUAUUGGCUUGUUCCUUGUGAAUUUUGGCGAAAAAACUCCUAAAUAUACAAAUAUUUAAUGUGUAGGUGAAAAUAUGGAAAAUGAGGAAUUUUGAAGCUUUUGGACUCCUUUUGGAGGAUUUUUGGUGCAAAAAGCCAUGAAAAGCCAAAACUAGUGUGUUUGUGCUACAUUGCCACUCAUGGAAGUUUUCCUCACCCUUUUUCUCUAUGAUUUUCUUAGCUUAUUUGAGCUUAAUUGAAUUUUAUUUCAAGUUUUAAUUCUCACAUUUUUCAUUUGAAAAUGUCCUUUUUAAUUCAUUAGUUAUUGUUACCUUUGUGGUAGUUUUGCAAGUGUUAGAAAGGUGACUAGUGCACUAGUGCAGUUUGAAGCCAUAUUUGGACUUGUGAAUUUUUCAUAAUUUUUCAUACAUAAAUUUUCCACUAAAUGUUCUGUAUUUGGCAGAAAAUUGAAGAAGAAAUUGGUUACAAUUGAUGCCAAAAUUAUUGGAAGCAAAAUUCAAGCAAGCUUGUUGGAUGCACUUGCUAGGUGAAUAAAGGAUUGUGGUGCCAUUUUGGACAUUCAAAGAAGGAUAAUUGGAGUUGCUUGGUUGGUCAUUUUAAGGCUUCUCAUUAGACAUAAUUUUGACUUUUUAGAGCUCACAAGAUCAAAUGAAGAAAGCUUGAAGUAAAGUGAAGUAAAGAGAAGCAUAUAAGAAAGCUACGAAAGCAAGACAGAUGAGUUGGAAGGAUCUAGACGUUGUGGCAACUUAGCUGGAAUUUUUUUUGCAUUUUGAUUGGUUGAACCACCUCACAUUUGCUUAUAAAUAGGAGGGAAUGGUAAGCCAUUUGGGGAGACUUUCAUAGCAUUUUUCUAUUUUUUUCUAGAAUUUUCAUUUCUUGCAUUUUACUUUAUUUUCUCUCAAGAUAUUUUCCUGCUUGUUCAUUUAGAGGGUUGUUUAGGGGAAAAUUGCAUUUAUUUUUCAGUAAAAUAUACUUUCCUUGCCUUUUAUUUUCAAUGCACUUUAAGAUUCUUUCAAUAAAAGUUUAAGAUUUUUAAGGGGUCGUUAGAUAUUGUUGUGUGUGUUUAUAUUUUAUGUUUCUUUAAAUUUUUUUAUUUUUAAUUUAUUGAAUUUGAAAUCAUGUUUGUAUAAAAUGUUUUUGUUUUAGAAAUAUAAAAACAAAAACAUGGAAAAGAAAGUGGUUAAAGAUUUUAGGCUCCAUUUGUUAUUAAUAAUAUAAUAAUAUUUAUUAAUAUAUUAUUUAUUAAUAUAAUUUUAUUUAUUUAUUAAUAAAUUAUUUUUAUAUAUUAUAAUAUUAUUUAUUAAUAUAUAUUAUUUAUAAAUACUAUAUUAAUUUAUAUUAUAUUAAUAAUAUAUUAUUAAUGUAACAUAUUAUUUAUUAAUUAAUAUAAUAUUAUUUAUAUAAUAUAUAUUGUAGACACCCAAUUUGGUCCAGGCCCGGACCAAUUGGGCCUGGCCCAAAUAGGUAAGUGGGGACACCCAAUUGGGUCCAGGCCCAGAUCAAUUGGGCCUGGCCCAAAUGGGUAUGACCCAAUUCAAUUUGUCCUGUAUUAUUUUAUAUUUUAUGUAUUUUAUUAUUUAUUAUUAUUAUUAUUAUGUAUUAAUAUAUAUUUUUUUAUUAGAUUAGAUUUAUAUGUAUAUAGUUAUAUAUUUAUUAUUAUUAUUAUUUUUUUUUUGUUUGUAAUAUAUUUUUGGGUUUAUCUUAUUUUAUUUAUUAUUAUGUUUUUUUAAAAAAAUUAUUAUCUGUUCUGAUUUUUUCCUGAUUAUCAGAUUUUUUUUUAUACUAUAAUAUCUUUUGAUUUAUCUUUUCUAAUUAUCUAUUUUUUUUAUUUUGAUUUUUAUUUUGGAGGGCUAAGAUUAAAAGUUGAAGAAUCCCACUGUAGAGGGGAAUUCAAUCAAAAGAGUCCAAUUGGAUUCAAAGACUGAAUCCCCAUCCAAGGAGGAAUUGGAAUUGAUCAGGAACUCCUGAUCAAUCCCCAUAUAAAGGACCCCUGGAACAGAUGUAAACACACAAAAAAUAGUGAGCCUGAGCUACUGAUUUGAGGGGAAAAGGCGAAUAGGAGAGUAUAGAAGGCUAAGAAAAGGUUUAGGAGAGUUCUAGGAAUCAUCAGAAAUUUUUUGGGAAUUUUUCGAAAUUUUUUUUUCUGGGAAUUUCUGGAAAUUCCAGAUUCCGGUUGAUUUUUCCGGCAAAGUUUGAAUUUUCCGGCUACAAUUCCGGCCAACCUUGAAGUUUUCGGUGCCUGCCCAGUUUCCGGUGAAGUUUCCCAGAAACCGGUGAUCUUCCGGCCAAUUUUCGGCGAACUUCCGGCAAAAUUUCCAGAUUCCGGCGACAAUUUCCAGAAUCCGACGAAAUCCCACCGGAGUUCUUCAGCCCUUAGAGAGAAGGGAGAGAAAAAGGGAAGAAGAGAGAGAGAGGGGAGGGGUGUUCUGUCGAAAAAUGAAGAGGACUGCCUUUUAUACCCUACCAAAACGACGUCGUUUUGGCUUUAAGUUAAUAGAGGAUCCGCGCGUUUUGCCGAACCCGACUCGACCCGAGCGUCGACCCGCUUCUGACCCGCGCGUGCAUGCCCCCCUCCGAGCCAAGCCGAGCCGAGCCGAGCUUCCCAAGCCGCCCCUCGAGCCGUUUUCUCUUCCUUGAGCCGAGCCGAGCCGAGCCGCGAUCCGAGCCGCUCCAGGUUUUUUUUUUUUUGAAUUUCUUUUAUUUUCAUUUAUUUGUUUUUUAUUUUUUUUAUUUAUUAGAUUAGGUUUAUUUAAUAUUCUUUUUAUCUUUAUUUUGGUUUUACUUUCCUUUAUUUUUUUAUCUUUAUUUAUUUUCAUUUUUUUUAUUAUUCUAUUUUCUUUAAAUAAAAAAAUCAAAAUUUCCAAAAAAAAUAUUUUUAGGGAAAAGUUGAAAGUAUCAAUUUUCCUUAAAAAUAAAUUUUCAAAAAAAAAGAUUUUUGGGGAAAAGUUGAAAGUAUCAAUUUUCCUUAAAAAUCAAAAUUUUCAAAAAAAAAAAAUUUUUAGGGAAAAGUUGAAAGUAUCAAUUUUCCUUGAAAAUAAAUUUCAAAAAAAAGAUUUUUGAGGAAAAGUUGAAAGUAUCAAUUUUCCUUAAUAAAUUUUCAAAAAAAUAAAUUUUUAAGGAAAAGUUGAAAGUAUCAAUUUUCCUCGAAAUCAAAAUUUCAAAAAAAUAUCUUUGGGGAAAAGUUGAAAGUAUCAAUUUUCCCUGCACAAGAAAAAUCCUUCUUUCUUUCUUUUUGAUUUUGAUUUUGAUUUUUCUUUAACUAAUCCGACGACGAAGCCUCUGCAAGUGAAACAAUAGUUUUUCUUGCAUACUCCUGAGGUGAGGGAAUUUUCUCAAUUUUUUGCUAAAAGUAUUAGAGUCAAUUGAGAAUAAUUUCCAAUAAUUAAUUACUUGGUAAAAUUUUAAAGCUUUUUGGAUAACACAAAUUUAAGCUGGUACCAUCUUUUGAUGGGCGUUGUGAGGGUGCUAUAACCUUCCUCACACGUAACCGAACUCCCGAACCUUGUUCUGGUUAGUAGACCUGAACCUAUUCUUUUAGGGGCCCUUAAACUUAGGUGUUCCCUAAAAGGACAGAUUCUUUAGGUGGCCAAUCGCACCUAGAUAAAAAAGAUUGGUGGCGACUCCCUAAAGUCAAUGUCUAGCGAUAGAUCCCCGGAUCUAGACGUUAUGACAUAUAUAAUAAUAUUUAUUAAUAUAAUAUUUAUAUAAUAAAAAUAUUAUUUUAUUAAUAAAAUAAUUGUAACGUCACUAUAGUGGUUUAAUUGUAAUUUUUGUUACUAGUGCUUGUUUGGUAAUAGUGCCACAUUGUUUUCAAAAAACUGAAAACAUCGUUUUUCUAUUUUCAAUAAUUUUCAAAACAAAGCUUUGUUUUCAAUUUUCAAAAAUAGAAAAUAAAAACAACCUACCAAAUAUGUUUUUGUUUUCAAUUUUCAAAAAACCUGAAAAUGAAAACAAAAAAUAGAAAAUAAAAACAAAAACAAACAAUCCUUAAGUUUUCAAGUUCAAUUUGAUGCAUUUUUACUUAUUUCUCAAAUAUGUUUAGCAAUUCAUGUUCUUGAAUUAGCUGUGAUUUUUCUAUUAAAUCUUGAUCAAAUAUUGCUUGUUUCGAGCUAAAUUUUUUUUUUCAUGAAUUUUUUAUUCAUUGUUCUACAAAUUUGAAAAAAAAUUGCAUUAAAAUUCGUUCUACACAAUUUCAGAAAAAUCUGUAAAGUUUCAUUUGAAUCCAAAAGGUGAGCUAGCGCUUGAGUAAGUGACAGCACUUCAAGUUACUUUUCUCCUAGCUAGGUGUUUGGUUUAUAAUUUUCAUCCAUGAAUUGUUAGUUUCUAGAUUUAAGUUCUUGCUUUCGGUUUUGAAUUUCUAGUUGGCAUUCAUGUUUUUGCUAUUUCAAUUCUCCUUCAGUCUUGUUCUGAUUUUCGAUUUCCUUUUGGUUUUGCAAUUUCCAGUUCAAAUUCAUUCAAUUUGCAUUAGCUUAGCUCUACAUUCUUUGUUGAACAUUCAAUUUUCAGAUUUGUAUCUAAGUUUCAGUUUUACUUGUUCUUCAUAGAUCUUGUGUUUUUGUUACUUUAGUUGCAAUUUAAUCUUGAUUUGAUCUGCAAUUGCGUUUUGUUUUUUUAAAUUUCAUUUUGUUUAGAUCAAGUUCUAAGAAUUUUCUAGAAGUUUCUUUUGUUGAAAGUUAGAAGUUAGUUGAGAUAGUUAGUUUUCAGUAAAAAUAAUUUCUUGACUGUCCCAAAACUUUAGCGAAAAUUCAAAAAAUAUUACUACUUAUAAAAUUAAGAAAAAAAUAUAAUCUUUUCACUUUCUUUAAUAUUAUUAUUGUUUUGUCUAUCAAUUUUAUUUUAGAUUAAAAGUUACUAUUUAUUCUUGAUUUUAUUUUUUAUUAAUUUAUUAUUCAUAAUAAUUAUUUAUUUUGUUGCUUAAGUUAAAAUAUAUAUUUUAUAAAAAUAAAUUAUAAAAAUCCUAACAAAAAAACAACAAAAAUAAAAUAAAAUCAUAAAACAAAAAUAAAAUGAAAAAAAGAAAUCUUAUCAAACGAGUCGGGUUAGAAUGCGGGUUGGCCUGUGGGUUGGUACAUUGGCCCGAAUCCCUUAAUUCCAAAACAACGACUUUUUGGGUCAUUAUAAAAGGCCCCUUUUUGGAUUUUUUUCUUAUUUUUCUCUAUUGUUCUAUCUCUCUACAAACUAGAGCCUCUCUUUCUAACAAUUCCUUUUUCCUUGUUGAUAGCUAUGGCAACCCAAAUUUCGGCCAAUUGUCGUUGUGCCAUGGUCAAAAUCUUUAACUAGCAUCAAUAAAUUCAAAAUAUUCCUAGUUCUCAACAAAAUACCUAGAUUUCGAUCAUCGAAAAACUCAUACAACCACCGAAAAAUUUAAAAUUUUCCAAAAUCAAGCAAAGCAAAAAAAAUUUAUUUUAAAAACCCUAAAAAAUCCCAAACUUAUCCCCUUUAUUUCCUAAACACUUUCUCAACUAUUUUAAAAACAAAACAAAAAAAAAAAAAUCCUAAACCACCUAGAUCAAAACCUUUGCUCUUGAUUAAAUUUUUAUUUUUUUACUAACGAUUCCUCCUAUGAGGAUGUGGUGGCUUUGUUUACUAAGUUUUUUCUUUUUUGUGGUUAAAUGUGUUGUUCUAGGCAAAAUGGUCAUUGGCUCCCUUUGUUAGUGUUCUCCUUUAUGAAAAAUUUUUUUUACUUGAUUUCAAAGACUAAUAUGAGAUCAAAUCCUAGAUCAUUAGGGAUAUAGACCCUUAAUUUUUUGCUGCCAACUUAGGCAGAGGUAGGUGAGCUUUUGGGGUGAACAAGAAUAAAGAAAAGACAAAGGAAACAAAUAGAAGAAAAAGACAAAAGACAUAAUAAUAAUAAUAAUAAUAAUAAUAAUGAAAAUAAAAUAAAAAAUUAAAAGUUUUAGUACUAAAAUAAUCUAAUAAACUUAAUUAAGAUACCUGAAUGGAUUUGAAUGAAAUUGGAAUUGGUUUAGAUUUAUUUUGACAAAAUAUUCAAUUUUUUGGAUAAAACAGAUGAUUACAAAGGGUAGAUCUAAGAUUAUUAGGGUUGAUUCUCAAAAUCUAAGGUCAGAUAUGAAACAAAAGCGUUAGGAUAAGUAUACGGUGAAAAUUUAAGGUCAAAAGGUGAUUGAAUGGCACUAACAAGCACGAGUCAAUAACGGCACUAUUUAAUUCUAGCAAAAUGUUGGUAUUAUAUUUUUGUUUGAAAGUUGUGAAAUAUCUUUUUGGAAGUGUUUAUGAACUAAAAAUUUUACUUUUAUAGCCUAAAAUUUUUUUCAAAACGAACCACACUUGGAUCUUGGGUAAUGGCCAACCUAAUUUCACUGAUCUGACCAAAUUGGAAUAUCUCUAGCACUAAACACGGUCGAAAACUCUCUUAGACCUAAAUCGACUAAGAACCACUUUUAACCAGUUGAAUCGUCACAAAUCAAUGACUGGCUCACCAACGAAUUAAGUAAUUUUUAUUUGGCAUUUUUUAGUUUCCGAUUAUUUUUGUAUAAUUCUUUUUUAAAUGAUUAUUUGCUCUACAAAUUUUAGAUUCUAAAUAAAUAUUAUAUCUUUUUAUUUCUUUUUGAAAAAAUAGUGUUAAUGAAAGUAAAAUUUAAAUUUCAAAAAUGGUAAAAUUCAAUUUAUACUAAAUAUAAAAGCAUAAAAAAAUUAUGAUAAAUAAAAAUGAGAAAGGAAAUGUUUUCCAACAAGAGGAUUUUUUUUUUUUAUGAAAGUUUGAGUUGUGAUUUUUAACUAAGUGAAUAAAUUUAUCUAAAAUGUUAUCAAAGUUUAAGGUGUCUAGAAAAAUUUUUAAAAUAAAAGACUUUCCUUUUCUUUUUAAGAAAAAUCAUUAAAUUAAAAAUAAAUAAAUAAUGAACGAAAACAAAUUAGACAAGAUAAUGGGUAAUAAAUAAUAAAAAUUAAUAAGCAAGAUUACCAAGACAAGUAAAAUUACAUGUAUCUCAUAUCUUAUUACUUGUAUUUUACACAUACACAUAUAUAAAUAUAUCUUGAAAAUAAAUGUGAAUUUCCUACGAUGGGAUUCUAAGAAAAUCAGAGUAAUGAUUCUUUAAAAGCAUCUAUAUGAGAAUAAUUUUUUAAAAUACUGCCAAAAUAAUGGAAACUUUAGAAUAAUCUUCAAUAAAAAAUUCUUGUUUACUUUUUAUCUAUUAAAAAAAGAAAGAUAUUAUUCAAAUGAAGUUAUGAGUAUUAACUUUAAUUAUAAAUAUUGAUUUGAAGAUAAAUAUUAGCCUCUAAAAAUGAGAUUAUAAAGAAAUUCAAGUAAUGAUUCCCAAGAAAUUCUCAGGUGAGAAAAUUUAUCUUAAUGUUACCAACAUAUUGAAACAUUUUGAAAAUCUUUCAAUAACAAGGUUUCAAUUUAUUUUUCAAAUAAAAGUAAAAUAAUAAUUUUUACAAAGAAGAAAAAUUUUCAUGAAGAAAAUGAAAUAAAAAAAAUCAAAAUUAUGAUAAAUAAAGGAAGUCAAGGAAAUUAAUUUUAAAUAUCAAAAUUAAAACAACUUUUGUCAAGAUUAAAGGAUAAUGCAUUAUUAAUUGGUAUCAUUCUUAAUAUGGAUGUUAUGGGAUAUUAAUUCUUUCCAACACGUAACUGGACUUUUGAACCAGGCUUUGUUUUUUUAUGCAAAUUCAAAAAUUAUCAUUUCAAAUAAUCUUAAUUAAUUUUAAGAUUUUAUUAAAAAGCUAAGUUUUACUAUGUUACUAAUCACAUUUAGCCAAAAAUAUUAGUGGUGACUCUUUAUAUUUUUUAAUUCAUUUAGUGGCCUUCAAAAUCAACAUGACAACUUCAAAACCUAAAAAUUAACCUAAAAUAAGGUGCUAUAAAAUUCCUAUAAUUAGGAUCAUUUUUCUCUUGGGUAGGGAUUUUUGUCGCUACAAUGGUGAUCUCAAAAGAUGACAGUCAUGGCUUGCUUGUUGUACUCAUUGAUCAAGCCAUCUUGAUGGUGGUGGUGGUGGUGCUGGCAAAAUAUACUUGUUACCAAAAAAGGGUGAAAAUGAAAAAGGAGAAGGAAAAAAACAAAAGAAAAAAAAAAGAUGAAAAGAAUAAAAAAGAAGGGGAAAUGAGAGGAAAUUGAGCCAUCAACAGUGGAUCUAAGGCCACCCAUGAAGGAAGACAAUGUGAGAGAGAUUGGGAUUUUUAGAUUUUCAUUGAUACAAAAAAGAAAAAAGAAACAAAAAACAAAUGAAAGAGAAAAGGGAGCUAUUGUCAACAAGACAAAUGUAACAAGAUAAAGAUCAACAAUAGUGAUAACUGUGAAAAAAGGCUAACGAUGAGAAAAGGUAAUGUGAUGAUUGUAGACACCCAAUUGGGUCCGGGCCCAGAUCAAUUGGGCCUGGCCCAAAUGGGUAAGGCCCAUUUCAAUCCUGUAUAUUUUUUUCUUUUGUAUUUUAUGUAUUCUAUUAUUAUUAUUAUUAUGUAUAUCUUUAUUCAUUUAUUUAUUUUUAUUCAGAUUAGAUUUAUAUGUAUAUUAUUUAUAUAGUUAUAUAUUUAUUAUUAUUAUUAUUAUUAUUUUUGUAAGAUAUUUUUGGAUUUAUCUUAUUUUAUUAUUAUUUUUUUUAAAUUAUCUGUUCUGAUUUUUUCCUGAUUAUCAGAUAUUUUUUUUACUAUAAUAUCUUUUUAUUUAUCUGUUCUAAUUAUCUAUUAUUUUUUAUAUUUAUUUGAUUUUUUUUUUUUGGAAGGUUGAGAUUGAAGCUGAAGAAUCCUACUGGGAGUGGGGAUUCAAUCUAAAGAGUCCAAUUGGAUUCAAAGACUGAAUCCCCGUCCAAGGAGGAGUUGGGAUUGAUCAGAAACUCCUGAUCAACCCCUAUAUAAAGGACCCUUUGGAACAGUUCAAGAACACACAGAAAACAGUCAGCUAGAGCUACUGAUUUGAGAAGCAAAGGCGUAGGGAAGAGUAUAGAAGGCUAGGAAAAGGUUUAGGAGAGUUCCAGAAAUUAUCAGAAAUUUUUUUGGGGAUUUUUCGAGAUUUUUUUUUUCUGGGAGUUUCUGGAAAAUUCCAGUUUCCGGUUGAAUUUUCCGGCCAACCUUGAAGUUUCCGGCUAAAAUUCCGGCCAACAUUGAAGUUUCCGGCGAACUGCUCAGUUUCCGGCGAAGAAUCCCAGAAAUCGGUGAAUUUCCGGCCAACUUCCGGCGAAAAAACCCAGAUUCCGGCGAAAAUUUCCAGAAUCCGGUGAAUCUUCCACCGGAGUUCUUCGGUUUUUUAGAGAGAAGGGAGAGAAAAGGGAAGGAAGAGAGAGAGGGGAGAGGAGCGUUCUGCCGAAAAACGGAGGAAGGUGCCUUUUAUACCCUCCCAAAACGACGUCGUUUUGGCUUUAAGUUAAUCAGAGGAUCCGCGCGUUUUACCGAACCCGACCCGACCCGAGCGUCGACCCGAUUCUGACCCGCGCGUGCCCAGCCCCCCUCCGAGCGAGCCGAGCCGAGCCGUUCUUCCCGAGCCGCUUCUCCGAGCCGUUUUCUCUUCCUUGAGCCGAGCCGAGCCGAGCCGCAACCCGAGCCGCUCCAGGCUUUUUUUUUUUUUUUUGAAUUUUUUUUGAAUUUUUUUUUUUUGAAUUUUUUUUUUAUUUGACUUUGAUUUUGAUCUUGAUUUUUUUUUCUUUUUUCUUUAAUAAAUCCGACGACGGAGCCUCUGCAAGUGAAACAGUAGUUUUUCUUGCAUACUCUUGAGGUGAGGGAAUUUUCUCAAUUUUCUGCUAAAAGUAUUAGAGUUAAUUGAGAAUAAUUUCCAAUAAUUAAUUGGAUGAUUUUGUUUUUUCUUUAAUAAAUCCGACGACGGAGCCCCUGCAAGUGAAACAGUAGUUUUUCUUGCAUACUCCUGAGGUGAGGGAAUUUUCUCAAUUUUCUGCUAAAAGUAUUAGAGUCAAUUGAGAAUAAUUUCCAACAACUAAUUACUUGGUAAAAUUUUAAGGCUUUUGGAUAACACAAAUUUAAGCUGGUACCAUCUUUUGAUGGGCGUUGUGAGGGUGCUACAACCUUCCUCACACGUAAUCGAACUCCCGAACUUUGUUCUGGUUAGCAGACCUGAACCUAUUCUUUUAGGGACCCUCAAGCUUAGGUGUUCCCUGAAAGGACAGAUUCUUUAGGUGGCCAAUCGUACCUAGAUAAAAAAGAUUGGUGGCGACUCCCUGAAAGUCAAUGUCUAGCGAUAGAUCCCCGGAUCUAGACGUUACGACAGCUUGGCGACUCCACUGGGGACCUUGAGAGUCAGGCCAGCAAAUAAUUUGUGUUAUCCAAAAGCCUAAUAAAAUUGAACCAUUUUUGUAUAUAUGUGUUAUUAUUCAUUCCUGUUUAUUUAUCUUGUUAAUUAUGUCAUUCAUGUGCAUGUGCAUAACAUGAGCUCUAUACCCGAGCUCCGUCCCUCUAGGAGGGAGUAAAGUACCUAUUGCUUUCGUGAGGUCUAAUGCCUCCGUAGUGGCUAACGAAAUACUCCCACUCAAAUUGAACCUUUUCCGCUUGUAGCCUGUAAUGGGUGAGGAUUAGGGUGCCUUACUAGUCUGUGAUGGACAAGGAUGUAAGGAACAAUUUGAGGACCUUUAGACUCUGACUUUAAAACCACAUGUAGUGAACCUUAAGAGUGCCUAACCCUAGGAUAGAGUCCUUUCUACCCAAUGAUAGAUAUACCCUGAAAUUAGGACACAAAAAAGGUGUUUAUCUAAUCAUUUUGAUUGCUUAACUUUGUGUAUUAUUUUUUGUAAUGUUAUGCAUCAGCAUUACUUUCAUUUCAUUCAUGAAACUAACUAUGUUGUUUGUCUGAUUGUAUGCAUCUGUAUUCUUUUCAUGAUCAUGUUUCAACACAAUCAUUUGCAUUCAUUUCAUGCUAGAUUUCAUUCAAAAAAAUGUACAUUUCAUUUGUGUAUCAAAGCAUCAUACAUAAGGCACAGCAUAACAUUUCUAAUCAUGAGUAUGGUACUCAAGGUCCGAGGAUAGCUCCAUCUAGCGAAAACCUUGCUCAUCCAUACAACACAAGAUCCAGAGCAAGGCAAAUGGAGGAGGAAAGUUCUCAUAGAUUUGAAAAGCUAGAAAAAGCUCAGGAGAAGAUUGAAAAUGAACUUAGCAAAAUUCUGGAGGCCCUCAAUAACAUGAAUAAGGGGAAAGGAGUUGAAGGAAGUACAAGCCAGCAAGAAGUGGCUGACCCUUUGUACCCUCCAGGUUUUGGCCCAUCUCAGGUCCAGCCUGCUCAAGAGGUCCCGCCAUAUCCUGGAAUACCAUCAGCUUUCAACCCAGGGCAGUAUAAUAGCUAUAUAAAUCCUGUCUUCACUGAAAAAGUAGCAGAACCAAUUCCUGACCUAGAUGCCUUAAAGGAGAAGGAAAAAGAAAAGAUGAAAGUAGAAGCUGAGGAGAGUUCCAAGAUUAGCAUGCUAGAGCAGAGGCUACGGGCUGUGGAAGGAUUUAGCUUUUAUGGGUCAGUAGAUGCUGCUGGGCUCUGCCUAGUCCCUGAUGUGGUUAUUCCCUAUAAGUUCAAAGUACCAAAAUUUGAAAAAUAUGACGGUACCAAGUGCCCCAAAACCCACAUCACCAUGUAUUGCAGGAAGAUGGCAGCUCAUGCUCAUGAUGAAAAACUUCUGAUGCAUGUUUUCCAGGACAGUCUUACUGGCUCUGCCGCCAGAUGGUAUGUUCAGUUGGAUAGGACUCGUAUUCGCUCUUGGAGUGAUAUGGCACACGACUUCAUCAGUCAAUAUCGACACAUUAUCAAUUUGGCUCCUGAUCGUUUGUCUUUGCAGAACCUGGAGAAAAAGGCAAACGAGUCUUUUAAAGAAUAUGCCCAGAGAUGGAGAGAUAUAGCUUCACAGGUGCAACCUCCACUGACAGAAAAAGAGACCACAGUGCUGUUUGUUAGCACUUUGAAACCUCCCUAUUAUGAAAAGAUGAUAGGAAAUGCAACAAAGAAUUUUGCUGACAUGGUGAUCUCUGGAGAAAUUAUUGAAAGUGCCAUAAAAAAUGGCAAGUUGAAAGGAGGAGAAACCAAGAAGACAUCAGAAAAGAAAGAAGCUCAAGCUCAAGCUGUGAGCUUUGAUAGACAACAAUUCAGGGGUUAUCAACCCUAUCCAUCCCAAGGCUACUCUCCAUACUAUCCCGCUGUGAAUAAUGCCUCAUCCUACCCAUACCAGUUAGCUUCACAACCAUCUCAUUUAUCCACUUACCGCCUUAACAUUCAAGCUCCUGUAAGAACUCAAGUUCGCCCUACUAACCCAGCAAGUGGCUCGCGAGAACAACGGACUGCUCGAGAAAAACCUGUAUUUGAUCCAAUCCCUAUGACUUAUACAGAGUUAUAUCGAGAGCUUUAUAAUAGCCACUUGAUUGCCCCCAGCCAUGUGGAACCUCUUAAACCACCCUACCCAAAGUGGUAUGAUCCUACAGCCCACUGCGACUAUCACUAUGGAAUUACUGGCCAUUCUACUGAAAAUUGCACUGCUUUAAAGUAUAAGGUGCAACGGUUGAUCAAUGAUGGAAUGGUAAGUUUUGAUCAAGGAAAAGCAACAACAUUCAAUGUUAACACCCUAAGUGAAAGUCAAGAACAGAAAGGAUCUGGAGAGUCACAAUGAAUUGAGGGGCAAGACGUCAAUGGGGAUUUCUUCACCUGAUCAUAUAGGGGGCUAAUUUUUAAUGGAGAUAAGGCGGGUUGAAAGUUUUUUUGUCACUUUAAGAUUUCUUUUCAAGUAAUGUUGGAUUUCUUUUUGCAAUAUGACUUUACUUGUUAUCAUUUUAAUAAAGGCAAGUCAAUGCAUUUCAUUACAUUUUUCUCUUUCAUUUGACCAUUAUUCCAUACCCUGCUACCCUUCAUAACUUCACAUUCCCAUUCUUAAAUUUCAGAUGAUGAAUAUUUAGACAAUGAUAACAAUAAUUCUGGGAUUUAAUUUUGAGAACUCAUCCACAUUAAUAUGAGAAGAUGAUUUGAACAGAAGUAAGCUAUUACUGGAGGAGAAACAGAUAUGUCUUGAAGAUGUGUAAUCUUUUAUACAGAUUCAUGAGCUUUGUUCAAUAGAUGAUGUUCAAGAAAGGUAUUCACAAUUGAGAUGAAAAAUGGCCACCUUUCUUUUACCAUUGGAAAAACCAUUUAUUGCUACCCCUUUGAGCCAAUCAUGAUUUUUUUUCUUGAAGAACCCCAACCAAGGAUCACCCUCUACACUGGAGGGUAAUUUUUGAAAAAAAAAAAAAAAAAAAAAACACCACAAAAGGUCUCAAAAAUGAAAAAAAAAAGAAAAAACAAAUGCCACACAUGACUUGGGGCAAAGUAAUGAGAAUCCUUUGUGUGAUGAAAGAAAAAAGUAGUGAAAUGAUGUGGGGGCAAAAUGCCAGGCUGCAUCAAAUGAUCCUUUGGUUUUGAACCUUUUUAAUACAUGUUUUGAGCCUAUUAUAUCCAUUUCUUUUAUGACCCUUCCCCUUGGCCUACGUUACAACCUUGAAAAGUCCAUUUGGAUCAAGUGUGAAUACUCAACUUGAAUGAUCAUAUGUUGAGCGAAGGUAUGCUCAUGAGGAAGCAAUGAAAUCAUGGUCUAAAGUUGGACGUAUGAAAGAUAUCAACAAUGGAUGAAAAAAAAUGAUGAAAAAAAAAAGAAAAAAAAAAGGAAAAAAAAAGAAAAAAUGAAAAAAAAAAGAAGGAAAAAAAGAGAAAAUAAAAAAAAGAGAUUCAAAUUGAAAACCUGAAAGGGUGAUUUUAGUAAAAAAAAAUCAAGUCAAAUGGCUCACAUGAAUGAAAGAUCAAAGACAUCUGAAGAUCCCUCAAAGACUGGGGCCAGAGUUCGCCAAGCUCAAGAUGACUUCAACAGUAAAAUGGAAUGAGUUUUUGAAAAAGAAAUCCUAGAUUAAUGUUGAAAAUUGUCUGAAUAUUCAUCAUUUGACAUACCAUUCACCUCAAUGACAUCCAAUCUAUUUCAUUUCCCAUUUAUUUUCUACCAAAAUAGAUCUCCAUUGAUUAUCUUUAUCAAUAAUUCACCUUUCUGUUCUCUUAUUGUUUCACCCCUAGAAUGAAUUGAGAAAUGCUUGAUUGCAUGUAUUUGUCAAAAUUUGAAAUGAUAAUGAAUGAAUGAACAUGUACUUAAAAGAAUCUUACAUUCAUUUGAAAAGAAAUCUAAGAUGAUGAAGAAAUGGUAGAAACCUAAAAGAGAUGAUGGGGCAAAUCUGGAAAAGUGAUGAAUUGAUCGAUAUGACUUGCAAGUUAUGAUUGAAUGAUGAAGACAAUCAGUGGACAGAGUUUGUUUUUGAAUGGUUAAUGCUGAGACAGAGUAAGGACCCAGUGAUGGUGGAUGAAAUUUGUUUUGAAAUUUGCUAGUGCUGAGAAAUUCAUUGAAUGAUAGUCAAGGGAUGAUCGAUUGAUGAAGCUUAUUCCAAAGUAUUGAAAAACAAAACAAGAAAGAAUGUGAGUGGAAGAGACAAUUGAGAGCUACACUGGUUCGAUCUUAGAAGAGCAGUGCAAUUGGAUCCUUGAGGAAUCAAAGGGCUUGACACCCAAAAAAAAAAAAGCUUGAGAAACUUGAGUACCAUACAUUGAACAGGAAUUAAUUGGCCAACAUUUGCAUGGCAUGCAUUGAAAUUCAUAUGCAUUGCACAGCAUACACUACUUUCAGGAGAAUAUAGUGUACAAAUUCAAGAAGCAAGGGUGUUCCAACAUCCCACAUGAAAAAGACAGAUAUGAAAAGACUUUGCAAGUUUGAGAAGAAACUUGUCAGGUAAGUUCCUAAUCCUUGAAAUAGGAUGUCUUUUGGUAUCAGGGUUGAUUUAUAAGACCUUUGGGCAUAAUCUCCUGAAAUCCCUUCAAACACAGCUUUCAACUCCUUUGGACAUGAUUGUCAAGGAGCCUAUUAAUUUCCAAAGUUCCGUUGCCUCUGUUUUAGAGGAGCAAUUUAUCUUUUCAAAGUCGUGGUGCCUCUGUUGAGAGGAGCAAUUUACUUUUCAAAGUCGUGGUACCUCUGUUGAGAGGAGCAAUUUACUUUUCAAAGUCGUGGUGCCUCUGUUGAGAGGAGCAAUUUAUUUUUUCAAAGUCGUGGUGCCUCUGUUGAGAGGAGCAAUUUACUUUUCAAAGUCGUGGUGCCUCUGUUGAGAGGAGCAAUUUACUUUUCAAAGUCGUGGUGCCUCUGUUGAGAGGAGCAAUUUAUUUUCAAAGUCGUGGUGCCUCUGUUGAGAGGAGCAAUUUACUUUUCAAAGUCGUGGUGCCUCUGUUGAGAGGAGCAAUUUAUUUUUCAAAGUCGUGGUGCCCUCUGUUGAGAGGAGCAAUUACUUUCCAAGUCGUGGUGCCUCUGUUUAGAGGAGCAAUUUACUUUUCCAAAGUCGUGGUGCCUCUGUUGAGAGGAGCAAUUUAUUUUCAAAGUCGUGGUGCCUCUGUUUAGAGGAGCAAUUUACUUUUCCAAAGUCGUGGUGCCUCUGUUGAGGAGCAAUUUACUUUCCAAAGUCGUUGCCUCUGUUUAGAGGAGCAAUUUAUUUUCCAAAGUCGUGGUGCCUCUGUUUAGAGGAGCAAUUUACUUUCAAAGUCGUGGUGCCUCUGUUUAGAGGAGCAAUUUACUUUUCCAAAGUCGUGGUGCCUCUGUUGAGAGGAGCAAUUUACUUUUCAAAAGUCGUGCCUCUGUUUAGAGGAGCAAUUUACUUUCAAAAGUCGUUGAGUCUCUGUUUAGAGGAGCUUCGGCAAAAAAAAAAAAAAAAAAAACAAAAAACAAAACAAAAAAAAAAAAAACAAAAAAAAAUCAAAAAAAUCAAAAAAAAAAAAAAAAACAAAAUCAAAAAAAAAUCAAAAAAUAAAAAUGUUGAGUUGAGUCUUGAUUGGGUGUCUACGUCUUUGCGCAAUUUCUGUUUCACAGAAAAUGUGCAAAGAGGGCCACCUGUAGACACCCAAUUGGGUCCGGGCCCAGAUCAAUUGGGCCUGGCCCAAAUGGGUAAGGCCCAUUUCAAUCCUGUAUAUUUUUUUCUUUUGUAUUUUAUGUAUUCUAUUAUUAUUAUUAUUAUGUAUAUCUUUAUUCAUUUAUUUAUUUUUAUUUAGAUUAGAUUUAUAUGUAUAUUAUUUAUAUAGUUAUAUAUUUAUUAUUAUUAUUAUUAUUAUUUUUGUAAGAUAUUUUUGGAUUUAUCUUAUUUUAUUAUUAUUUUUUUUAAAUUAUCUGUUCUGAUUUUUUCCUGAUUAUCAGAUAUUUUUUUACUAUAAUAUCUUUUUAUUUAUCUGUUCUAAUUAUCUAUUAUUUUUUAUAUUAUUUGAUUUUUUUUUUUGGAAGGUUGAGAUUGAAGCUGAAGAAUCCUACUGGGAGUGGGGAUUCAAUCUAAAGAGUCCAAUUGGAUUCAAAGACUGAAUCCCCGUCCAAGGAGGAGUUGGGAUUGAUCAGAAACUCCUGAUCAACCCCUAUAUAAAGGACCCUUUGGAACAGUUCAAGAACACACAGAAAACAGUCAGCUAGAGCUACUGAUUUGAGAAGCAAAGGCGUAGGGAAGAGUAUAGAAGGCUAGGAAAAGGUUUAGGAGAGUUCCAGAAAUUAUCAGAAAUUUUUUUGGGGAUUUUUCGAGAUUUUUUUUUCUGGGAGUUUCUGGAAAAUUCCAGUUUCCGGUUGAAUUCUCCGGCCAACCUUGAAGUUUCCGGCUAAAAUUCCGGCCAACAUUGAAGUUUCCGGCGAACUGCCCAGUUUCCGGCGAAGAAUCCCAGAAAUCGGUGAAUUUCCGGCCAACUUCCGGCGAAAAAACCCAGAUUCCGGCGAAAAUUUCCAGAAUCCGGUGAAUCUUCCACCGGAGUUCUUCGGUUUUUUAGAGAGAAGGGAGAGAAAAGGGAAGGAAGAGAGAGAGGGGAGAGGAGCGUUCUGCCGAAAAACGGAGGAAGGUGCUUUUAUACCCUCCCAAAACGACGUCGUUUUGGCUUUAAGUUAAUCAGAGGAUCCGCGCGUUUACCGAACCCGACCCGACCCGAGCGUCGACCCGAUUCUGACCCGCGCGUGCCCAGCCCCCCUCCGAGCGAGCCGAGCCGAGCCGUUCUUCCCGAGCCGCUUCUCCGAGCCGUUUUCUCUUCCUUGAGCCGAGCCGAGCCGAGCCGCAACCCGAGCCGCUCCCAGGCUUUUUUUUUUUUUGAAUUUUUUUUUGAAUUUUUUUUUUUUGAAUUUUUUUUUUAUUGACUUUGAUUUUGAUCUUGAUUUUUUUUUCUUUUUCUUUAAUAAAUCCGACGACGGAGCCUCUGCAAGUGAAACAGUAGUUUUUCUUGCAUACUCUUGAGGUGAGGGAAUUUUCUCAAUUUUCUGCUAAAAGUAUUAGAGUUAAUUGAGAAUAAUUUCCAAUAAUUAAUUGGAUGAUUUUGUUUUUUCUUUAAUAAAUCCGACGACGGAGCCCCUGCAAGUGAACAGUAGUUUUUCUUGCAUACUCCUGAGGUGAGGGAAUUUUCUCAAUUUUCUGCUAAAAGUAUUAGAGUCAAUUGAGAAUAAUUUCCAACAACUAAUUACUUGGUAAAUUUAAGGCUUUUGGAUAACACAAAUUUAAGCUGGUACCAUCUUUUGAUGGGCGUUGUGAGGGUGCUACAACCUUCCUCACACGUAACCGAACUCCCGAACUUUGUUCUGGUUAGCAGACCUGAACCUAUUCUUUUAGGGACCCUCAAGCUUAGGUGUUCCCUGAAAGGACAGAUUCUUUAGGUGGCCAAUCGUACCUAGAUAAAAAAGAUUGGUGGCGACUCCCUGAAAGUCAAUGUCUAGCGAUAGAUCCCCGGAUCUAGACGUUACGACAAUGAUAAUAAGAGAAAAGAAAGAAAAGAUGGUGUUUAGGGCUUUUAAGACUAAUUUUAUUUAUUUUGUAUCAAAACUACAUUGUUUUGGUAGAGAGAAAAACAAAAAGAAAAGUAGAUAAAAAAGAAGUGAUUCUCAAGUACCACAAAAGCAUCUAAAAAAUGCCACAUAUAUUGACACAUGGCAUGAGAAAAAUCUUUUGUUAGAACUUUGGGUGAUUUUUAGUGCUGACGAACAAUGACCAAUGAUGGAAAAUGGUGUCAAUGAUGGUGGUUGAUGCUGAAAAUUAAGAAGUUUGGGUGAAAAGGGUGAAUUUUAAAUAGAAAUAAAAGGGAAAAAUGAAUUGAAAAAAAAAUUGAGUUUUGAUAUUGUACUGCAAAAAAAGUAUCAAUGUGUAGGCUCGAAUUCAGACCUAGAACACAUUUUUCCUUCCCAAAGACCCAAUACCUGAAGCAGACUAAGUCCCAAGUCCACUUAACAAGCCCAAUUUCCUUGGACUUCUCUUUAUUUGGGUCAAUCCCAAAUUUGUGGUAAAUUAUUAUCUUUUUUUCGUUUAUUUUCUUUUUAAAAAAGAAUGUUAUCAUUUUUAAUUAAAUUGACAUAUUUUUUACAAAAAAUAAUUUUUUAAUUAAAUUGAUAUAAAAAGCAACCAUAUGUAUAAUUAUCAAAAUCAAACUAGAUACUAAACUGUUCAAAGUGUUGGGUCAUUGGUUCAACUGUUAGGUCAAUCAAGUCAAUUGUUAAACUAAUUAAGAUAUAUAAAUAUAUAAAUAUUUUAAAAAUUUAAUCCAUUAUGUGAUAAGCAAUAAAAUUCUAUUGUAGAUAAUCUCAAACUUAAAAAAUUAAAAAUAUAUAACAGAAUAUAAGUGUAAAAAAGGUAUAUGUAUUUAAAAAGUGAACUUAAAUUAUGAAAAUAAAUUUAAAAUUCAAACUCGUAACUCAAACUCUAAAGAUACUAAUUGAAUAAUUCAGCUAUAUUAUUAAAAAAAGUAAAUACUCUAAAAAACUUAAAAACAAAAAAAAAGUUUAAAAAAGAGAAAGCUUAUGUAAAAUAUAAAUUUUAAAAAAUGACAUAAAAAAAUUUCCUUUAAAUUGAUGAUAUUUGAUAUAAAACAAAUCAAGCUCCAAAAUGAUAAUUAAAGUUUUAAUUUUAGCCAAGUUUUUAUCCUUUAAUUUGAUAUGAGUGUGUCACCUAAAAAUAUAAAUGAGAAAGCAGUUAAAUUUUAUUAAGUUAUUCUUUAAUGUGCAUAACGUGUAGGUACGAACACAUGAUACUGAUAAUUAAAUUUGUAUAUUAUCAUAACAUUUAGAUCUGAGGAUCUAUCGCUAAACAUUGACUUAAGGAGUCACUACCAAUCUUUUUUGUUUAGGUGCGAUUAGCCACCUAAGGAAUCUAUCUUUUCAAAGAACACCUAAGUUUAAGGGUCCCUAAAAGAAUAGGUUCAGGUCUGUUAACCAGAACAGAGUUCGAAAGUACGGUUAUGUGUGAGAAAGGUUAUAGCACCCUCACAACGCCUAUCGAAAGAUGGUACCAGCUUAAUUUUGUGUUAUCCAAUAAGCCUUAAAAAUUUACUAAGUAAUUAAUUAUUAGAAAUUAUUCUCAAUUGACUCUAAUACUUUUAGCAAAAAAUUGAGAAAAUUUCUUCACCUCAAGAGUAUCAAGAAAACUACUGUUUCACUUGUAGAGGAUCCAUCAUCGGAUUAUUUACCAUUAAAGAAAAUUCAAGAAACAAGAAGGAAAAGAAAUAAAAAAUAAUAAUGAUUUAGCUUUAGAUAUAAAUCAUUUUCUCUUCAAAAACUCAUUGCUUUUGUACAAGAAAAAUUGAUACUUUCAACUUUUCAUCAAAAGCAUUUGGGAGUUUCUAUUUUAAGGAAAAUUGAUACUUUUAACUUUUCCUUAAAAAGUUUUUUUUUAAAAAAAAAUUUGGUACUUUCAACUUUUUCUAAAAAUGUUUUUCUGAAACUUUAAUUUCUAGAAAAAUUGAUACUUUCAACUUUUCUUUUAAAAUAUUUUUUUAGAAAAAUUAUUUUCAAGGAAAAUUGAUACUUUCAACUUUUCCUCAAAAAUAUAUUUUUUUAGAAUUUUAUUUUAAGAAAGUCAUUAAAAAAUAAAAUAAAAUAAAAAUAAAAAUAAAGAAUACCAAAUAAUUCUAAUCUAAUCAAUAAAUAAUAACAAUAAAUAAAAUGAAAAAAAAAACCUUAACAUGACUCGGCUUGAGGAAAAAAAUGGCUCGAAGAACACGGCUCGAGAGCGUGCGGCUCGACUCUAAGGGAAGGUCAGUAUGCGGGUCGCUGGACCAGGUCACGAUCAGAUCGGGUCAGAUCUUGACAAAACGAGUGGAUCCUGUGGGUUCACUAAUGCCAAAACGACGUCGUUUUACGGUACUAUAAAAGGCUCCAACUUCUAUUUUUUUGCAAACUACCUCCCUUCCUUCUCUCUCUUCCCCUUAGCUUUCUCCUCCUUCUCUCUACCUGUGAAGAACAAUGGUGGAAUUCUCACCGAUUUUUGGGUUUUUCUACCAAAAACUAGGUUUUUGGCUAGAAUACUCACUGAAAAACUUGAAUUUCGUCGAAAAAUUUCGUCAAAUUUUGGAAAAUUUUCAUAAAUUUUCCAGAAAAAAAAAACUCCGAAAAUUUUGAGAAAAUUUUCCUAAAAGUUCUAAACUGCCUCUAACACUAUUUUUGCCUCUGAUUUCACCUCUGUGCCUUUUCUGUAUGAUUUAUGGACCUAUUUAUAGGGAUUGAUCAGAUUUUUGAUCAAUCCCAACUCCGUCUGGGAUUUGGAUUCAAGUUUUUGAAUCCAAUCCAGACUCUUCUAGUCCCAUAUCCAUGAUAGAAUUCCAACUUUUUCUGAUCAAUAUCCCUUAAUCCCAGCCAAAAAAUAAUCAAGCAAAAGAUAAAGUAAAAAAAUAGAUAAAUAAUAGAAUAAAUAAAAAAUAAAAAUAGAUAAAUAAUAAAAAAUAUUAAUAGAUAAAUAAUAAAAAAUAAAAAAUAAAUAUUAAUAAAUAGACAAAUAAUAAAAAUAAAAAUAAAAAUUAAAGCCAAUUGGGCCUGCUAAUUGGAUCCUGAAUCGACCCCAAUGGACUUAGGCCCAAACCCUAUUAGAUCAGGUCCAAUGGCCUUGGGCCCAGAGCAAAUAGGGUAUCUACAUAUAUGGAUUGAGUCGAGCCAGAUUCGAGUCUAGCCUAGUUAGAAUAUUAACAAAUUUUAAGUUUGUUCAUACUCAUUCAUCCCAAAAUAUAAUUUUAUUUUGCUACUCAGGCUUAAUUAAUUUUUAAAAUACUUUACUGAAGCUUGCCUAUAUUUUAUUUUUUAAAUAAAAAUAAUUUUUAUAAUAAGUAUUAAUUAUGAUAAAAUAAAUAAUCAACAAAGUAAACCCUAAAAAAUACUUUGUUAACUUAAUUCAAUAUUUGAAUGUGAUUAGUAUAUAUAGACAUAGGAUAUUAACGUAUAUAUUAUAUAUUUUUAUGUAAUAUAAAUAUAAAAAGUAUAUAAUAAUUAUUUAGGCCUAAUCGGAUUCGAACUUUAAACUUUAUGUCCAUGGCCUAGUACAAGUUUUUAAACGGGUCUAAAAUUCAAGUUUAGGCCCAUUUAAGAACCUAAAAUUCAUGUCUAAGCCUUCCCAAAAUUAGGAAGGGCUUUCGGGCUCGAAUGAGUUGCCCAAUCAAUAUAAUUUAAAAGUUUAAUUCAUUUGGUUCAUGUAAUUAUCCUUAAGAGAUUGCAUCUAAGAUAUCUGAAAUUUAAAUUUCAAUACUUAUAUUUUUUUCUCAAUAUUUAAGUUGUGACAUCUUUUAUAUAUAUAAAAAAAUACACCUUUUAAAGAAAAAAAUUUAAAACUACUAUCUCUUUGACAAUAAAGAUUUUAAUUUACCUUAUCUUAAGAAAAAAAAUUACAAAUUAGAAGCUUUUAAACCCAAUCUCAAUUAUUUAAUUACCUAUCCGAUGUAUGAUAACAGAAUGAUUUGAUUUGAUGCAAGAGAAAAGCAAGAAGACUGAUUGAUCCUGGCAACUGGUAGCUUGAAUUCUUCACCUAAAAUUUCUUGGUCUGCUUUGACGUGUGUAAAAUCAAUAUCACUUCAUUGAUCCUCGCGUUUAGAAAAUGAUCAUUAGCUUUCCUGACUUGAAAUUUCUCUGUUUGUUUUGACGUUUGUGAAACCAAGACCUCUUGAUUGAUCCUUGCAUUUGAUAGCUUUAAUUCUUCACGUAAAAUUUCUUAGUCUACCUUGAUGUGUGUGAAACCAAGACAAAUUGAUUGAUCCUUGCGUUUAUAAAACGAUCAUUAGCUUUCCUGACUUAAAAUUUCUUAGUCUGCCUUGAUGUGUGUGAAACCAAGACAACUUGAUUGAUCCUUGCGUUUAGAAAACGAUCAUUAGCUUUCCUGACCUAAAAUUUCUUAGUUUGCCUUGAUGUGUGUGAAACCAAGACAAUUGAUUGAUCCUUGCGUUUAGAAAAAAAUCAUUAGCGUUCCUGACUUAAAAUUUUGUGAAACCAAGACAACUUGAUUGAUCCUUGCAUUUAGAAAACGAUCAGUAGCUUUUCUGACUUAAAAUUUCUUAGCCUGCUUGAUGUUUGUCGAAAGCAAGAUGACUUGGAUUGAUUCAAGGCCUAGCACUUAGAGCAUGUGCUUAGCUUUUCUGACUAGAUUCCUUUAUUUGCUUUUAUGUAUGUGAAGAAUAAAAUAACUUUAUUGAUACUUCUUUUGUCUCUCUCAUGGAAAAAGAAUUGCUUGCUCAGUUUUGGAUUACACCAAUCACGGCUUUGAUAUGUGGUACUAUCAUAAACUUAUCUUAGGGUUGAAUUGAAACUGACACUCCAUGUGUCCUCAAAUCUCUUUAUCCUUAUUUGAAUUUGUGUACAUAUUAAAUAAAAAAUUGUGGUAAAAAAAGCGAGCCUAAACAAUGAUCAUAUGGCAAAAAACAAAAAGAUCUUUUUAACUUUUUUUUAUUGAAAUUUAUGCCAACAGUUACAUGAUAUCAAGGCAGCAAAUUUCAUUGAUUUUUAAAGUUAUCGAUUUGAAAUAAAUGAAAUCAAGAUAAAUUUGAAAUAAAUGAAAUCAAGAGAAAUUUUGAACUAAAUUAAAAAGAUAAAUGUGAAAAAUAUAUAGUUUUUUUUAUAUAAUUUUAUGAAUUGUUUGAAGGGUAAAAUGAAAAUGCACAAGAAUUUCAUUAAAUAUUUGGUCCCAUAUAUUAGCAAAUUUUAAAGAAAUUUUAAUUUAUAACUUGGUUUUAAAAUAUUAUUAUAUUAACUUCAUUCUUUUCAUAUUCCGUUAAUUAAUACUAAAAAUGAAUUUUUGAAAGAAAAGAUUAUAAAUAAAAUUCAUUUGAAAACUUUUUAUAUUCUACUAACCACUGAAAUUAACUAGAAUGUUAAGUAAAGGAAAAAUCAUAUGAUAUUAUCAUAUUAAUUUAAUAUUUUCAUAUUCUAUAAAUUCAUUAUUUGAAAAUAAAUUUUCAAAAAUAAUUAGAUCACUUUUUAUUUGGAAUUUGAGUACGAUAUUGUAUUUUAAAAUUUUAAAACUAUUUUUUUCAAUAUUGAAUGUUAUCAAUGAUCAAUUAUCCUAAUAUAAUUUAUACUUCUUAGAGAAAUAUAUAUAAUUUAUAUUUAUAUUUAUAUAAAAGAAUGACUAGCUGCAAUUUCAUACAAGCCCAUGGCGUAAAACUAGGAGUCAAGGAGAAAUGACUAGUUGGGUCUCACAAAGUAUGCAAGUCCAAUAAAUACAAAGAAAAAGAGAAAAAGAUAUAUUGGUUUUAGAUAUGCUUUGUAAAAGGAGAUCAAAAGCAAAUUAGAGGGCCCAAAAUCAAAAGCUUGACUCAUUUUAUUUAUUGUGAAGACCAAGACCGUUGGUAUCAAUUGCCUGGUGAUAUCAAAUUCAUCCAAAGAUUUAUAAAAGUACUGGACUACCUGUUUAGUAAUAAAAAUUGACAUUUCAUUAAAAAAAAAACUCUUUGAAAAGAAAAAAUAAUUUAAAAAUGGCCUAUUUAGGUAAUAAAUACUUUUAAUUUUCCUUACCUUAAAAAAGUAGUGGUUACAAAUUAGGAGGUUUUACACCCAGGCUCAAUUAUUUAACAACCCAAGUAUGAUAAUAAAGUAAUCAAAUUCAACAUAUAAUAUUAAAAGAUCGGAACGCAGUUAGAAGAAGACCUUAUUGUUUUUGGAAACCAUAGAAAUUCACAUGUUAAUAUCGUAAUAAUAAUAGUGGUUGCUUUGAUUUAAAAGAAAAAAUAGUGGUUGCUUUGAUUUGGUAAGUUUUAGAUUAAUCCUUGCUCUUGCAACAAAGUCAAUUGCUUUUCUGACUUCAAAAUUUCUUAGUCAGGGUCAAUUUCUGACUUCAAAAUUUCUUAGUCAGGGUCAAUUGGAGAGAGAAUUGCUUGCAUUAGGUGGAAUCAUUUGCAAUAUAUAUAUAUAUAUAUAUAUAUAUAUGAUAAUAUUACGAUCACAUGAGAUUAAAAUUAUAUGAAAAAAAAUGUGAAAGUGAUAUUAUUUAAAGUUUUGACAAAAAUUCUAUGUGGAUUUGACAACAACAAAAAAAAGUAUUUUAUAUUUGAUUUAUCAACAUGAAUUUGAUAUGAAAAUUUUCAUAUUUUAUAUGUAUAUAAUGAUAUUGACAUAAUACAAAUAUAUGAAUUACUAAAUCUAUUUUGGACCGUAUCAAUAAAAAAUUUAAUAGAAGUACCAGAUUUCAAUAUACUCAUAUGGGGCAAAGAAAAUUCAUUAAAAAUUAAUUUUUUAUAGGAUGUUACUUUAUGGGUGGGUAGCUUUUUUUGAAUAAGAUUAAAAAAUUUUUUUAAAAUCUUAAAUUUAUAUUGUUAUUCUAUUUUAACUUUGGAUUUAAUGUAAAUUUACCAAUUGGUUAACUCAACUCAAUCACGUUACCAUUAGUGUGUGUGUGUAUAUAUAUAUAUAUAUAUAUAUAUAUAUAUUCACAAUUUUAGUUUAAAAAUAACUUUAAAUUUAUUUAGCAAAAAAAAUUUAGAUUGUAUUGUAUCCUAACAACAUUAUCAUCAUUAUUACCUUAGAAAAUUUUUUUUACAAAAUUAUAAUCGAUUUAACACCUUUCAUUAUAAAUUAAAAAUUAGUUACAGAUAGAUGUGGUGAUGACACAUGUUCAUAAGGGUCAUAGAAAGAUUUAAUUCAAUUUUUAUGGGUACUUUUGACAUUUUAUGAGAGAAAUUGGGAGUUGUAUUUUGGACUUAUUUUAAGAUGUUGAAUAAAAUUUUCAUUAUGUUUGAGCUCUUAUUAUGGUUUUUUUUCUUAUUAUAAAUAUAAAAUUAUGCUUUAUGUUUUUAUUUAUUUGAUGUGUUCAUUUAAAUUUUUAUAAUUUAAUUUAUCUCUAUGCUUAUUUGAGUAAUUCAUUUGCCAAAUUUUUAGGGUGCAUUGAUAUUAAUUAAAUAUUAAUUUGGGAUUAUUAUUAGAAGUAGAUUUUGUUUACUAAUUUAUGUAUAAGUUGAUUAUUUAUAAAAGAAUGAUUAAAAUAUUAUUAUUACAUAUAAUUGACAUUUAUAUCUCGAGUGUUUAAGUAAUAACAAAAUAAUAAAAUAACAACCGAAUUGAAACACGAUCCUAAAGCGAGUAAGUUUCCAAACUUGGAAGUAUUUCCAUUUUUUAAAUAAUUUCAAUAGCAUUAACUAUUGGGCUCAUCUACUAUGCUAUAUAUAGGAGAAAUUUUUACUUGGCAUAUUUUUAUUGAAUACUACAACUCACAUUACAAAUAGACAAUAGUAAUAUUUUAUUUUAUAAAAAUAAUUUAAUAAUUUAUUUUAUUUUAUUUUAUUAGAUUUUGACACACCUGAUAUGUGAGUGAAGAAGUAAAUAUUUUGAUAAAAAAGGAAGUUCGCUAAUAAAAGAUGUUGCUUGAUGUAUUGGAUGUGUAGUUUUUUUUUUUUUUUUACAAAAACAAAUUUAAAAAAUAAGUAUCUGUACCUACAUAUUAUUAUUAUUAUUAUUAUUAUUAUUAUUAUUAUUAUUAUUAUUAUUAUAUCUUAAAUUUAAGUGAUUUCAUUAAUUAAAUUGAUUCCAUCUGGUUUAAAAAUAACAUAGAUUACUAUAUUUUCUCCAAGAAGAGAGAUGCAGCAUUACUAUUUUGCAACACUCUCGCGUAACACGUGGAGUCACGGGGCCUAAUAAAGUGCACAAGACAAGGAAUAAGAAGAAAGGAGAUAGAAAAAAAAAAUAUAUGCUAAAAGAUAAAUUAAUUUCAAAAUAAAAAGCUUCGCUCGUUUAUUUAUUGUGAAGACGAGGACCAUCCAACGACUUUCCUGUCGAAGUCUCAGUCAUGUUGACUAGUUGAUUCCAUAUUUAAGUAUUAUUUUGAGCAGACUUCCUCAAACCAUCCUACAUUUUCAUCAAUUCCCACAGCCAUGAACAUGAGAAAAUUCCAUUUUCUUUCAUCAGCUUUAAUGUUCAUUCAUUGUUUGAUGAUUAGUUACGCCAUGAUUGUGAGGAACCUCACCACAGACCAACAUGCUCUUCUCGAAUUUAAGCACCGAAUCAUUGAUCCUCAUAACAUCUUAGCCAAUAACUGGACUACCACUACCUCUGUUUGCAAUUGGGUUGGUGUCUCUUGCGCUUCUAAGCAUAGGAGAGUCAACUCUUUGAAUCUUCCAAACAUGAAUCUUAUAGGAACUGUCCCACCACAUUUGGGAAAUCUCUCAUUCUUAGUAUCUCUUAAUUUGAGUCACAACAAUUUUCAUGGCCUUUUACCGAGAGAGUUGGGACAAUUAAGUCGUCUGAGACUCAUAGAAUUAAGCUUCAAUUUUCUUAGUGGGGAAAUUCCUUCAUGGUUUGGGAGAUUAAAUAAAGUUUUAUAUUUGAGCCUCUGGAGCAACAAUUUGACAGGUACAAUCCCUCAAUCACUAGCUCAAAUGUCCAACUUGGAAAUCUUGGACUUGAGGCAGAAUCUCGUUCAAGGACACAUUCCACCCGAGAUAAGUAAUCUUCUAAAUCUAAGGAUACUUCGUCUGGCAUUUAACCAACUUUCUGGUUCUGUCCCUUCAGUCAUUUAUAACAUUUCCUCCCUACACAUGAUUUCUCUUACGUCUAACAGUCUAUCUGGCAGUUUACCUGAAGAUAUAUGUCGCCAUCUUCCAAAUCUUGAGAGAUUUUACUUGACCUUAAACGAGUUUUCUGGUCAAAUUCCAUCAAGUAUAGAUGAAUGCAGGUGUCUUCAAAUUUUAACAUUAAACUUUAACAGAUUCAGUGGCAGCAUUCCAAGGAGUAUUGGAAAUUUAACGAGGCUCAAAGUGCUAAGCUUGGAUGGAAAUAAUUUGGAAGGUAAGCUCUUUGUUUUUUCUUUGAUAAUUUUCUUUCGAUUGAUCAUUAAUUAAUUUUUGUAUUAAGUGAAACAUGAUUCCAGCUAAAACUCCCUAAUUUAUGCUACUAAAAAUAGCUUUGCUUUAACCAAGACUCCAACACAGUUAAUUAAAACUCCUUCUAAUUGGUUGUUCGUUUUUUCUUGCUUUUAUUUAAUCAAAAGGUGCCAAGAAAUAGAAGAAAAUAGUAAAAAUUUUAAAUAUCUUCUAUAUAUAAAAAAUAUAAACUUUAAAAGUGAUUAAAUGCAGUAGUAAAAAUUAAAACAUUUUUAUCUUAUUUAUAUAAAAGAACGAAAUUGGAAAGCGUAAAUAGUGAACAACAUAUAUAUCUUUGAUAAUUUAUUAUCAUAGAUAUUUUAUUUAUAAUUAAUGAUUUUCUUGUUAAAUUAAAAUAUGACUAAUUUUAUUUAUUUUCUUAUCAACAUUGAAGCUUUUAUCAAAAUAAACUUUCUUUAAUUUAUAAUUUGAAAUUAUUGUAAAAGAAUUACUUUUAUAUUUUUGAAAGUAAGAGCUAAAUUUAAUUUAAUUAUUGGUAUCAAAUUAAAACUGCUUACUAUUAAUAGUAACUAUGAAACUCAUGUUAUUUUCUCCGGUCAAGUUUCAUGGCUGAAAAUCUUUAGUAUUCCAUGAGUAUCUUAUAUUUAGGAAAAAGAAAACAAAAAACCAUAAGGAAACUAUCUCUUUUCCUUGAAAUGCUUGGACAAAUGCCUAAAAUAAAUUAGUUGGCGUUAAUGCCUCCCUCAUAACAAGGGCUGUAGCACAUUUGACAUUACCCAUCGGAUUUCGUUUUUUUUUUUUUUUUUGGAUAAAUUAUCCAUUUGGUCACUUAAUUUUGCAGUACUAUUAUUUGAGUAUUUGGUUAAAAGAAAUGAUGGUCAAUCAGAGAAAGAAGUGAAUGAAGUUAUUGCUUUAAUUUCAUCCCGUUGUUCAACUGUUAAGAAUUUAUGUCUUUUUAGUUUUUUCUUUUCCUUUUCUGUUAUUUGGUUGUUCGUUUAUAAUCCAACAAGAAAAGAGGAAAUUGUUAUUUGAUGAAAGCACUUUUCACUAAAACAUGAGCAGUUUUAUUCCUCAAAACAAUAUAAAUGGGAAAUACACCCUUGAGAGCACAGAUUUUAUUCUGAAAUUAAAUUAUUUUACUGUAUAGUUUUAGAUUCAUCGGUAUUAUGUAAUAUUUGUCUAUCAAAUAUAUAUAUAUAUAUAUAUAUAUAUAUACAUACACACACACACAAAUGCACUUGUAUUAUAUACAUAUUCAUAUGCAAUUACAAGUUUUAAAAAUCUUACUACUAUAAAUUUCUAAAUAUUUAACUCCCAAAAUUCUAAAUAAAUGAAACAACUAUAAAAAUAAUAAGUAUAUAAUACAUUAUCAUUAAAGAAAUUUAAUAGUUUAAUUUAAUGGAAACAUUUAAUUUUUGGAUCUAAUCAUGAAAAAAUAAAAAUAAUGAUGAGAGCAAAAGAAUUAAAAAUUGAUUAAAAGAGCCAGAACAAUAAAAAGGUUUAAACAGGAUAAAAUAAGAGGUAAAAUUUUAUAUCAAUCAAAAUAUCAUUUUUUACUUGUAUGACUGAGACGGACUAGUGCGUUGGAUACAUACAGGCUGAUGCAAAGAUCAAAUAAAACAAUAAUAUUAUGUGUUGUGAUUCAAAACUGAUAUAUAUUAGCUAAUACGAUGAGUAUGGGUACAUUAUCAAUAACCAUGGUAAAAUCCUUGUUCAAUGAUAUAACCAAUAGCACCAAUAAAACUGUAAAAUGAUAAUAUUAUGUCCUAAUUAAUACAGAAUAAACCAAUGUGGUUUAUCCUAAGAAGCGUUGAAAUUUUAACAUUUCUCUAAAACAUGUCUGGGUAUGAUUUUGCCUUGGAUCUUGCUCAUAUUAUAACAGUUUAUAUCUUAUUUUCUGGUCCAACUCACCAACAUUAAGAUCCGCUUGUGCAAAAAGCAAGAUUGCUGGACCAAUUAAACAUUUAUGCUAAUGAAAUAGCUUUUUGAUUUCCUGCUAAAGAUGCCAAAAAAAAAAAAAACAUCUUUUGAAGAUAAUGUUUGGAACGAGAAUUAAAUUAUUUAUUUUACAUCCAUAAACUUUGGAGCAAAUAGUUUCAUUAUCAAUGUCAUGCCAAGCAAAAAAACGUUUUUAUUCUACUUUAUAUAUACAGAUAUAUAUAUAUAUAUUUAUCUUUUGACGAUAAUGUUUGAGAUGAAAAUUAAAUUAAUUAUUUUAAUCCAUAAUCUCAUAAAAUUUGGACAAAUAGUUUCAUUAUGAAUGCAAUGCCAAGCAAAAAAAAAAAAACAUAGCUUUUAUUCUACUUUAAUAGUUUCAUUAUGAAUGUAAUGUCAAGCAAAUAGUUUCAUUAUGAAUGAACUCUUGUAACUUGGUUUCUUUAUGUUCACGGGUGAAAUCCCUUCGAAAAUUGGAAAUCAUUUGAGCUUGGAGAUAUUUUCUGCCCCAAAUCUGAGGCUUGUUGGUCCAAUCCCAGCUUCCAUCUAUAACCUUUCUUCUUUAAAAGAAAUUUAUCUCCAUAGCAACAGUCUCUCUUGCAGUAUUACAUAUAAUAUGUGUUAUACUCUUCUCAAAACUUCAGGUGCUUGAUAUUUCUGACAAUGAAUUUUAAGGCCACAUUCCAAGAAGUAUAGGAAAUUUAACCAAACUUAAAGAGAUAUAUCUAAGUCAUAAUGAUUUAGAAGGUAAGUUUUUGCAUUGGAUUAUUUAAAUUUCAAUUGAUUGAUACUUUUUAUUAAUUAUAUUAAAAAAAUAACUAAAAAAUAAAAAUUAAAAGAAUGAUCAACAUGAAAAUAAUCACAUUUGAUUUUCUUUUAUGCUUUUCUCAUUUUGACUCAAACUUUUGGAAUUUGAAGAAAUUAAGUUUUCCUUCAUAUUUUAAACAUCAAAGAAAUUAAGAAUUUAUUGUGUAAUUGACUUUUAUUGCAUUUUAAAUAACCUCAAUAUUAUUGGAAUGUUUAGAAAGUGGAUAGUUUUAUAAUACUAAGUUGUUGUUCCUUUGUAGGUGAAAUUCCAUGGGAGAUUGGGAAUCUUAUUUCAUUGGAGACAUUAGCUGCAUCAUUUAUGCGCUUAAGUGGGUUGAUUCCACAUUCCAUCUUCAACAUUUCUUCUUUGAAGGCAAUUAGUCUUGCAAAUAAUAGUCUAUCAGGUAAUUUCAUUAUAAACAUUUCAUUACUUUUAUGUUUAAAAUUGUUUACUUUAGUUUCAAAAAAGUUUAGUUUAGGAUUACAAAACAAAUAAUCAUAAAAUUAUGAAAACUGUUAAAAAAAUGAAGUGUCAUUGAAAGGCUUGAGAAAUGUCUUUUCAAACCUCUUUUAUCUUAUUAAAAUCAAAUACUGUUUCCAAUUAAACCAGGGAACGCAAAACAAAGACUCAAAAGAAUUUAAAAACCAAACCUGAAAAUCGAAAUUUCCAUCGAUUAGAAAAUAUUUUAAAAUUUUUAAAAAACAUUUUAUAAUGGAAUCAUGCCCCUAACUGGGAUGCGCACCACUAGCUAAGUCUACAAAGUUGGCCAAUGUGGAAAAAGGAUAGGUACCCAAAACUUGUGAUGUAAUAUGGCUAUUAGUUAUUAUCCCAUUGCAAUUAUAUACAAUAAAACUAUUUGAUUUGGUUUAUAAUGUGAUAAAAAGCAAUAUUAACGUACAUUGUUACUCCCAUAUUAAUUUAAUACCGACUUAAUUUAUUGUUACAUCUAACUUAAAGUAGUAUUAUUAUAUUUUAUAUUUUUAUAUUUAUUCAUCUGCAAAUAUUUAAAAUUUAUAUUUUGUGUAAUAAAAAAUUUAACAAUGUAUUUUAUUACUUUCAUAUUUCUUAAUAGUGUGUAUCCGCGUGGGCUAGUUUUAUUGGCUAUAUGUGAAAUGUUUCAUAAAAAUUAAAUUGAUUAAAACUGUUAAGUAUAUAUUAAAAGGAUUGUGAAAUUCCAAUUUUCAUUAUGAGGGAUAAAUUAAAUAAGAUUCAAAUGAAUAUAUUUGAUUUUUAUCGUAACGAAGUUGUAAAAAACAAUAAUAUUCAGAUUCUAUAGGUAUACUCAAAAGUUUAUAAACUGUAAUCAUACAAGAUGCAUAUGAAUAUAUUUGAUUAGCUCUUAAUAAGUUGUUAAAAUAAUGAAAUAUGCUAGUCACAUACAAUAAAAUUUGAUGGGAGGAAAGAAUUGAUCAAUGGAGCUAUUUGUUAAUUAUCCAUUUUUUCCCACCGCAUGGAAUUAAAAUGAAUGUUGUAUUUUGAUAUUCUGUAUAUUGAAAACAAUAAAAGAUGAUGUAUAUUUGUUUAGUUUUAUAUAUAAAUGAUAAAAAGGAAGCUAAAACAUUUGAAACUUGAAAAACAAAAAAAUUAAACAACCUGAAUAGCAAGAAGAAAAAAAAUGAAAGAAAGAAAAAUGAGAAGUAGAAAAGAGAUAGAGAUUCUAGAAAUGAAAAUAUGAUAUAAUAAAGUACAUGUAAAAACGUGCAUUCUAAAAUAGAAACUCACAUAAAAAAUUAUAAUUAAAACCUGUAUUGUAAUGAUUAUUUGAUUUGAAGUAGGAAAGAAAGAGUCUUUCCAUGUCAAUAAAACCAAAUUAAAAACCUUUUAGUGUUUGUUCCCCCAAAUAUUUUUCUUUUAACACUGAUUUAAGGUUUCAUUAAAUUGUAACUGAUCCAUUUUGUAAUUUCUAUUAUUACUUAAAGACAUUAGGUCAAUUCAUUUUAUAGUUUUUCUAAAUUUAUUAUUUAUUAACAACAUGUAAUAUUGUAUUAAAAUUAAUAUAAUUUUAUUAUUUAUUAACAAGAUGUGAUAUUAUAAUAAAAUAUUAAAUUUAAAUCUUCUAAAAUAUAAAAUUUUUUAUUGAAUGGAUAAGGUAAUUUUAAUUUGAGCAUUAUUAUAUUACAUAUAAAUAAUAAAUUUAAAUAUGGAAUUUAAAAUUAGAUUAAAAUUAUUAUAACAUUAUAUAUUAAGUCCACUCUUUUAAUACAAAAAUUAGGGCUCAUACGUUUACUUAGCCUAUAUUAUUUUUUACUCAACCCAUUCUUUUAAGACAAAUGAGUAAAGUUUAUAUGAUAAUUGUGGACCAAACUUAUGAUUAAUUAUAUUUAACAAAAACCAAUUUCAAAAAAAAAAAAAACAAAAACCGUUGUUUUAAAAUAUAGUAUUAAUGAUUUUCUUAGUUGUACUCUGUUCCUAAAAAAAUCAACAUUCAAAAUUAAAAGAUAACCAUUCUUCACUUAUCCAACCACGUGUCAAUUUCCAAUUCGUCCCCAACUACCAUGCUUUUAUCACAGGAUUGUUCUAAUAUAAUGUAUAGAUUGUCUAAAGUUAUCUAACUUUUUAUUUGGAGCAUUUCAGUUAUAAUUUUUUUACUAUAAUAUUAUAAUUAUUUGCUAAUCAUAAUAAAAUAUUAUAUAGGGAUCAUCAUUUAUAAAUAUGGGUUACAUAUAAAAUUUUGAUAAAUCUCACACAAUUUUAAAUUAUAAUUAAUUAAUUAUACUAUAAUAAUUAUAAAUUAUAUGCUCUUUUUUUUUUUUUUAUUAUAUGCAAUAAAAAUAAGUGCUACUUUACCCUUUUUUGUUGUCAAAUUAGAGAAUUUAACUGUUCUUUUACGAAAUAAAAAGCUAUAGUUACGUAAUUGUUUUUGCUAAGCCAUAUUUUUAUUAGAGAUCAAAAGACCAUCAUAAGUGAAAUACAAGAACCUUACCAAGAAACAUAGUUAAAGCCAUACCAGAAACAACAUAAAAACCAUCUAGCACAAUUCUAAUGAAAGACUUCCAUCUAAAAUGAAGAUAUCAUUACAUCUAAACAAAAAUGAAAAAAAAAAAAAAACACUACCAUGGUCGGUAAACAAAUAAUGGGAGCAAAGACCACUAUCCUUACAGAACAAAAUCACCACCAUGUCUUACAAAAAAAAAAAUCUCUAUCCUCCUACCUUUGCCAUGACAUCUACCACAUCAUUCAGAUUUUUAAAAAAUUUUCGUCAGACUGGAUGUUCCAAUUGAUCUCCAAAGCAUCACAAUUUCAGAAAAUAUAGACAACAACUUUCAUGGUCGAUGAUUCUUUUUACUGCAGUUAACAGCCACCAUAAAGCCACUUCCAUAUCCCAAAAGCAUACAAAUAGUAAAACGCUAAAACUCCCAAUAUUAACCUCAUAUCCACUAUCAUAUCCUUCAAACACAACUUUAAAAAUACCUUUUGCCAACUUCCUUAACUGUGGUAUUGAUAAAGCUUGUAAAUAAGACCAAAUUCAUUAGAACCUUUAAAUCGACAAAGCCCUUUUGUAUCAAUCUUGAUGAAGCUCCCCCAAUCCUGUCUUUCUAAACCAGCAAUACGUUGAAUAAUGGAACCAUCAUCUUCAUUUACAGAUAAACCCAAUAAUUUACCAACUUCCCAAAUCUUCUCAGCCUCUUCUAGAAAAGCUCUAUUUGCAAAACCAAUAUCUUCAUCCGAAAGUGGUCUUGAACAAUGGAAACUAGAGGUGUCUUUAUCUGGCGAGACUUGCUUUUGGAUCUUUCCAAUAUUUUGCCUUAACGUUUUUUCCUUCUUUUACCUGCUUGAAUAGUAACAAGGUGAAAUUUAUCUUCAACGUCGAAAAGUUUCUCAGCGUCUAUAUUACUCUUGGUCAUAAGCUUAAUAGAAACUGGAUUUGACUAAAGAUCAGUUAAGAUAUUUCCACCAAUAGAAUCCCUAAGCGCAUCUGAUGGGCCAUUUGAUAUCCCAAGAGAUGUAGAAGUAUUAAUAUCUUGAUCCUCUAGAUUGGACUCAUCAACCACAUGAUUCAAUUUAGACUUUCAUUGUUCUGUUUCAUCGGGAUUCAAAAGAGGUUCUAAAGAAGAAUUAAUUGCAACACCUGUAUUUAACUCCGCAUGCUCCAUAAUUGAUCUGUUUUCAAGAACAAAUAUUGGAUAUAUGUUCAGAAACAACAUUUAACUCCUCUUGUUCCAAGUUUAUCUCAUUCCCAAGAUCGGCAUCAUGUGCUUCUUUAGAAUAUCUAGGUGUAUUAACAGUUGCAAUAACAGUGUUAUCUUCAUCCAAAGCCACAAAAUCAGCAUCAUUUUCAAAUUUUGAGUUACUCAGGGAGUCCUUGCCGUGAGGAGAGAAAACAUCUUCACCGCCAUCUAUGAACACUGAGUUGUCCUGGUCUGAUCUGUGAGGACUAGUCGAACUGUCAAGAGAGUGUCCAUGUUCAACAACUUUAAUGGAGUAAGCAUUAUCACCCACAGUGACCUUAAUCUCAUCAUGAAUGGCUCUAUAAUCAUUUGUUAAAAUCAGGACUCUAUCUACAUCUAAACAUUUUUUUUCGUUUGUGUAAAAUCAUCCAGCUUAAUAAGCUCACCCCAUAAACUUCCAAUGGAAGAGAAACACUUGGAAUUCUAAGCGUGAAGUGGAAUACCUGACAAUCUCAACCAAAUAAGGUCUGAAUGGCAUAUGUAGCUAGGCUUCCAUGGAGUAAUAGACGUGAACCAAUUUUGAGACCACUCCUGACCAAGUUCCAGAGAUAAUAACAUACUUUCUCUGCUUUCAAAAGUCAAAAGAUUCAUAUUCUCAACCAUGAUAGUGACAGAACAAUCAUCAAAGUCCUCCGACAAGAUUUGGUUAGUGGCAUUUAUAGUAUCAGGAUAUCUAACCAUCCCAACAGCAUUCCGUUGUAAUCUCUCCAAAUCUAAAUUUUCAGGAACGUAAUUAAGUAUGUCAAGCGAUUUUAAAACCUCUUCUUGUUGACCAUCUGAUACAAUGUUAUCCUUUAACUGAGUGGAUUUGACAGAACUAGAAUUAACUUGAGACCUUUGAUCAUACCUUGCCGUUUGAAAAUGUAGAGUGGAAUACCUCAGGUGCAAACCAGUUAGAAAUUUGAUAGCCCUCGAUGCAUCCCGUAGAUCAAGCUAAUGGACAAAACCAACUAAGACGUUCUUGGCUCUCUUUUGAUUUUUGGGGACGUAAAAAUCAAUCACCCUCCCACAUCUGACAAAACGGUGCUUGAGAUUAAAGAGACUACAAUCUGGAAAAAUUCCAUCAACAAACAGUGUAACAAAAUUUUUCUCCCAAGGUAAUGUUCUUGUGUGGCCUUCAUAGCAUCCAAGUAGAGCUUUUUGAGUUACCUUUACUUACCCUCUAAAUAGCUUUUCACCCUCUAAUAAUUGUGUAAUCAAAAACAUCAUUUUAAAAUCUUUUUCAUUAGUUUCACAUUUUGUCAUCAUAUUACUAAAUUUUUAUUAUAGUAGUAAAAUGUAUACAGUAUUACUCCAACAAACCUCAAAUGAACCUCCUCUGGUAGAGCACUCGUAAGGUUCUAUCAAACCUUAGGGAAGUAAGAAAGUGAUUUUCAAACUAAACAGAGUACAUGUACUUUUAACAAUCUUUUCACAGAAUCUUUGUAUUUUUCUCUUAUAUUAUGCAUAUAGUCUAAAAUGAAAGAAAUUUUAUCAUUUCUCUUGAGCCUUUUUUCCUAAAAUGUCAUAGAUAAAAAUUCUAAUUUAUUUCCAAAUAUUUACACUUUCAGAUUUUUCUUUUCUCAAACAAAUUAAUGUAAAUAUACUUUUAUUUUUUUAUUUUCUUCAUUUUUAUCUUAUUUCUUUUUCUUUCAUGAACAAUUUCAUCAUCCAAAUUUUCUUUAAUCUUUUUUAUCAUUAAAGCAAUUGAGAUAAGUUAAAGAAAAUAAAAUUCUCACAUAAAUGGAAAACAUUUUAAGCAUAUACUAGAAACCUUAUAAUAAUUUCUUUUCUCCCUUCCUUUCUUCUAUCUUCUUUUUUUCUUUUACGUUUCUUUUUCAUCUUCUGUACUUUAUUAUACAUAAGUAUGGAUCCCUCUAAUCAUUAAAAAUAAGAAAAAAUUUUACAAAUUAUAUAUAUGUAUAUAUAUAUAUAUAUUCCAGAUCAUCAAACAAGAAAAACUUGAAGUUGUUUCAUUUUUAUAAUUGUUUCAUGUUUCUCCUCACAUUCGCAGAUGUAAGCAUUGCAUUCACUUCAGAUUGCAUCAUAGAUUCAUGAAAAACACAACAAAGCAAAAGAACUAAUUUAUUUCUUGUAUGGAAAGAUGCAAACUUUUUUUUUUGUCCUUUUAGGUAAAUUACCAUACAUGAGCUCUGCUUCAAAUCUUGAGAAGCUUUACUUAUGGGACAAUAAUCUCAGUGGAAAUAUUCCUGGCUCUAUCUCCAAUGUUUCUAAGCUCAGAAUCCUAGAAUUACAAAAUAACUCUUUCUUUGGCCUUAUUCCAGAGACACUUGGCAAUUUGAGGUUCCUUGAGCACUUGCUCCUUUGGUCGAAUCAUUUGACCACCAAAACUUCAACUCAUGAGUGGAGCUUUCUCAAUUCCUUGGCAAAUUGCAAGUAUCUAAGCAUUUUAGACCUAUCAUUCAACCCGUUGAAUGGCAUCCUUCCAGCUUCUAUCUCAAAUCUUUCCACAUCACUUCAACAAUUUAGUGUCAUUGAUUGCAAAAUUAGAGGCAGCAUUCCCAUGGAAAUUGGUAGCUUAAGCAACGCUAUAUUGUUAGAUCUUUCCUCUAAUAAAUUGAGUGGACCUAUUCCAACAACAGUAGGAAGGCUAAAAAAUCUCCAACUUUUGAAUCUUUCUGGAAAUAAGUUACAAGGCUCUAUCCCACAUGAUCUUUGUGGUUUGAAGGGAUUGUUCAAAUUAUCAUUAGGUGCAAAUGAGCUUGAUGGACUUUUACCGACAUGUUUGUGUGAUUUGACUUCUCUGAGAUAUCUAUACUUGUUCUCCAACAAAUUGCAUUCGCAAAUACCUUUAAGUUUUUGGAGCCUUAAAGAUAUCUUAGAAGUAGACUUGUCAUCAAACAAUCUUAGCGGUUCACUUCCACUUGACAUUGGAAAUUUAAAGGUACUUAUCUCUUUGAAUUUGUCAAGGAAUUUAUUAUCAAGUGAUAUUCCAUCCACAAUUGGAAGUCUCCAUGAUCUACAAGUUUUGAAUCUUUCCAGAAAUAGAUUACGAGGCCCUAUUCCAAAAUCAUUGGGUGACUUGAUGAGUUUGAAAAGCUUGGAUUUAUCUAACAACAAUCUCUCUGGAGUUAUUCCCAAGUCUUUGGAAAAACUUUAUGAUCUCAAUUAUUUUAAUGUGUCUUUCAAUAGAUUGGAAGGAGAAAUACCAAGUGGAGGGCCUUUUCUGAACUUCACAGCCAAAUCAUUCAUGAAAAAUUAUGCACUAUGUGGUUCACCUAGACUACAAGUCUCACCUUGCAAAAAUAAAAUCCAUCCAAAAUUCAAGAAGACCGCUCUUCAUGCUUUGAGGUAUGUUUUACCAACAUUUGCUUCAAUAAUAAUAGUUGUAGCUGUCAUAAUUGUCUACAAAAAAGGGCAGCGGGGGAAUAUGAAUUUGGCAACGGUUGAAGAUUUAAUUCCUCUCAAGAAAAGGAGAAGAGUUUCGUAUAAUCAACUAUUGCAAGGGACUGGUGGAUUUAGUGGGAAUAACUUACUUGGUUCAGGAAGUUUUGGCUCUGUAUACAAAGGAAUACUUUCAGAUGGAACAGAAGUCGCAAUAAAAGUUUUCAAUUUGCAAAUAGAUGGAGCAUUUAAGAGUUUUGACAUUGAAUGUGAAGUGAUGAGCAAUAUCCUUCAUCGCAAUCUUGUCAAGGUUAUUACUUGUUGUUCAACUAUUGAUUUCAAAGCCUUAGUGCUUGAGUUCAUGCCUAAUGGGAGCCUUGACAAAUGGUUAUAUUCUUACAACUAUGUAUUGGAUAUCCUACAAAGAAUCAACAUAAUGAUAGAUGUUGCAUCGGCAUUAGAAUACCUUCAUUUGGGACAUCCGAUUCCGAUAAUCCAUUGUGACCUAAAACCAAGUAAUGUCUUAUUGGAUGAGGACAUGGUUGCACACGUGGGAGAUUUUGGAAUUGCCAAGCUAUUGGGAGAAGGAGAUUCCACCAAACAAACAAUGACACUAGCUACUGUUGGCUAUAUGGCGCCAGGUGAUUUUUUUUUUUUUCUCUAUUCCAAGACGAGUAGAUGUUAAUAUUUUAUCAUUUUAUUGAUGAUUAAUGAUGCCUGAAUACAUGAGAUCAUUUUAAUGAUUCAAUUAUAUUUAAAAUACAGAAUACGGAUCAAUGGGAAUUAUUUCAACAAAGAGUGAUGUCUAUAACUAUGGUAUUCUAUUAAUAGAGACUUUCACAAGAAAGAAGCCCACAGAUGAAAUUUUUGUUGGAGAAAUGAGUAUAAAGCAUUGGGUGAAAAGCUCAUUAUCUAAUGAAAUAAUUGGUGUAAUAGAUUCUAGUUUAGUGCAAGAAAUGGAUGAAUAUUUUGUUAUUAAGGCAAAUUGUAUAUCAUCUAUUAUGAGAAUAGCUUUGGAUUGUUCAGCUGAAUUACCUGAAGAUAGAUUAGAUAUGAAGAAUGUUGUCUCCAUGCUGAAGAAUAUCAAAAGAGAAUAUCUAAACAACAUUACGCAGGAUGAAUAAAUAUGGUAAGAAAUGCAAUUAUAUAUAGUUUAAGCUUAUAUAAAAGUACAUAGAAUAUAUUUAUCUAAUUUUUUUUAAGAAGGUAUUCCAUUAAGCUUUAUAUUUUUUUGCAGGUUAAGGGUACUACUACCAUAAUAUGUAUUUUGGUUCAAUAAUCAAGGUACUUUCAUCACUUUUGAAUUUUUAUCUGUAUAUUUAUUUAUUAACUUUGAACUCUUUAUUAAAGUAAUUUUUUCUUAAUAACAUUUUAAAUUUUACAGUAAAAACUAGAGUUUUAAUUGCAUUAAAUCAUUAAAGAGUUUAAAUAAUUAUAAGAUUUGCAUUGCUGGUGAAUUUCAAUAACUUCUAUGUCUAAGUAAGGAGGCAAGGUAGUUGUAAACAUAUAAAAAGGAUUUUCUUGAUUAAUAAAUAUCUUUUUCACCUGGAUAUGUGGUUACAUAUAUAGGAAGUUAGGCUCAUUUUGUAUAUUUGUGUUUUCUUUUAUUUUUUUAUUAAAUUCAUAUUAUUUCUCAGUACAUAUAAUUAAUUUGUAUAUGUUAUGUAUGAUACGUAACAUAUAUAUAGAUUAUCGUUUCUAUAUAUUUAACCAUAACAUAAAUUAUCAUGAAGAGAGCCAAUAAAUUAAAUUAAUUUUUAUUUAAUUAUGGUAUUUAUUAAUAUAAUCAUUGAUUAGGAAUACUUUUUCGCUACAUCUCUUUUUUAUUUCAAUGAUAUAAUAACAAUAAGUAUAUAAUUUUACAUAAUAAUCAAUUUGUAGUAAUAUAUUUUCUUGUAUGAAAAUUAUGACUCAUAUAAUUGCAUUUUUAAGUAAUUUGGAUUAGAUGAAAAUAUUGGUUCGUAUCUUUUAUAAAUAUAUAUAUGUAUAUACAUGUGUAUAUAUAUUUUAGGUGAUUUAUGAUUGAGUAUGGAAUUAUAUGUCUUUUUAUAAUUAAUUAUUUUUUAAUUGGUAUUUGGGUAAUAACUUAUUAAUGAAUUUUAAGUGAAAUAAAAAUUAUUAGAAUUAUUAUAUAAUUAGUAUGUAACAUUUCAUUGUUUUUUAUUUUUCUAAAAUAUAAUAUUGUUAUAUACGAUAUUAGUUAAUACACAUCAUUUUUCUAUUAAGAAUAUCUUUAGUUAAGAAGGUGAUAAUAAAAAUGUAUUAAGGAAUUUAGAAGAAUAAAAAAAUUUGAAAAGUUAAUAAAAUAAAUUACUCUAGAAGAAAUCUAUUUUAUCAAUCCAUCCCUCCUUACAAGGUUACUUUCUUAAGAGACUCUGAAAAUAUAUUAUUUAUCAUUCAAGUACUUAAAUUAUUUGUGUUUGUUAAAUAAAAUAGUUGUAUUAUUCUAAUGUUCACAACAAUUUUUUAUUAAUUUAAUUAGCUAGGAAAUUAUAAUAAAUUUCAUUAAUAGAGAAAUAUCAUAAUGUUUGUAAAUAAUAACUAGAAAAUAUAGAUGAAUAUAUUAAUAUUAAGCAUAUUGUUAUAAAUGCAAAGUUUAAAACUUUCUAAAAAAUAAAGUUUUGAAUAAUUAUUAUAAAUCAAAACAAAGAUAAAUGUAAUACACAUCCACUCACGGAUACAUUAUACAAAUAUAGAUGUUUAAUUUUUUAUAUAAAUGGUUAUUACUAAAACUCCACAAAAAUGUAUAAAAUAAUAUUUCUAUCAUUUAAUAUUAAUUAAUAAACACGUUUUCCUUACUAACGAACAUUUUAAUUAGGAAGCAAAUACUCCAAUGCAUUUUCAAUUGUAAUGAAAUUCAAAAGCGCCUAAAAGUAAAUUAGAAAUCAAUUUUCGUUAAUCAAUGAUCAUUACUAGCUAUUAUUUUUUGUUUUAAUCUUAUAACAAUAAUAUUAUUGUUUAAACUCUUAAUAACUUUUGUUUGUUGAACACUGAAAUAGCUAUUUUAUUUUGUUUGUUGAACACUGAAAUAUAUAGCUUUUUUUUUUUUUGCUUAAUAUGCAAAACAUGUUUUAUUUAUUUUAAUAAAUUAACUAUAUUAAUUACUGUUUAACAUGGAUGUUAAUUACAAUAUUGUUAAUAUUGAACAAAUGUUUACAAAAUUAAAAUAAUAUUCAUAUACGAAUUUACCAUAUAACAUAUAUAUAUAUUUAUUGAAAUUAAACAAUUUCAAAGAUAAAAGCAUGAAAUGACUUUACCUAAAAGUGAAUGUUAAUUUAUUAAUUAUUUGCUUUGGUAAAAUAGAUGUUAUUAAUCACAUAAGCCAUUAUUGAAUUUUUAUUGAUUUAGUUUCCUAUCGAUUUAUAAUUUUAAGCUUUUGAAAUGUUUAGAUUAGUCAAUCAUCAUUUAUACAUACUCAUCUAAGUUUAUAAAUUAUUGUCUCCUAUUUUUAUGUGAUAUGAUGUUAUUAAUUUAUCAACUAUCAGUAUGGGCUUUUUUUUCUAUUAUUCACAAACCAAUUUAGCAAGUAUGAUGAAAAAGAAUAAUAAUAGAGGUAGGUGCAAGCUUCUUGAAGUUCAUCUUUUUUCUUUCACUUGAUUAUUGUUGGAAAUUGGUUUUCAAAAUAUGAAUGCAAGCUUCUUGUCCAAAAACAAAAAAAAAAAGAAAAAAAGGGAACUGAUGCAAGUUUUGUAACUUUAUUGCAGUAUGUAACUAACGAAUUCAGGGUGGACUAGAUUGUGCUGUUUCUUCUCUUAUUGUGAUUGCUUAACGCUUGAGCGAGAGAUUUAUGGUGUGUUUGUGAAUUGGAAGUUCACCUUCCAAUGGCGUGGAAUGUCUAAGAAAGUUCAUGAAAUCAUGGCUAAAAGUGGUGUGGUGUUUCUUCUUGAGAAAUGCAAUCAUCCUUCUUGCAAUGAUUUUUUUUUUUUAUUUUCUAUUGGAGGAACAUUAGAGUGAUAUGUUUUUAUUUGGAAUCCAUAGUUUUAUUGAAUCAUAUUUUGAAAAUAAACUAUGCAAAGUUUAUUUAACUUCAUGCCAAUGGUUUUCCUGUUACUUUAUUCUAUGAAGGUGUCAAUAUUUUUUAUUCAAUAAAUGGUGAGUAGCUAAAAUACAAGUAACUCAACUGAGAACAUAUGAUAUAAUUGUUUAUAUUUUUGUAUUCAGGAAGUUGUCAAUUUUUCUCAUUUUAGAAGAAUUAGUUAGUUUCUUUUCUUAAUAUAAUUGAACUCUUGAUUCCAAGUAAGGAUUUGAAGUUAAAUAGUCCAAACACAAUUUUUGCUACAAUGUUUUGGUGCACAACAAUUGCUAAUCAUUUUUCUAUAAAUUUCCUCAUGUUUUCAUUUGUUAAUUAUUAAUUUUUUAUAGAAUUAUUUAAUAAAUUGAAAACAAACCUUUGAAAGGAAAAUUGUCAAUGUCAUCAUUUGGUUUAAAAUAAAAAUUGUUCAUGAAAAUAUCACUAUUUUUUUUUUUUUUGUUUUCAUAAAUGAUAGGGAGAGGAAAAAGUGUAAAAUUAAUGAUUUGAAAAUAAUGGGAAUUUUUUGUACUUUUUAAUUAAUGAUUUGAAAACAACGUUUAAAAAAAUAGAAAUAAAUUUUAUUCAAAAAAACUUUUGAUAUCCUAUUAACUAAUGAGUUUGAUUAAAAAUAGGUAGGAAAAGAAAAGUUAUACAAAUUAUAUGUAUUAAUUCCAAUUUUUUCAUAUUUUAUUUAGUUAAUUAUUUGAAAAUAAAUUUUUGAAAUAAAAUUAUAAUUUAUUAACUAAUGUCUUGAAAAUAAAAUUUUGAAAGAAUAAAAAAAACAAAUCAAUUUUAUUUAGAAAACUUUUCAUAUUUCACUAACCAUUAAAUCGAACUAAAAUGAUGGGGAAAUAUUCCAUAAAAUCCGAAGUAUAUUUAAAGAUCUUUUCAAUUUGAAGAAAGUUUGUAUCAUCCAAUGUAUUUAGACUUUAUUGUCAAAGGAUGGCUCAAUUUGGACUGCUUGGAUCAAGGCCUAUUCUCUUAAAGGAGAAAUUAUUUGGCAGGUGUUUGAAACUCAAAAUUGUAGUUGAAGUUGGAAAAACUAUCAUGGCUACCCUCAGUUUACAACCCUAAAUCUUAUAAAAAAAAUCAAAUGCAUAACUAAUCCAAACCUUUGAAAUUCAAUAUUUCUUUAAAUCUAAUAUCAAACCCAAAAAUUUGAUACAAAAUAUCAAACUUAGAACAACUCUACCAAUAUUUAAAGCCCUUGUUUAUGGUUUAGCAUUUUGAAAAUUUACAUUUUGUUCUUUUUCUCCUGCAAAUAUGUCUAACAAUUUUACACAAAUCAAAACUUAGAAAUCAACUCAAAACAAAGGUAAUAUAAAAACCCUAUAAUUAGCAUUACCUUUUUCUUGAUUAGAGAUUUUGGUUGCUACAAUGGUAGUCUCAAAGGAGAAUAGUGAUGGCUUACUUCUUGUACUCAUCGAUCAAGCCAUCUCGUAGGUGGUGAUAGUGAAAUAUAUUUAUUACCAAAAAAUUUGAAAAUGAGAAAAAGAAGAAAAGAAAGAAAGGGAAAAAAAAAAGGGAAAACGAAGGGAAAUUGAGCCAUCAACAAUUGUUUUGAGGCCACCCACGAAGAAAGACAACGCGAGAGAGAUUCAGAUUUUCAGACGAUGUAAGAAAUAAAAUUAGUCAAAUUGAUAACAUUUAAAUAUUUCUCGUAUAAAGGUUAAGUUUUUAUUCUACCAUGAGCAAUUUCUCGAGGUAAAUAUUUUAUUUUAUUGAGGCCCAAAUCAAUUGGACUUGGCCUUAUUUGAAAUCCAAUUAUUGAAUUUUAGAUUUUAGACUUUUUAUUUUAUUUUUUCGUAUUCUUAUUAUCCUUAUUUAUUUUAUUUUUAUUAUUAUACUAUUUAUCUUGAUUUUAUCAUUAAUUAUCUGAUUAUCUUUUAAAAAAAAUUGAUAAUUUGGAAGUUUAAAAUGAUGUUAUCUGGGUUAAGAUGCUAGCUUCAUCAGAAGCAGUUUGAGAUUAGAUUUACUAUAGGGAUAAUCUUUAAUUUUAAAGAAAUCUAUUCCUAAGUAAGUUGAAACUCUCGUGAUCUUAACUAUAAAUAAACUUUCAAUUCACAACAACUAACAAAAAAAAAAAAUCACAGAGAAAGCAAUCAACAGAGAAAAUCAGAGGGCAACACAGGGGAGAUAGGAGCAAAUCCCCAUUUUGUUCGGCCGCUCCCAAUUGCCAGUCACCACCAUCAGUCAUCCACUACCUAAACCAGCAACCGAAGACUACCACUACCUUUUCUUGCCCAAAUAGUAACCAUCGAUCCAAAAUCCAACAAAUAAUCAAAACACAAUAACCAGAGUCAAGCAUCAAAAAUAGCCACAGAGAUAGAAUCAACAAUCGACAACAAUCGAAAGACGAAAACAAAAGAUAUUCUUCUAGCAGCGGUUUUCGCUUUGGGAUUCACUUUUAGUUAGGCACCUUUUGGUAUUCUUUCAAACGGCAAAAGAAAGGGGAAGGAUUUGGAGGAGUUUUUCAAUGAUCCGAGUAGCUGGGAUUAGGAAUUCCAAGAAGUGGUAGAAUGGUCUUUGUGUUUAAAUUUGCAAGGUGUUGUGAGAUUCCAAAAAUAAUCAGGGAAGUGACAACUUAUCGGCAAAAAGGACGAGAAAACAGCAAAAACUGAGAGCUGUGUUGCUGAAAUGAGAAGUUGGGCUUUAUCCUUUUGCAAUAAAGAAUAAAGAAAGGGGAAGGAAUGUUCUAGAACUUGAAGAUCUGGUCAAGUCCAAAAAGCUUAUAUUUUGAGUGUAACCUGAGGAGGAUUCAAGAACCCACAAUUUGAAGCCUCGAACUCCAGCCCUACUUUUUAGCUUAGGCUGGCCUGCGUUGGAUUUGAGUUGUAACUGAAAUUUCAGGUUUUCAUCUUUUUUUUUUUUCCUUAUUUAAUUUUCUGGUUCUUUUUUUUUUUUAUCAUUUAUUUACUUUGUUAUACAUUUUAUAAAGCAUUCAUUCUUAAACUAGAAAAAUGUUUAGUUGCUUCACACUUAAAAAACUAAAAUAUGGUAGAAUAAAAUAUAUUUAUACUAGUAGUUUUCUUUAAUUAAAAUAUUAUCAGAAUCAUGUAUUUCAUAUAAAUCUUGAAGAUAGAUAACCUUUUUUUUUGAAUCAUGUAAUUUAAUUCAAACUUUAAUUAUAAGUGAAUUUUUUUCUAAGGAAUUUACUUUUCAGAAAUUUUUAGAUAAGCAAUUUCUUUUAAAUUCUCCAUGGUGGAAAGUUUAGUUGAAAACCUAAAAAAAUAAAUUUAAUUUCUCGUCAAUUGAACACCAAAUAUAAAAAAAAAAUGAAACAAAAACUCUAAAAUAAAUGGCAAUUAUCCUAAUGAGAUAAUUUUAGAAAUCAAGAAUGGUUGAUUUUUAGAGAUUUUUAAGUGAGAAGUUUUCUUAUAAAUUCUCUAGAAUGGUGGACAAUUUAUAUGAAAAUGUUAAUAAAAAUAAUUUAUGAAAAUAAGAAUAAAGAAUAUAAUCCUAAAAGAUAAAUAAAAUUACCAACUAGUAAAAUUUUAGAACUCAAGAAUUGUUGAAUUUCUAGAAUUUUUUUAAAUGAGAAGUUUUUUUUUAAUAUCUCAAACUGGAGAUUUAGAUAAAAUUUUCAAUAACAAUAUUGACAUUUGCUUUAAAAUCAUAAAAAAUUUUAAAAAUAAUUUUAGAAAGUUUUAGAAAUAACAAAAAUAUAUCUUAAAAAAUAGAAAAAUAAUAAAAUAAAUUUGAUGUUGGGAUUCUAAGAGAUCAAGAAUGGUUGAUCCUCUAAAAAAUUUCAAGAUGAGAAACUCUAGAUAAUAAAUUUAUUUCUAAAAUUUUAUCGUAAUGAUGGUAAAAUUAGAUGAAUUUAUAAUAAUUAUAUUUUUAAAUGUAGUAAAUAAAAAGGAUAGAAAUGAGAAGUUUUGGAAAUUGAUUUUUUUAAAAAAAUUUUAGGUAAAAAAAGUAUUUCUAAAAGUUUUUAAAAUGGUGAAAAAUUUAGAUUUGUCUCCAUAGAAUAGAAAUUUAGAUACAAAAAAUUUACACAAAAUAAAAAGAAUAAAUUUUGUGGAUGAAAUUUCUAAUAAUUACAAAUGGAUGAUUAUUUAAACAAUUUCUAGGUGAAAAAAUAUUUCUAAUUUUGACCUAAAUGAUGGAAGAAUUAUAUAUAUUUUCAAUAAAAGUAAAAUAAAAUAUAAAUGAUUAAGUUUUUUUUUUUAUGACAGAACCUCUUCAAAAAAAUAAAUGUGAUUUUUAAAUACUCCUGUUGAGGAAGUAUUUUUUAAGAAUUCUGCCAAAUUAAUGAAAAAAUUUUAAAAAUUAUUUUUAAUAUUUAAAUAUUAAAGUUUAAUAAAAAAUCAUUAGAACCAAUAAUCCUUAAGAUAAUUUAAAAUUAAAUGGUAUCAUCUUAGGAUGGGAGUUAUGAGGAUGCUAUAAUUUUUUUCGUAUGUAAUCGAACUCUCGAACCCUAUUCUAAUUAGUAAACCAAAACAUUUUUUUAAAGACCCUUAGUCAAGUUUAAAACAUCCUUAAAAUGAAUAUAAAUAGAUUCACCAAAGUGAUCAAUCAUAUUUAAUCAAAAAAUAUUGAUGAUGACUCUUUUAGUUGUAUUUAGCGAUAAAUUUACGAAUUUAUAUAUUAUGACACUUGGUAAAUAAUCUUUAAAUCCAAUAUAAAUCCCAGACUUUGGAAUGGGAAAGCUUCGCUUCAUUCUAAACUUUUAUAUAAAAAACAUUUUGUGGAACUAAUAUGUGACUUAUUGCACAUUUUGAAAGUUUGGGGGUACAUUAUACAAUUUUUUAGUUUAUAUAUCAAUUUAUACGUUUUAAUACAUAGUUCAUGAACUAUACUAGUAAUUAAUUCAUUCCAAAAAGUGUCUAUUUCCCUUUUAAGAGCUCCAAAUUGGUGUUGGGCAGGGUAGGUUUAAGUUCCUUACCUCUGUCUAAAAUGGCACAGGCCAGAUUUGCUUGCCAGUCGGAAAAACCAACAGGGCAAUAAAAGAAGAAAAAAAAGGAAAAAAGAAAAAGAAAAAAAAAAGAAAACGAAAUCUAAUGUUUUUAAACAAUGGGGUCGGUAUGAUGAAUACAUUGCUUCAGCUUUAGACAAGUAUCCAUAUUGCAAUGAUGCUUUCUAAGGACAAGACUAAAGUCGCAAUGAAUUUUUUUUUAUAUGUCAACACAAAUGGACUGGAAAUCUUGAUGGAUGGUAAACCUUCCGUAACUUUUCCCAUAUAGCUUAGAGAUGAGAAUUGUCCUUGGGUGUUAAGUUCUUCAAUCUUUGCUAUCCAAACGUUUGAUUGAGAAAAUCAGUGUUUAUCUUCUUUUUUUUUUUUUACCGAAAAGGAGUUCCUUCAAAGGUUUGUGACCCCUUAUGAGGAUCUUUCUUUAUUAAAGGUAUAUGAGGAGAAGCUAGGCCUUUCAAGAUAGAUUGUACAUAAGCUGAAUAAGUGAAUUUUCAUAUCAUUUUUUUAAAGGCUUAAUCUCAGUGAUAAUUUUUCUUUUCAUGCCUUUGAAAUUCAAAAAGAAAAUUGUGGGCUGAAAAAGAACAAAGUGAUAUGCAUCUGUCUUCCAUUUCGGGAUUUUAAUGUUAUGAUCUUAUUUUGUAUGAGCUGCAGCCACUGCUUUUUUAGUUUGAUCAAGUCCACUAAUGCAUUAUCCUUUUUGGCCUACAUGUAAUAUGAUGGAGAUUCAAGAUAAAACGAAAAAGUAUGAAAUAAUUUACCUUUUUUGAGUUAGUUUUUUAUACUGAAUAAAUGACCAGAGUAACUGUUUGAAGAGGAAAAACACUAUUUCCUUGUCAGAAGGGCAGAAACUGAAUUUUGAGUGCUGCAAAAACUAAAUUAUCAAAAGCACAAAUUAUUAUCAUCCUGAUUCCAUGUCUAUCCAGGGGUUUUCAGAACCAUGAAUUCUUCAUUAGACAUUCCAGAUGGCAACCUCAAAAACCCAUCUUAUAGUUUCCAUUCUAGUGUCCAAGUCCCUGCCACCGUGCAUAUAAGGUCUCUUUUUUUUUUUGCAUUUGGGAUAAGAGAAGGAGUUGUAAGUACUGAAAUUCAAACCACAAACCUAUUAGAUGUCAUUUUUUGAGGAUAACUGCAUGAACCAUCUACCAGCUUCUAUAUAAGGUCUUAUUUGUUCCAAAGCUUUUCAAAGAAAGGCUGACAUUAGACAUUUGUAAAUUGGGUGGAGUAGCAACUGAUAUUAAAAACGGGUUGCACUUUCCACCAUGGUGGCUAUGGAGCUGACCAUCAUUCUUUAAUAGCACUGAGGAGAGCAUUGCACAUUUUACAACAUAAUGUGAUGGAAAUAUUCAUUUCUAUGGAGAUGUAAAUCCAAACUGUGGUGCCUUGUGCUAGUUCAGUAAUGUCUCCAUUCUUUUAGUCCUAUGGGAUUAUGCGAAGGGAGAUGGGCUUGUGAUAGAACGAGAGGAUGAUUUCCAAGGACAUGCAUGCUCUACUUGGUUCAGAAAAAAAGGAGAUGAAGGGAGACAUCCCUGUGUUUUUAAAAUUUUGAUGUAAGUUCUUUAUUACUUAAUUAUCUGCUACUGGUUCUUCAUUGUUUUAGGGCAAAGAAUUAAAUCAUGAGAUAUAUCACCUGUAAUUAUUGCAUUAUAAUUCAAUGAUGAUUUAAACUCAAAUUAACUCACACUCGAAAUGGCUAGACUUUAAAAUAAAUGGUUAGAAUUAAAUUGGAAGGUUUUUUUUUUUUUUUGUUGAAAUUAUACAUUUUUUACUUUUAGAUAGAAAGAAAAUAUCAAAAGUCAAAUGUGAUCAAUUAAUUAAUUUAAUUUAAUAUAUCAAAUUUUAUUAAUUUAUUAAUAAGUAAUAAAUAUAAACAAUUAAAUUUUAAUUUUAAUAAAAUAUAAUUUAGAGGUAUAAUAAUAUUAUUAUAUUUAUUUAUUUUAAUUAUUAAAUAUAAUAAUCGUAUAAUAUAUAAGUAAUAUUAAGAUUAGUUCUAUUAAACAAAUAAACUUCUUAAGUCUUUUAUGAAUAAUUUUUUUAAAAAUAUAUAUAAAACAAUAGUUUGUAAUAUAUAUACAAUUAUAUUUUUAUUAUUUUUAUUAUAUAUAAAAUUAAAACUCAAAAUAAAAUGUUACAACUUAAAAAUUAAAAAUUAAAAUCCAGCCAAACGAGUCAAGUCGUGUUAUACCAUGCUACUAUCAAAUAACAGUAGAUAAUUUUAGCAUCUUCAUUUUUUAUUACACAUUUGUACUAUAUACUAUUCAAAUUUUCAAUUAUUUAAAUUAUAUUAAUAUUAUGUCUAAGUAAUUUUGAUAUUUUUGAAUUGUUUUAAGAUUAGAUCAUUAUGUUAAUUAAGUAAUCAAUAUUAAUAGUAUUUUUUUAUCUUAUCGUACUAUUAGUGAUGAUUUUGAAAGUUAAUUUUUUUGAAAUUAUUUAGUUAUUUGUUCAUUUUUAAUUCAUAUAUAAUAAAUAACGUGGACAAGUAUGAUUACAAAAUAUCGAUAUAAAUUACUAAUAAUAAAUAUUGAAUAUUAAUAAAUUAAAAGUUAUUAAUAAAUUUUUAUCAUGAAUAAAAUUAAUUUUAUCAUGAAUAUUAAAAUUAAAAUUUUUUAUUUUUAAUGUAAAAAAUAAAAUAAUAAUAAAUAAUUUUAAAAGAUAAAAAAAUAAAAAUUUUAGAUAUUAAAAAUAUAAAAUUUUGAAACAUUCAUAAAAAAUUUAAACAAAAAAAAAUAGAACAAAAAGAGCAAAUGAUAAGGCCAGGACACGCCAUUCAUGCUAAAAAUUAGUUUGUAACAUUAAUACUCAGAUUACAAACUGCAAAAUUAGUUUGUAACACAAAUAUCUCGAAGAAAAUGAUUCCCAGUGAACCAAUCAUGCUCAAAACCGUUAGAAAAUUCAAGUUUCACCAAAAGCUGUGAAUUUCGCUAAAAGAAUUCGUUAAAAAAUUUAAAAUUCAUUGAAAAAUUUAAAAAUUUCUAGAUUCUUGCAAAAAAAGGGCCAAAAGUUCAACUUGGAUCUUUGCGCCUCUUUAAUCCCUUAAUAACACUAAUUUUUCCAAAUUAAACUGAUUCAAAUAACUAAAAUUGCAAAAAAAAAAAAUUCAAAUUAAAAACCCUAUUGUGGAAAAUUUUUUUUACUUGCUUUCUACCUCUGCGAUUGCCUUUACUUGUUGUGUAUAUUGUGUUCAAUUAUUGUUGCUUAUAUAAGCCUUUAGUCCCAGCUCGUUUAGAAUCCAAAUCGAAACAAAAUGUUGAUUGGGUUAAUUUUAAAAAUUAUCAUAUCCUUUAUUCUUAAAAGAUUCAACUUAUCUUCACAAAAAUCAUCAUCAAAAUUCAUCUGAUUUCCUUCUCUUUAUUUAUCAUUUUGUUUAUCUUCCCGACCUUUCAAUUUCAAUUUUUUUUUUUACAGAAGAGAUAAAGAAGAUAAAAAAUAAAAUUCAUAAAAGAAAAAGGAAUUAGGCUUGGUUUAGAACCUAUCACAGCCCAAGAAUUCCAACAAGGGCCAACUUUAUUCCCAAUAAUCCAACAAGAGCCACAAUGUUAUGCCCCACAAUCAACUACCACUAUAACUCAAGGAGUCAAUUGAAAGCGCAAAAAAAAAAAAAAAGAGAAAAAAUAAAUAAAUAAAUAUACAAAUAAAAACGAAAUUUGGAAUUUACAAAAGAUUUCAAAUUAAAUUGGACAUCUACAAUUGCCACCUUAGGAUGUUGCUUCCAUCAAACCUGUCCAAGAUUUAAAAGUUGGUUGUCAUCUCUUUUAUGGAAUUAAAUUUGUCCAUAUUGCUUGAAACAAAACCUUAAGAAUGUUAGAAAAAUAACGUAAUAUACAGCUAUAACAUACAAUUUGUAAAUACUUCAAUGUUUUGACAACUUAAGAACUUCUUAUAACCUUCUUGAUGAAUAGUUAGAGUUGAGCAAUCAUGGACCUUCAAAUAUGAACAAAAUUACUUCAAAGUGUGCUACAAAAUGUCACUUUUCUUAAUGCUUAUAUCACCCUAACUAGUUAUAGCAUGCAAAAGGGAUGAACCAAAAUGGCUCUGAGAUAAAGUGAAGCUUUGUUUGUUUAUACUUUGCACUAGUAUAACAAACCACUAAACACACUUUAGUAGAAACGAAAAUAUCUUAUCUUAACAAGGUUUUCUGCUGUAAACAAUGUCAAAGCAAUAAGCUUUUAAUUGAGAAAAGAUUAGGAGAAAGAAGAAAGUAAUUCUGAAUUGAAUUAGAUUACAAAAUGAACUCACAUCAAUAUCUAUUUAUAAAGAUUGAAUCCUAAGAUUGUUAUUUUUUUAUUAUAUUGUUUCAAUUAAAGAUCAAUUCCUUUUGAUUAUAAAAAUGCAUCUUUGAGAGAGUACAAACAUAUUUAUUCAUUUGAAUAAUCAAACAUUUCAUACUAAGAGAAACCAUUUGUCCUAUUUUUGGAAAUCACAAUUUUUCACGCAAAGUAGUCUAUUGCUCCAAGAAAGCAAUCCAUUGCUUCUUUGUGUUUUCAAUUUUUGAAAUGCUUUUCGUAGUAGGGUGGUCGACUCCUCUAUAAAAUAAUCGACUAUUUCUUCAUAUAAAAUGCAUUCUCCAAGUGAACAGAUGACUCCUUUCAAUUUCCAAAAAGGUUCCACAUUUGGUCUCUUAUAGAGUAGUCGACUCAUCUUUAAUAGCAAUUAAAUGCAUUUAGCAUAAAUAAAUUCUCAUAAGACUAUCAUCUACUGGCAGUCGAUUGGAUUAGGGUUUGGAAUCAGUCGACUCACUUUUUAGACAUACCAAUCAAUUGCUCUAAGCUAAUAGUCGGCUACUAUUUAUAUAGAAUCUAAGUUUAGUUUAUGUUUGACAAAGCAGUCGACUUUAUGCCCUUGGCAAUCAACUGCUUUUCCUAAAAGUCUAAGGCAAUGGACUCUCCUGAGCAUGGCAGUCAAUUGCUUACAUAUAUAGUCCUUUUAACAUGAUUAUUUUAAGUAUAUCUUUUAUCUUAGGAACCAUACCUUAAGUUAUUUACUAACUUAAUUUAUUUUUGAUUCAGUUAUUUACAUAAUCAUAUUUUCAUAUUUUAAAAAUAUUUUCAAAUUGGGAGUGCCAUUUACAUAUAUUUCAUACAAAUAAAUUGUACACAUAUGCAUUAUCUUUUUUCUUUCAAAGUUAUUCUUUUUAAUGUAAUUCUUAAAUUCUAAUAUCUAUAUGAAAUUUGUGUAUAUGUUACGUGUAUAUAAUCUUUUCCUUAAGUAAUAUGAUAUCAUAUUUAAUUAGUACACAUCAUGUAUUUUUCGUUGACUCAUAAUUCGUAAAAAAAAAAUAAGUUAGUAGCUCGGCAGUGAGAUUAAUAAAAACUAAAACAUAUAUAAAAUAAUUUUUGCUAUUUAUGAAUUUUAUUUAUUAUCAAAACCCAUUAUACUUUCAUAUUAGUGACUCUAAUUAUGCCUGCAAAAAUUAUAUUAAAUUAAUACACAAAAAAUAAAAUAAAAAAACUGUCUAAACAUUUUAAUUCGUCCGUGUGAAAUGUCCUCUCUUUAGUUUGGAUUCAUUUGGUUUCAAUUGUUAAUAGCCCUUUCUCUUUUGGUGUAGGCACUUUUCUUUUUACUUAAAAUCAUUAAAAAUUUACUAAUUAGAAGUUGAGUAUUUUUCUUUUUCUUUUCCUACGUGCAGUGCAUAAAAUUUUUAUUCUUCAAUGGGUGUAGUUCCAUUUUAUUUCUUCGAAACAGGUAUUUUAAAUUAUGGGAGCAUCAUGUAAUGUAAUUAAUCCUUUUUUUUUCUACAAGCAUUAUGGCAGUGUUUACACGGCAAAUUGUCAACGUGGCAAUGAGACCAUUUUCUCUUCUUCCAAUUAUCAUAAUUUUUUUGGUUAAAAGUUUCCAAAAAUUAACGCUAAUAUUAAUUAUUUAAAAUAAUAAAAUAAAAUCGUUAAAUUAAAUACAUUAAAAAAAAAUAAAAUGAACUCUUCUGCCAUAUUGAUAAUAAAGAUUUUAAUUUGCUUUGCUUAAAAAAAAUAUUAGAAAUGAAAAGCUUUUACACCCAACCUCAAAUAUUUAAUUACCUAUCUAGGGUACGACAAUAGAAUGGUCUGCUUUGAAGUGUGUAAAACCGAGACUAGUUGAUUGAUAGUUGCGUUUGGAAAACGACGAUUAGUUUUCUUGACUUAAAAUUUCUUAGUCUGCUUCGAUGUUUGUGAAAAGCAGGAUGAUUUGAUUAUCCAUGCACUUAGAACACGAUAGCUAUCUUGACUUAAAAUUUCUUAGUCUGCUUUGACGUUUGUGAAAAGCAGGUUGACUAGAUUAUUCAUGCACUUAGAACACGUUCGAUAGCUUUCUUGACUUAAAAUGUGCUUUGAUAAGUCUGUUGAAAGCAAGAUGACAUGAUUGAUUCUUGCACUUGAAACACGGUUGCCAGCAUUUAUUAUUUUAAUAUUUCUUUCUCUGCUUUUAUAUUUGUGGAAAAUAAGAGGACUUGAUUGAUCUUUACGUUUAGAAAACUGUCGUUAGUUUUAGCUUUCAUGACUUAAAAUUUCUUAGUCUUCUUUGAUGUUUGUGAAACGCAGCAUGACUUGAUUAUCCAUGCUCGUAGAACACGCUCGAUAGGUUUCUUGACUUAAAAUAUGCUUUGAUAUGUGGAAAACAAGAUGACGUGAUUGAUCCUUGCACUUGAAACACGGUUGCUCGUUUUUCUUAUUUUAAUAUUUCUUUCUUUGCUUUUUAUGUUUGUGGAAAAUAAGAUGGACUUGAUUUUUCCUUGUUUACACUUUUAGACACCGAUUUUGUUUAGGUCUAUUAUUUUUAAUUUUUGUUUAAUUUUAAUAAUAAUAAUUUUUAAUAAUAAUAAUAAUAAUAUUGGUUUGAUUAAAACUAAAAAUAUUAAUUAAAAAAAAAAGAAAAGAUAAACAAACAGAGGGCUAAAAAGCGGCGUUGUCACCAGCCCUAUUUAGCUAACCACCUAGCCCCAUCCAGCCAUCAGACUAGUCCCAUCAGAUCAGCCACACUUGUAACCUAACCAAAUCAGUCAUCCUUACAGACACCUACAACCACGCGCUAUAGACACCUACAGUCACCCCCUACAACCCCUAGACUACCUACUAUCUCGAGCAUACGUACGGUCAUAUAAAGAACCCAACUUCCAGGUUAGAAGAGGCAUACUCGAACACCCCCAAAAAAUCCCAAAAACAUGAAAACUCCCACACCUAAGAAACCCAAAUAGAAAUAGAAACAAAAAAGUAAAAAUAAAAACAAACAAUCUUCCCCGUAGGGAGGAACCUAAUGCCAAAGCUACCUGUAAAAGCAAAAAAAAUCACAACAGUCUUAUUUAAAAAAAAAAGGAAACAAAAACUUUGAGCCUCGAUCUCCGCUGAUCGAGGCUAUUUUCGACAAAAAAAAGGUUAGAUCCAGGAAAAGCGUGUUGAAGAGAGUUUCUGGGAAUAUUUUUAGCAUUUUUUUGCCACUGGCAACCACCGAUAGUGACUGUCGACAGUGAUCUAGGCAGCGACCGGUGCGACUGUCUGGUGCUGGAUUCUGAUUGAAGCUAGAGAAUUUUUUUUUGGAGGUUGGGGAUUUUUUUUCAGGUAAAAGGAGAAAAUAACUAAAAAAAAAAUUUAGGCCUUUUAUAGAAAUCGUAUAAGCCAAAACAACGUCGUUUAAGCCAAGAAGAAUUCGCGCGUGGACCUGGACCUGACCCGGGGUCCGUGCAACUGACCCGCCAACCCGGCUUCUUAGAUAGCUCUGAACCGAUUUGACUAUAUCGGACCGAACUACUCCAUAGACCGGCUUGAACCGCUCCCCAUAUGACUUAACCGAACCGCGUGCCAAACCGACCCAUUUUCGAACCAACCGAAUCACCGUUGACCGGUCCGGUUCAAGUAAAAAAUUUUCUUUUGAAUUUUCUCAUUUUUUUUAUAUAUUAUUAUUUUUGUAAUUUUGAGUAUUUAUUUUUAUAUUUAUGCAUGAUAAAUUUUUAAAUUUGUUAGGAUAAAUAUUUAGUUGUUUUUAAUAAUAAUAAAAUGAAAAUAAAAUAGGAUAAUAACUUUAAAAAAGUAUAAAAAAUGCUAUAAUAAUAAUAAUAAUAAUAAUAAUUGAAUAAUAUUUUUAUUAUCUUUUUUUUGUUUGUUUUCUUUUUAACAAAAAAAUGUUAUCAUUUUUAAUUAAAUUGAAAUGUUUUUAAUAAAAAAAUAAUUUUUUUAAUUAAAUUGAUAUAUAAAAGCAACCACAUGCAUAAUUAUCAGAAUCAGACUAAAUACUGAACUAUUAAAAGUGUCGGGUCAUUGGUUCAACUGUUGGGUCAAUGAAGUCAAUUGUUAAACUAAUAAAGAUAUAUAAAUAUAUAAAUAUUUUAAAAAUUUAAUCCAUUAUGUGAUAAAUAAUAAAUUCUCUUAUAGACAAUUUCGAACUUAAAAAAUUAAAAUAUUUUACAUAAUAUAAUAAGUGUAUAAAAAGUACAUGUAUUUACAAAGUAUAAUAAACUUAAAUUACAAAAAUAAGUUUAAAAUUCAAACUCAUAACUCAAACUUUGAAAAUACUAAUUGAAUAAUUCAAUCAUAUUAUUAAAAAAACCAAAAAAAGUAAAUACUCAAACAAACUUAAAAACAAAUAAAUACAAUAAAUAAAUGUUUUAAAAAAAGAGAAAGCUUAUGUAAAAUACAAAAUUUUAAAAAUGAAAUAAAAAAUACCUUUAAAUUGAUGAUAUUGAUAUAAACAAAUCCAGCUCCAAAAUAAUAAUUAAAGUUUUUAAUUUUAGGCUACAUUUUUAUCCUUUAAUUUGAUAUGAGUGUGGUCACCUAAAAUAUAAAUGAGAAAGGAGUUAAAUUUUAUUAGGGGGUUAUUCUUUAAUGUGCAUUAAUGUGGUAGGACGGAUAAAACCAUUUAAUUAUCUAAUUUUAAAUUUUUUUACUAUCUAUUUACUUUAAAAUAUAUUAUUUAAUUAAAAUACUACAAUAACUCCAUAAUUUUAAAUUAUAAAACUAAAUUAAUCCAUAUUGUUUAAAGUCUUUAAAAAUUAAAACCAAAAAUGGUUCAAUAAAAACUACCCAGUUAAGUGAUUUAUUUAUUCAACCGUCGGUUCAAUGUAAUUUAAAGGAGGUUAAUUGCAAGUUUAGUCUAUUAAUAAAACUAAACUGAUUUAGGUAUCGACUUAUCAAUUCAACUCAUCUGAUCGAUGAUCCAAUUUGAUUCUAAUAAUUAUGAUCACAUUCAAAGCGAUAUCAUGAACGCUAGUGUUUUAUUAAAAAAGAAAAACUCUUGCAGCAUUAAAAAACUAUUUUAAGCACACAUACAUAUAUAUAUAUAUAUACACAUAUAUAUAUAUAUAUUUAUGUAUUACUAAAGGUAUUUGUUCUAGUUUAUUCAAGAGUUUUUUACAACAAAAAUAUAAAUAAGAUGUUUUACUUUCAAAAUUUUAAAAUUAUUAAUCAAAGCCCAUUUGGCUUUUUAAAAGAUUUUAUAAGUUAAAACCUUUUCAAAAGUGUUAUUGUAUAAUAAAAAAUAUAUUGCUUAGUAUUUUUUUUUUUGACAUUCUCAAUUUAUUUGUUAAUAAUUCAUAAAAUAAUAAAAAUGAAUUAUUUCACAUACAUAUUUUUUUUACUUGAUCAAAAUUUUCUAUUAAUCUCAUUUAUUUUUAAUUUCUAAUUAAUAAAAUAUAUCUUUGUUUUAUUUAUUGGUUUGGCUUAUAAAGUUAAGCCUUUUAAUUUGUAUUUAAUAAAAAUCUAUAAAAAUAUUAUUAAAUAGUUUUGUUAAUGUAGUAGAGCAUUUUUGCAUUAUGUUUGUCAAAUACUAUUUUAACACUUUUUGCAAAAAAAAAAAAAUCAAUCAAACCAAACAAAUUCUAAAUAUCAUUUUAAGAAUAUAAGUGAUAUUGUAAAGUAAGAAUAAAAAAUCUGGUAUUACGCUAAAAUAGUGUUUACAUGACAAAAUUCUCAAUGCGAAGAUGGAGAUAUCUUUUUUCUUCUUCCCAUUUUCAUAAUUCUUUACAAUUAAAAUUUUUCAUAAAUUAACAUUAAUAUUAAUUUUCAAAUAGUAUAAUAAAAUCAUUAAUUAAAUACAUUAAAAAGAGAAAAAGAAAUAAAAAUGGUCUUUGGUGCCAUAUUGGCAAUUUAGAUACAAACACAAGAUACUGAUAAUUAAAUUUGUACAUGAAUUGAGUUGGGCCGGAUUCGAAUCUGGCCUAGUUAGGAGAUUAACAAAUUUUAAGUUUGUUCAGACUCGUCCAUCUCAAAAUAUAGUCUUAUUUUGCUGCUCAAGCCUAAUUAAUUUUUAAAAGACUUUACCUAAGCCUACCUAUAUUUUUUAAAAUAAAAAAUAAAUGUUAUAAUAAAUAUUAAUUAUGACAAAAUAAAUAAUCAACAAAGUAAAGCCUAAAAAAUACUUUGUUAACUUAAUUCGGUAUUUCAAUGUGAUUAGUAUAUAUAGACAUAGAAUAUUAAUGUAUAUAUUAUAUUUAAUUUUCUUUAUUUUUAUAUAAUAUGAAUAUAAAAAAUAUAUAAUAAUUAUUUGGGCCUCGUUGGAUUCGAACCUUAAGCUUUAUGUCCAAGGCCUAGUACAUUUUUUAAACAGGUCUAAAAUUCAAGUUCAGACUCAUUUAACAAACCUAAAAUUCAUGUCAAAGCUCUUCCAAAUUUAGAACAAGCUUUCAAGUUCGAGCGAGUUACCCAACCAAUAUAAUUUAAAAGUUUAAUUCAUUUGGUCCAUAUAAUUACCCUUAAGAUAUUGUAUCUAAUAAGUUUGAAAUUUAAAUCUCAAUAUUUGUUUUCGUUUCUCAAUAGUUAAGUUGCGACAUUUUAUAUAUAUAUAUAUAUAUAUAUAUAAAUAAAUCUUUCAAAGAAAAAAAUUAAAACUACUAUCUCUUUGAUAAUACAGAUUUUAAUUUACCUUACCUUAAGAAAAAAAAUUAUAAAUUAGAAGCUUUUAAACCCAACCUCAACUAUUUAAUUACCUAUACAAGGUAUGAUAAGAAAAUCAUUUGCUUUGAUGCAGGAGAAAAGCAAGAAGACUGAUUGGUCCUUGCAUUUGGUAGCUUUAAUUCUUCACCUAAAAUUUCUUGGUCUGCUUUGACGUGUGUAAAAUCAAGAUCACUUCAUUGAUCCUUGCGUUUAGAAAACGAGCAUUAGCUUUCCUGAUUUGAAAUUUCUCGAUCUGUUUUGACGUGUGUGAAACCAAGACCACUUGAUUGAUCUUUGCAUUUGGUAGCUUUAAUUCUUUACCUAAAAUUUCUUAGGCUGCCUUGAUGUGUGUGAAACCAAGAAAACUUGAUUGAUCCUUGCGUUUAGAAAACGAUCAUUAGCUUUCCUGACUUAAAAUUUCUUAGUCUGCUUUGAUGUUUGUGGAAAGCAAGAUGACUUGGGUUGAUCCAAGGCCUAGCACUUAGAACACGUCGCUAGCUUUCUGACUAGAUUCCUUUAUUUGCUUUUAUGUAUGUGAAAAAUAAAAUAACUUUAUUAAAACUUCUUUUGUCUCUCUCAUGGAGAAAGAAUUGCUUGCUCAGUUUUGGAUUACAACAAUCACAGCUUUGAUAUGUGGUACUAUCAUAAACUUGUCUUAGGGUUGAAUUGAAACUAACACUCCAUACGUACCCAAAUCUCUUUAUCUUUAUUUGAAUUUGUGUACAUAUUAAAUAAAAAAUUGUGCUAAAAAAAGUGAGCCUAAACAAUGUUCAUAUGGUAAAAAAAAAAGAUCUUUUUAACUUUUUUUGUUGAAAUUUAUGCCAACAGUUACAUGAUAUCAAGGCAGCAAAUUUCAUUGAUUUUUAAAGUUAUCGAUGGAAUUAAUGGAUAAAUUUGAAAUAAAUGAAAUCAAGAGAAAUUUUGAACUAAAUUAAAAAGAUAAAUGUGAAAAAUAUAUAGUUUUUUUUUAUAUAAUUUUAUGAAUUGUUUGAAGGGUAAAAUGAAAAUGCAAAAGAAUUUCAUUAAAUAUUUGGUCCCAUAUAUUAGCAAAUUUUAAAGAAAUUUUAAUUUAUAACUUUGUUUAAAAAUAGUAUUAUAUUAACUUCAUUCUUUUCAUAUUCCGUUAAUUAAUACUAAAAAUGAAUUUUUGAAAGAAAAAAGAUUAUAAAUAAAAUUCAUUUGAAAACUUUUUAUAUUCUACUAACCACUGAAAUUAACUAGAAUGUUAAGUAAAGGAAAAAUCACAUGAUAUUAUCAUAUUAAUUUAAUAUUUUCAAAUUCUAUAAAUUCAUGAUUUGAAAAUAAAUUUUCAAAAAUAUUUAGAUCACUUUUAUUUGGAAUUUGAGUAUGAUAUUGUAUUUUAAAAUUUUAGAAUUAUUUUUUUCAAUAUUGAAUAUUAUCAAUGAUCAAUUAUCCUAAUAUAAUUUAUAUCUCUUAGAAAUAUAUAUAUAUAUAUAAAAUUUAUAUUUAUAUUUAUAUGAAAGAAUGACUGCCUGCAAUUUCAUACAAGUCCAUGGCGUAAAACGCGGAGUCAAGGAGAAAUGACUAGUUGGGUCUCACAAUGUUUGUAAGUCCAAUGAAUACAAAGAAAAAUAGAAAAAGAUAUAUUGGUUUUAGAUAUGCUUUGUAAAAGGAGAUCAAAAGCAAAUUAGAGUGCCCAAAAUCAAAAGCUUGACCCAUUUUUUUUAUUGUGAAGACCAGGGCCGUUGGUAUCAAUUGCCUCGUGAUAUCAAAUUCAUCCAAAGAUUUUGUAAAAGUACUGGAUUAUCUUUUGGUAAUAAAAAUUGACAUUUCGUUAAAAAAAAAAAACUCUUUGAAAAGAAAAAUAAUUUGAAAAUGGCCUUUUUAGGUAAUAAAUACUUUUAAUUUUCCUUACCUUAAAAAAGUAGUGGUUACAAAUUAGGAGGUUUUACAACCAAUCUCAAUUAUUUAAUAACCUAAGUAUGAUAAUAAAAUAAUCAAAUUCAACGUAUAAUAUUAAAAGAUCGGAACGCAGUCAGAAGAAGACCGUAUUGUUUUUGGAAACCAUGCAAAUUCACAUGUUAAUGUCGAAAUAAUAAUAAUGGUUGCUUUGAUUUAAAAAAAAAAAAAAUAGUGGUUGCUUUGAUUGGGUAAGGUUUACAUUAAUCCUUGCUCUUGCAAAAAAGUCAAUUGCUUUUCUGACUUCAAAAUUUCUUAGUCAGCGUCAAUUGGAGAGAGAACUGCUUGCAUUAGGUGGAAUCCUUUGCAAUAUAUAUAUAUAUAUAUAUAUAUAUGAUAAUAUUAUAUAUAUAUAUAGGAUAAUAUUAAGUAUAAUACAAUCACAUGAGAUUGAAAUUAUACGAAAAAAUAUGCGAAAGUGAUAUUAUUUAAAAUUUUGACAAAAAUUCUAUGUGAAUUUGACAAGAACAAAAAAAAAGUGUUUUAUAUUUGACUUAUUGACAUGAAUUUGGUAUGAAAAUUUUCAUAUUUUAUACAUAUAUAAUGAUAUUAACAUAAUACAAAUAUAUGAAUUUUCAAAUAUAUUUUGAACCGUAUUGAUAAAAAAUUUUAUAAAAGCACCAUAUUUCGAUAUACUCAUAUAUCAUGUGGGGCGAAGAAAAUUCAUUAAAAAUUAAUUUUUUUUAUAUGAUGUUACUUUAUGGGUGGGUAGCUUUUUUUUGAAUAAGAUUAAAAUUUUUUUUUAAAAUCUGAAAUUUAUAUUGUUAUUCUAUUUUAACUUUGGAUUUAAUGUAAAUUUACCCAUUUGUUAACUCAUGACUGCAACUCAAUCACGUUAUCAUUAGUGUGUGUGUGUAUAUAUAUAUAUAUAUUCACAAUUUUAGUUUAAAAAUAAAUUUAAAUUUAUUUAGCAAAAAAAUUUAGAUUAUAUUGUAUCCUAACAACAUUAUCAUUAUUAUUACCUUAGAAAACAAAAUUUACAAAAUUAUAAUCCAUUUAACACCUUUCAUUAUAAAUUAAACAUUAGUUACAGAUAGAUGUGGUGAUGACACAUGUUCAUAAGGGUCAUAGAAAGAAUUUAUUCAACUUUUAUGGGUACUUUUGACAUUUUAUGAGAAAAAUUGGGAGUUGUAUUUUGGACUUAUUUUGAGAUGUUGAAUAAAAUUUUCAUUAUGUUUGAGCUCUUAUUAUGGUUUUUUUUUCUUAUUAUAAAUAUAAAAUUAUGCUUUAUGUUUUUAUUUAUUUGAUGUGUUGAUUUUAAACUUUUAUAAUUUAAUUUAUCUCUAUGCUUAUUUCAAUUAAUUUCAAAAGAAAGAGAUAGGAAGAAAAAAAAAAGAUGCUAAAAGAUAAAUUAAUUUCAAAAUCAAAAGCUUCACUCGUUUAUUUAUUGUGAAGACGAAGCCCGUCCAAAACUUUCCUGUCGAAGUCUCAGUCGUAUUGACUAAUCGAUUCUAUAUUUAAGCAUUACUUUGAGCAGAAUUCCUCAAACCAUCUUGCAUUUUCAUCAAUUCCCACAGCCAUGAACAUGAGAAAAUUCCAUUUUCUUUCAUUAGCUUUAAUGUUCAUUCAUUGUUUGAUGAUUAGUUACGCCAUGAUAGUGAGGAACCUCACCACAGACCAACAUGCUCUUCUCGAAUUUAAGCACCGAAUCAUUGAUCCUCAUAACAUCUUAGCCAAUAACUGGACUACCACUACCUCUGUUUGCAAUUGGGUCGGUGUCUCUUGCGCUUCUAAGCACAGGAGAGUCAACGCUUUGAAUCUUCCCAACAUGAAUCUUAUAGGAAUUGUCCCUCCACAAUUGGGAAAUCUCUCGUUCUUAGUAUCUCUUGAUUUGAGUCACAACAACUUUCAUGGCCAUUUACCGAAAGAGUUGGGACAAUUAAAUCGUCUGAAGCUCAUACAAUUAAGUUUCAAUUUUCUUAGUGGGGAAAUUCCCUCAUCAUUUGGGAGAUUAAAUAAAGUUUUGUAUUUGAGCCUCCGGAGCAACAAUUUGACAGGUACAAUCCCUCAAUCACUAGCUAAAAUGUCCAACUUGGAAAUCUUGGACUUGAGGCAGAAUCUCGUUCAAGGACACAUUCCACCCGAGAUAAGUAAUCUUCUAAAUCUAAGGAUACUUCGUCUGGCACUUAACCAACUUUCUGGUUCUGUCCCUUCAGUCAUUUAUAACAUUUCCUCCCUACACAUGAUUUCUCUUGCAUUUAACAAUCUAUCUGGCAGUUUACCUGAAGAUAUUUGUCGCCAUCUUCCAAAUCUUGAGGCAUUUUACUUGUCCUUAAACGAGUUUUCUGGUCAAAUUCCAUCAAGUAUAGAUGAAUGCAGGUGUCUUCAAAAUUUUAACAUUAGACUCAAACAGAUUCAGUGGCAGCAUUCCAGGGAGUAUUGGAAAUUUAACGAGGCUCAAAGUGCUAUACUUGGAUGGAAAUAAUUUGGAAGGUAAGCUCUUUGUUUUUUCUUUGAUAAUUUUCUUUCGAUUGAUCACUAAUUAAUUUUUGUAUUUAGUGAAACAUGAUUCAAGCUAAAACUCCCUAAUUUAUGCUACUAAAAAUAGCUUUACUUUAACCAAGACUCCAACACAGUUAAUUAAGACUCCUUUUAGUUAGUUGUUGGUUUUUUCUUGCUUUUAUUUAAUCCAAAAGGUGCCAAGAAAUAGAAGAAAAUAGUAAAAAUUAAAAAUAUCUUUUAUAUAUAAAAAGUAUCAACUUUACAAGGGAUUAAAUACAGUAGUAAAAAUUAAAACAUUUUUAUCUUAUUUAUAUAUAUUAUAUAAAAGAACGAAAUUGGAAAGCGCAAAUAGUGAACAACAUAUAUAUCUUUGAUAAUUUAUUAUCUUAGAUAUUUUAUUUAUAAUUAAUGAUUUUCUUAUUAAAUUAAAAUAUGACUAAUUUUAUUUAUUUUCUUAUCAACAUUGAAGCUUUUAUCAAAAUAAACUUUCUUUAAUUGAUAAUUUGAAAUUAUUGCAAAAGAAUUACUUUUAUAUUUUUGAAAGUAAGAGCUAAAUUUAAUUUAAUUAUUGAUAUCAAGUUAAAACUGCUUAACAUUAAUAGUAACUAUGAAACUCAUGUUAUUUUCUCCGGUCAAGUUUCAUGGUUGAAAAUCUUCAGUAUUCCAUAUAAGUAUCUUAAAUUGGGAAAAAGAAAAAAAAAUAACCAUAAGGAAUCUAUCUCUUUUCCUUGAAAUGCUUGGACAAAUGCCUAAAAUAAAUUAGUUGGCGUUAAUGCCCUCCUCAUAACAAGGACUGUAGCACAUUUUGUUAGGCCAAAAAGCCUUUAUCAAAUCAAGUUAGUGGAAACAAAAUCAAAUAAUUAAUCAAACACAUAAGAGAUAAUAAUUUAACGUAAUUUGGUCAAACCGACCUACAUCCAUGGAUGAAAAAAAAGAUUCACUAGUUAUAAAAGAUUACAAACAUAUAUCAAAUCAAAUACUCAUAACUAAUACUCAUAAAUUCUAUUAAUCUCCUCUAGUCCUAUAAAAUAUUCUCAAUCCAAACAAACAAAUAUUCAUGUAUACCUUUCUAACACCUAUGUAGACUUUCUCAAUCUCUUCUAAUCCACUCUCAUGCACCAUACCUAUGUAGACCCUUUAAGUCUUUUUUAGUCGACUCACAAAUAUUCAAACAUACAAACCCAUAAGACAUAAAUCUCCAGUAGUCUUAUGGGAGUGUCUAUCCCAAAAUCUCACAACUCUCUUACAUCUUUUUCUCAUAUCUAAUCCUAUAGAGACUUUACCUAUUUAUAACUAUACAAAUUUGCCUUUUAAGAAUCUAUUUCUUUUUAGAAUUCUUCUUUUGCAAGUUUUAUUGUCCAUUAAAUAAUAUAUAAUAAAUCUCAAAGAAAUCUCUUAUAGGAUUCGAAUCAUUAUCCCUAACACAUUUGACAUUAAUGAUUGGAUUUCCUUUUUUUUCUUUGAUAAAUUAUCCAUUUGGUCACUUAAUUUUGCAGUACUAUUAUUUGAGUAUUUGGUUAAAAGAAAUGAUGGUCAAUCAGAGAAAGAAGUGAAUGAAGUUAUUGCUUUGUUUCAUCCCAUUGUUCAACUGUUAAGAAUUUAUGUCUUUUUAGUUUUUUCUUUUCCUUUUCUUUUAUUUUGUUGUUCGUUUAUAAUCCAACAAGAAAAGAGGAAAUUGUUAUUUGAUGAAAACACUUUUCACUAAAACAUGAGCAGUUUUAUUCCUCGAAAGAAUAUAAAUGGGAAAUACACCCUUGAGAGCACAGAUUUUAUUCUGAAAUUAAAUUAUUUUACUGUAUAGUUUUAGAUUUAUCGGUAUUAUGUAAUAUUUGACUAUCAAAUAUAUAUAUAUAUAUAUAUACACACACAAAUGCACUUGUAUUAUAUACAUAUUCAUAUGCAAUUACAAGUUUUAAAAAUCUUACUACCAUAAAUUUCUAAAUAUUUAACUCCCAAAAUUCUAAAUAAAUGAAACAACUAUAAAAAUAAUAAGUAUAUAAUACAUUAUCAUUAAAGAAAUUUAAUAGUUUAAUUUAAUGGAAACAUUUAAUUUUUGAAUCUAAUCAUGAAAAAAAUAAAAAUAAUGAUGAGAGCAAAAGAAUUAAAAAUUGAUUAAAAGAGCUAUAACAAUAAAAGGAUAAAAUAAGAGGCAAAAUUUUAUAUCAAUCAAAAUAUCAUUUUUAACUUGUAUGACUGAAAUACAGGCUGAUGCAAAGAUCAAAUAAAACAAUAAUAUUAUGUGUUGUGAUUCAAAACUGAUAUAUAUUAGCUAAUACGAUGAGUAUGAGUACAUUAUCAAUAACCAUGGUAAAAUCCUUGUUCAAUGAUAUAACCAAUAGCACCAAUAAAACUGUAAAAUGAUAAUAUUAUGUCCUAAUUAAUACAGAAUAAACCAAUGUGGUUUAUCCUAAGAAGCGUUGAAAUUUUAACAUUUCUCUAAAACAUGUCGGGUAUGAUUUUGCCUUGGAUCUUGCUCAUAUUAUAACAGUUUAUAUCUUAUUUUCUGGUCCAACUCACCAACAUUAAGAUCCGCUUGUGCAAAAAACAAGAUUGCUGGACCAAUUAAACAUUUAUGCUAAUGAAAUAGCUUUUUGAUUUCCUGCUAAAGAUGCCAAAAAAAAAAAAAAAAACAUCUUUUGAAGAUAAUGUUUGGAACGAGAAUUAAAUUAAUUAUUUUACAUCCAUAAACUUUGGAGCAAAUAGUUUCAUUAUCAAUGUCAUGCCAAGCAAAAAAACGUUUUUAUUCUACUUUAUAUAUACAGAUAUAUAUAUAUAUAUAUAUAUAUUUAUCUUUUGACGAUAAUGUUUGAGACGAAAAUUAAAUUAAUUAUUUUAAUCCAUAAUCUCAUAAAAUUUGGAGCAAAUAGUUUCAUUAUGAAUGCAAUGCCAAGCAAAAAAAAAACAUAGCUUUUAUUCUACUUUAAUAGUUUCAUUAUGAAUGUAAUGUCAAGCAAAUAGUUUCAUUAUGAAUGAACUCUUGUAACUUGGUUUCUUUAUGUUCACGGGUGAAAUCCCUUCGAAAAUUGGAAAUCAUUUGAGCUUGGGGAUAUUUUCUGCCCCAAAUCUGAGGCUUGUUGGUCCAAUCCCAGCUUCCAUCUAUAACCUUUCUUGUUUAAAAGAAAUUUAUCUCUAUAGCAACAGUCUCUCUUGCAGUAUUACAUAUAAUAUGUGUUAUACUCUUGUCAAACUUCAGGUGCUUGAUAUUUCUGACAAUGAAUUUUCAGGCCACAUUCCAAGAAGUAUAGGAAAUUUAACCAAACUUAAGGAGAUAUAUCUAAGUCAUAAUGAUUUAGAAGGUAAGUUUUUGCAUUUGAUUAUUUAAAUUUCAAUUGAUUGAUACUUUUUAUUAAUUAUAUUAAAAAAAUAACUAAAAAUUAAAAAUUAAAAGAAUGAUCAACAUGAAAAUAAUCACAUUUGAUUUUCUUUUAUGCUUUUCUCAUUUUGACUCAAACUUUUGGAAUUUGAAGAAAUUAAGUUUUCCUUCAUAUUUUAAACAUCAAAGGAACUAAGAAUUUAUUGUGUAAUUGACUUUUAUUGCAUUUUAAAUAACCUCAAUAUUAUUGGAAUGUUUAGAAAGUGGAUAGUUUUAUAAUACUAAGUUGUUGUUCCUUUGUAGGUGAAAUUCCAUGGGAGAUUGGGAAUCUUAUUUCAUUGGAGACAUUAGCCGCAUCAUUUAUGCGCUUAAGUGGGUUGAUUCCACGUUCCAUCUUCAACAUUUCUUCUUUGAAAGUAAUUAGUUUCGUAAACAAUAGUCUAUCAGGUAAUUUCAUUAUAAACAUUUCAUUACUUUUAUGUUUAAAAUUGCUUACUUUAGUUUCAAAAAAGUUUAGUUUAGGAUUAUAAAACAAAUAAUCAUAAAAUUAUGAAAACUGUUAAAAAAAUGAAGUGCCAUUGAAAGGCUUGAGAAAUGUCUUUUCAAACCUCUUUUAUCUUAUUAAAAUCAAAUACUGUUUCCAAUUAAAUUAGGGAACGCAAAACAAAGACUCAAAAGAAUUUGAAAACCAAACCUGAAAAUCGAAAUUUCCAUCGUUUAGAAAAUAUUUUAAAAUUUUUAAAAAACAUUUUAUGAUGGAAUCAUGCCCCUAACUGGGAUGCGCACCACUAGCUAAGUCUACAAAGUUGGCCAAUGUGGAAAAAGGAUAGGUACCCAAAACUUGUGAUGUAAUAUGGCUAUUAGUUAUUAUCCCAUUGCAAUUAUAUACGAUAAAACUAUUUGAUUUGGUUUAUAAUGUGAUAAAAAGUAAUAUUAACGUACAUUGUUACUCCCAUAUUAAUUUAAUACCGACUUAAUUUAUUGUUACAUCUAACUUAAAGUAGUAUUAUUAUAUUUUAUAUUUUUAUAUUUAUUCGUCUGCAAAUAUUUAAAAUUUAUAUUUUGUGUAAUAAAAAAUUUAACAAUGUAUUUUAUUACUUUUAUAUUUCUUAAUAGUGUGUAUCCGUGUGGGCUAGUUUUAUUGGCUAUAUGUGAAAUGUUUCAUAAAAAUUAAAUCAUAUAGAUAUCAUUAAAUUGAUUAAAACUGUUAAGUAUAUAUUAAAAGGAUUGUGAAAUUCAAAUUUUCAUUAUGAGGGAUAAAUUAAAUAAGAUUCAAAUGAAUAUAUUUGAUUUUCAUCGUAACAAAGUUGUAAAAAACAAUAAUAUUCAGAUUCUAUAGGCAUACUCAAAAGUUUAUAAACUGUAAUCAUACAAGAUUCAUAUGAAUAUAUUUGAUUAGCUCUUAAUAAGUUGUUAAAAUAAUGAAAUAUGCUAGUCACAUACAAUAAAAUUUGAUGGGAGGAAAGAAUUGAUCAAUGGAGCUAUUUGUUAAUUAUCCAUUUUUUCCCACCGCAUGGAAUUAAAAUGAAUGUUGUAUUUUGAUAUUCUGUAUAUUGAAAACAGUAAAAGGUGAUGUAUAUUUGUUUAGUUUUAUAUAUAAAUGAUAAAAAGUAAGCUAAAAAAUUUGAAACUUGAAAAACAAAUAAAUAAAUAAACAACCUGAAUAGAAAGAAGAAAAAAAAUGAAAGAAAGAAAAAUGAGAAGUAGAAAGAGAUAGAGAUUCUAGAAAUGAAAAUAUGAUAUAAUAAAGUACAUGUAAAAACGUGUAUUCUAAAAUAGAAACUCGCAUAAAAAAUUAUAGUUAAAACCUGUAUUGUAAUGAUUACUUGAUUUGAAGUAGGAAAGAAAGAGUCUUUCCAUGUCAAUAAAACCAAAUUAAAAACCUUUUAGUGUUUGUCCCUCAAAUAUUUUUCUUUUAACACCAAUUUAAAGUUUCAUUAAAUUGUAACUGAUCCAUUUUGUAAUUUCUAUUAUUACCUAAAGACAUUAGGUCAAUUCAUUUUAUAGUUUUUCUAAAUUUAUUAUUUAUUAACAACAUGUAAUAUUGUAUUAAAAUUAAUAUAAUUUUAUUAUUUAUUAACAAGAUGUGAUAUUAUAAUAAAAUAUUAAAUUUAAAUCUUCUAAAAUAUAAAAUUUUUAUUGAAUGGAUAAGGUAAUUUUAAUUUGAGCAUAUUUAUAUUACAUAUAAAUAAUAAAUUUAAAUAUGGAAUUUAAAAUUAGAUUAAAAUUAUUAUAACAUUAUAUGUUAAGUCCACUCUUCUAAUACAAAAAUUAAGGCGCAUUCAUUUACUUAGCCUAUAUUAUUUUUUAGUCUGCCCAUUCUUUUAAGACAAAUGAGUAAAGUUUAUAUGGUAAUUGAGGAUCAACUUAUGAUUAAUUAUAUUUAACAGAAAACAAUUUUAAAAUAUAUAUUAACAAAAACCAUAGCUUUAAAAUAUAGUAUUAAUGAUUUCCGUUCCAAAAAAAAAAUCAAUAUUCAAAAUUUUAAAAAAAAUUCUUCACUUAUCCAACCACAUGUCAAUUUCCAAUUCAUCCCUAACUACCAUCCUUUUGUCACUGGAUUGUUUUAAUAUAAUGUAUAAAUUUGUUUAAAGUUGUCUGGAUUGUUUUAAUAUAAUGUAUAAAUUUGUUUAAAGUUGUCUAACUUUUUAUUUGAAGCAUUCCAGUUAUAAUUUUUUUCCUGUAAUAUUGUAAUUAUUAUCUAAUCACAAUAAAGUAUUAUAUAAGGAUCAUCACUGAUAAAUGUGGGUUACACAUAAAAUUUUGAUAAAUUUUAUAUAAUUUUAAAUUAUAAUUAAUUAAUUGAAUUAUAAUAGUUGUAAAUUAUGUGCUCUCUUUUUAUUAUAUGCAAUAAAAAUAAGUGCUACUUUUAUCCUUUUUUUUUUGGUCAAAUUAGGGAAUUUAACUGUUCUUUUACGAAAUAAAAAGCAAUAGUUGUGUAAUUUUUUUUUGGCUAAGCCAUAUUUUUAUUAGAGAUCAAAAGACCAUCAUCAGUGAAAUACAAGAAUCUUACCAAGAAACAUAGUUAAAGCCAUACCAGAAACAACAAAAAAACAUCUAGCGCAAUUCUAACAAAAGACUUCCACCUAAAAAGAAGAAACCAUAACACCCAAACAAAAAAAAAAAACACUACCAUGGUCAGUAAACAAAUAAUGAGAGCAAACACCACUAUCCCUUACAGAACAAAAUCACCACCCACCUUUGCCAUGACAUCUACCAUAUCAUUCAGCUUUUUAAAAUUUUUUUAUCAAACUGGAUGCCCCAAUUGAUCUCCAAAGCAUCACAAUUUCAAAAAAUAUAGACAACAACUUUCAUGGUCGAUGAUUCUUUUUACAUAGGGGCACUUCCAUAUCCCAAAAGCAUACAAAUAGCAAAACGCUAAAACUCCCAACAUUAACCUCAUAACCACUAUCAUAUCCUUCUAGAAAAGCUCUAUUUCGAGGACGAAUACCUUCAUCCGAUGAGUGUUCUUGAAUAUUGGAAACUAGAGGUGUCUUUAUCUGGCGAGACUUGCGAUUGGAUCUUUUCCAAUAUUUUGCCUUACCUAUUUUCCUUCUUUUACCUGCUCGAAUAGUAGUAACAAGGUGAAAUUUUUCUUCGACGUUGAAAAGUUUCUCAGCGUCUCUAUCACUAUUGCUCAUAAGCUCAAUAGAAUCCUGACCAAGUUCCAGAGAUAAUAACAUACUUUCCUCUGACAAGAUUUGAUCAAUGGCAUUUAUCGUAUCAGGAUAUCUAACUAUUCCAACAGCAUUCCGUUGUAAUCCCAUCAAAUCUAAAUUUUCAGGAAUGUAUUCAAGGAUGUUAAGCGAUUUUGAAACCUCUUCUUUUUCGACCAUCUGAUACAAUGUUAUCCUUUAACUGAUUGGGUUUGACAGACAUAUGAACCACCUUUGCAUAAGAUUGUCCAUCUCUAAAGUCUUCUAUGCAGCUAACACCUUUUUCCAUGCGGUGAGUGGUGGGUUUAGAGCUAGCAUGAGACCUUUGAUCAUACCUUGCCAUUUGAACAUAUAGAGUGGAAUAACUCAGGUACUAACCAUUUAGAAAUUUGACAGCCCUCAAUGAAUCCCAUAGACCAAGAUAAUGGACAAACCAACUAAGACAUUUUUGGCUCUCUUCUGAUUUUUUGGGACAUAAAAAUCAACCACCCAUCCACAUCUGGCAAAACAUUGCUGGAGAUUAAGGAGACUACAUCCUGGAAAAAUUCCAUCAACAAACAGUGUAACAAAUUUUCUUAUGUGGCCUUCAUAGCAUCCAAGAAGAGCUUUUUGACUUACCUUUACUUCACCCUUUAAAUCAGACUAACGCAAGGCUUUUCACCCUCUAAUAAUUGUGUAAUGGAAAGCAUCAUUUUAAAAUCUUUUUCAUUAGUUUCACAUUUUUUGUCAUCAUAUUACUAAAUUUUUUAUUGUAGUAGGAAAAUAUAUACGGUAUUACUCCAACAAAACUUAAAUGAACCUCCUCUGGUACAGCACUCGUAAGGUUCUAUCAAACCUUAGGGAAGAAAGAAACUGAUUUUCAAAACUAAAAGGAGUAUGUGUACUUUUAACAAUCUUUUCAUAGAAUCUUUGUAUUUUUCUCUUAUAUUAUGCAUAUAGUCUAAAAUGAAAGAAAUUUUAUCAUUUCUCUUGAGCCUUUUUUUCCUAAAAUAGCAUAGAUAAAAAUUCUAAUUUAUUUCCAAAUAUUUACACUUUCAGAUUUUUCUUUUCUCAAACAAAUUAAUGUAAAUAUACAUUUAUUUUUUAUUUUCGUCAUUUUUUAUCUCGUUUCUUUUUUUCCCAUUAACAAUUUCAUCAACGAAAUUUUCUUUAAUCUUUUUUAUCAUUAAAGCAAUUGAGAUAAGUUAAAGGAAAUAAAAUUCUUACAUAAAUGGAAAACAUUUUAAGCAUAUACUAGAAACCUUAUAAUAUCUUCUUUUCUCCUUUCCUUUCUUCUAUCUUCUUUUUCCUUUUACUUUUCUUUUCUCUUUUGUACUUUAUUAUACGUAAGCGCGGAGCCCUAGUUUGAUCAUUAUAAAUAUGAAAAAAAUUUUAUAAAUCAUAUAUAUAUAUAUAUAUAUAUACCAGAUUAUCAAACAAGAAAAACCUAAAGUUGGUUCAUAUUUAUAAUUGUUAAAAGGCUUCAUGUUUCUCCUCACUCAUGUUCAUAUAUGUAAGCAUUGCAUUCACUUCAGCUUGCAUCACAGAUUCAUGAAAAACAUAACAAAGCAAACCAAUUAAUUUAUUUCUUGUAUGGAAAUAUGCCAACUUUUUUUUUUCUUUUUAGGUAAAUUACCACACAUGAGCUCUGCUUCAAAUCUUGGGAGGCUUUACUUAGCGAGCAAUAAUCUCAGUGGAAACAUUCCUGACUCUAUCUCCAAUGUUUCUAAGCUCAGAGUCCUAGAUUUAGAGGGAAACUCAUUCUUUGGCCUUAUUCCAGAUACACUUGGCAAUUUGAGGUUCCUUGAGAUAUUGAGCCUUAGGUCGAAUCAUUUGACCACCAAAACUUCAACUCAUGAGUGGAGCUUUCUCAAUUCCUUGGCAAAUUGCAAGCAUCUAAAAAUUUUAGACCUAUCAUUCAACCCAUUAAAUGGCAUUCUUCCAAUUUCUAUCUCAAAUCUUUCCACAUCACUUCAACAAUUACGGGUCAUUGAUUGCAAAAUUAGAGGCAACAUUCCCAUGGAAAUUGGUAGCUUAAGCAACGCUAUAUUGUUAGACCUUUCCUCUAAUAAAUUGAGUGGACCUAUUCCAACAGCAAUAAGAAGGCUAAAAAAUCUCCAACUUUUGAAUCUUUAUGGAAAUAAGUUACAAGGCUCUGUCCCACAUGAUCUUUGUGGUUUGAAGGGAUUGUACAAAUUAUCAUUGGGUGCUAAUGAGCUUGAUGGACCAUUACCAACGUGUUUAUGCGAGUUGACUUCUUUGAGAUAUCUAUACUUGUUCUCCAACAAAUUGCAUUCGCAAAUACCUUUAACUUUUUGGAGCCUUAAAGAUAUCUUAGAAGUAGACUUGUCAUCAAACAAUCUUAGAGGUUCACUUCCACUUGACAUUGGAAAUUUGAAGGUACUUAUCUCUUUGAAUUUGUCAAGGAAUUUAUUAUCAAGUGAUAUUCCGUCCACAAUUGGAAGUCUCCAUGAUCUGCUGGUUUUGAAUCUUUCUAAAAAUAGAUUACAAGGCCCUAUUCCAAAAUCAUUGGGUGACUUGAUAAGUUUGAAAAGCUUGGAUUUAUCUAACAAUAAUCUCUCUGGAGUCAUUCCCAAGUCUUUGGAAAACCUUUAUGAGCUCAAUUAUUUUAAUGUGUCCUUCAAUAGAUUGCAAGGAGAAAUACCAAGGGGAGGGCCUUUUUUGAACUUCACAGCUAAAUCAUUCAUGAAAAAUUAUGCAUUAUGUGGUUCACCAAGACUACAAGUCUCACCUUGCAAAAAUAAAAUCCAUCGAAAAUUCAAGAAGAUCGCUCUACAUGCUUUGAGGUAUGUUUUGCCAACAUUUGCUUCGAUAAUAAUAGUUGUAACUGUCAUAAUUGUCUACAAAAAAUGGCAGAGGGGGAAUAUGAAUUUGGCAAUGGAUAAAGAUUUAAUUCCUCUCAAAAAAUGGAGAAGAAUUUCGUAUAAUCAAUUAUUGCAAGGGACUGGUGGAUUUAGUAGGAAUAACUUACUUGGUUCAGGAAGUUUUGGCUCUGUAUACAAAGGAAUACUUUCGGAUGGAACGGAACUCGCAAUAAAAGUUUUCAAUUUGCAAAUAGAUGGAGCAUUUAAGAGUUUUGACGUUGAAUGUGAAGUGAUGAGCAAUAUCCUUCAUCGCAAUCUUGUCAAGAUCAUUACUUGUUGUUCAACUAUUGAUUUCAAAGCCUUAGUGCUUGAGUUCAUGCCUAAGGGGAGCCUUGAGAAAUGGUUAUAUUCUUACAACUAUGUAUUGGAUAUCCUACAAAGAAUCAACGUCAUGAUAGAUGUUGCAUUGGCAUUAGAAUACCUCCAUUUGGGACAUCCGAUUCCUAUAAUCCAUUGUGACCUAAAACCAAGUAAUGUCUUAUUGGAUGAGGACAUGGUUGCACACGUGGGAGAUUUUGGAAUUGCCAAGCUAUUGGGAGAAGGAGAUUCCAUCAAACAAACAAUGACUCUAGCUACCAUUGGCUAUAUGGCACCAGGUGAUUUUUUCAUUUUUUUAAUUUUUUCUCUAUUCCAAGGUGAGUAGAUAUUAGUAUUUUAUCAUUUUAUUGAUUAAUGAUGCCUGAAUGACAUGAGAUCGUUUUAAUGAUUCAAUUAUAUUUAAAAUACAGAAUACGGAUCGGUGGGAAUUAUUUCAACAAAAAGUGAUGUCUAUAGCUAUGGUAUUCUAUUAAUAGAGACUUUCACAAGAAAGAAGCCCACAGAUGAAAUUUUUGUUGCAGAAAUGAGUAUAAAGCAUUGGGUGAAAAGGUCAUUAUCUAAUGAAAUAAUUGGUGUAAUAGAUUCUAGUUUAGUGCAAGAAAUGGAUGAAUAUUUUGUUAUUAAAGCAAAUUGUAUAUCAUCUAUUAUGAGAUUAGCUUUGGAUUGUUCAGCUGAAUUACCUGAAAAUAGAUUAGAUAUGAAGAAUGUUGUCUCCAUGCUGAAGAAUAUCAAAAAAGAAUAUCUAAACAACAUUACGCAGGAUUAAUUAAUAUGGUAAGAAAUGCAAUUAUAUAUAGUUUAAGCUUGUAUAAAAGUACAUACUAUAUGUUUAUCUAAUAUUUUUUAAGAAGGUAUUCCGUUAAGCUUUAUAUUUUUUUUGCAGGUUAAGGUUACUACUACCAUAAUACGUAUUUUGGUUCAAUAAUCAAGGUACUUUCAAUACUUUUGAAUUUUUAUCUAUAUAUUUAUUUAUGAACUUUGAACUCUUUAUUAAAGUAAUUUUUUCUUAAUAACAUUUUAAAAGUAAAAACUAGAGUUUUAAUUGCAUUAAAUCAUUAAAGAGUUUAAAUAGUUAUGAGAUUUGUAUAGCCAGUGAAUUUCAAUAACUUCUAUGUCUAAGUAAGGAGGCAUGGUAGUUGUAAACAUAUAAAAAGGAUUUUCUUGAUUAAUAAAUAACCUUUUCACCUGGAUGUGUGGUUACAUGUAUAGGAAGUUAGGCUCAUUUUGUAUAUUUGUGUUUUCUUUUAUAUUUCUUUUAUUAAAUUCAUAUUAUUUCUCAAUAAAUAUAAUUAAUUUAUAUAUGUUAUGUAUGAUUAGAAGUAACAUAUAUAUAGAUUAUAAUUUCUAUAUAAUUAAUCACAACAUAAAUUAUCAUAAAGAGGGCCAAUAAGUAAAAUUCAUUUUCAUUUGCUUACGGUAUUUAUUAAUAUAACCAUUAAUUAGGAAUACUUUUUCGUUACAACUCCUUUUUUAUCUCAAUGAUAAUAAUAACAGUAAGGAUAUAAUUUUACAUAAUAAUAAAUUUGUACUAAUGUAUUUUCUUCUAUGAAAAUUAUGACUCAUAUAAUUGCAUUUUUGAGUAAUUUGGAUUAGAUGAAAAUAUUGGCCAGUAUCUUUAUAUAUAUAUAUAUAUAUAUAUAUAUAUUUAGGUGAUUUAUGAUUGAGUAUGGAAUUAUAUUUCUUUUUAUAAUUAAUUAAUUUUUGCCAUAUUAUUUUUAUAAUUGAUUAAUUUUUAAUUGGUAUUUGGGUAAUAACUUAUUAAUGAAUUUUAACUCAAAUAAAAAUUAUUAGAAUUAUUAUAUAAUUAGUAUGUAACAUUUCAUUGUUUUUUAUUUUUCUAAAAUAUAAUAUUGUUAUAUAUGAUAUUAGUUAAUACACAUCAUUUUUCUAUCAAGAAUAUCUUUAGUUAAGAAGGUGAUAAUAAAAAUGUAUUAUGGAAUUUAGAAGAAUAAAGAAAUUUGAAAAGUUAAUAAAAUAAAUUACUCUAGAAGAAAUCAAUUUUAUCAAUCCAUCCCUCCUAACAAGGUUACUUUCUUAAGAGACUCUGAAAAUAUAUUAUUUAUCAUUCAAGUACUUAAAUUAUUUGUGUUUGUUAAAUAAAAUAGUUGUAUUAUUUUAAUGUUCACAACAAUUUUUUAUUAAUUUAAUUAGAUAGGAAAUUAUAAUAAAUUGCAUUAAUAGAGAAAUAUCAUAAUGUUUGUAAAAUAAUAAGUAGAAAAAUAUAGAUGAAUAUAUUAAUAAUUAAGCAUAUUGUUAUAAAUGCAAAGUUUUAAAAACUUUCUAAAAAAUAAAGUUUUAAAUAAUUAUUAUAAAUCAAAACAAAGAUAUAUGUAAAUAUGUAUCUACUCACACAUACAUUAUAACAAAUAUAGACGUUAAUUUUUUAUAUAAAUGGUUAUUUAUUAAAAACUCUACAAAAAAUGUAUAAAAUAAUAUUUCUAUCAUUUAAUAUUAAUUAAUAAAUACGUUUUCCUUACUAAUAAACAUUUUAAUUAGGAAGCAAGUACACCAAUGUACUUUCAAUUGUAAUGAAAUUCAAAAGCACAUAAAAAUAAAUUAGAAAUCAAUUUUCAUUAAUCAAUAAUCAUUACUAGCUAGUAUCUUUUCUUUUUCUAGUCUAGUAACAAUAAUAUUAUUGUUUAAACUCUUAGUUACUUUUGUUUGUUGAACACUGAAAUAGCUAUUUUAUUUUGUUUGUUACACUAAAAUAUAUAGCUUUUUUUUUUUUUGCUUAAUAUGCAAAACAUGUUUUAUUUAUUUUAAUAAAUUAACUAUAUUAAUUGCUAUUUAACAUAGAUGUUGAUUACAAUAUUGUUAAUAUUGAACAUAUAUUUACAUAAUUAAAAUAAUAUUCAUAUACGAAUUUACCAUAUAACAUAUAUAUUUAUUGAAAUUAAAAAAUUUUAAAGAUAAAAGUAUGAAGUGACUUUACCUAAAAGUGAAUAUUAAUUUAUUAAUUAUUUACUUUGAUAAAAUAGAUGUUAUUAAUCACAUAAGCCAUUAUUGAAUUUCUAUUGAUUUGGUUUCCUAACGAUUUAUAAUUUUAGGUUUUUUAAAUGUUUAGAGUUAGUCAAUAUCAUUUAUACGCACUCAUCUAAGUUUAUAAAUUAUUGUCUCUUAUUUUAUAUGGUAUGAUGUUAUUAAUUUAUCAACUAUCAGUAUGGGCUUUUUUUCUAUUAUUCACAAACCAAUUUAGUAAGUAUGAUGAAAAAGAAUAAUAAUAGAGGUAGGUGCAAGCUUCUUGAAGUUCAUCUUUUUUCUUUCACUUGAUUAUUGUUAGAAAUUGAUUUUCAAAAUAUGAACGCAAGCUUCUUGUCCAAAAAAAAAAAAAGGGAAAAAGGGAACUGAUGCAAGUUUUGUAACUUUUAUUGCAGUAUGUAACUUAUGAAUUCAGCGUGGAAUAGAUUGUGCUGUUUCUUCUCUUAUUGUGAUUGCAUAAAGCUUGAGUGAGAGAUUUAUGGUGUGCUUGUGCAUUGGAAGUUCACCUUCCAAUGGCGUGGAAUGUCUAAGAAAGUUCAUGGAAUCAUGGCCAAAAGUGGUGUGGUGUUUCUACUUGAGAAAUGCGAUCAUCUUUCUUGCAAUGAUUUUUAUUUUUUUAUUCAAAAAAACUUUUGAUAUCCUAUUAACUAAUGAGUUUGAUUAAAAAUAGGUAGGAAAAGAAAAGUUAUACAAAUUAUAUAUAUUAAUUCCAAUUUUUUCAUAUUUUAUUUAGUUAAUUAUUUGAAAAUAAACUUUUUGAAAUAAAAUUAUAUUUUAUUAACUAAUGCCUUGGAAAUAAAAUUUUGAAAGAAAAAAAAAACAAAUCAAUUUUAUUUAGAAAACUUUUCAUAUUUCACUAACCAUUAAAUCGAACUAAAAUGAUGGGGAAAUAUUCCAUAAAAUCUAAAGUAUAUUUGAAGAUCUUUUCAGUUUGAAUAAAGUCUGCAUUAUCCAAUAUAUUUGGACUUUUUUGUCUAAAACGGGCUCAAUUUGGAUUGCUUGGCUCAAGGCCCAUUCUCUUAAAGAAGGAACUAUUUGGUAGGUGUCCGAAACUCAAAAUUUCAGUUAACGUUGGAAAAAACUAACAUGGCUACGCUCAGUUUACAAGCCUAGAUCCUAAAUCAAAAAUAUCAAAUGCAUAACUAAUCCUAACCUUUGAAAUUCAAUAUUUCUUUAAAUCUAAUAUCAAACCCAAAAAAUUUGAUAAAAAAUAUCGAACUUAGAACAAUUUCACAAAAUCAAAACCUAAAAAUCAACUCAAAAUAAGGUAAUAAAGAAACCUCAUAAUUAGCAUUACCUUUCUCUUGGGUGGAUAGUCUCAAAGGAGGGUGGGGAUUUUGGUUGCUACAAGAGUAAUCUCAAACGAGAACAGCGAUGGCUGGCUUGUUGUACUCAUCGAUCAAGCCAUCUUGUUGGUGGUGGUGGUGGUGGUGGUGGUGGUGGUGAAAUAUACUUAUUGCCAAAAAUAUAUGAAAAUGAAAAAGAUAAAAGAUAAAAGAUAAAAAAAAAAAGGGAGGAAAAGAAUGGUAAAACAUGUAAUUCUGAACUUGCUGACUAUCAUCUUAUACAGUGCAGAUCUAGUUUAACUUUAAGUUAUAUCUAUACUGUGGUUUUGAUUAGUUAACAUAUUUAAGGGGCCAGACAACAGGCAGUUUGUGUUCCGUUAUUUCCCUAGAUUUAAACAAGCUUAAAAGGCAGAGUACAUAGGCAAUAAACCUAAUGAUCUGGUGUAAAGUAACCAAAAUUGAGAAAGCUCAAGCUUAUGUUAUGUCCAACGUGAGGUUGCUAGGCUUAAAACCGCAGUCAUAUCACUUACACUACAGGGUAGUGGAGCCAAACAAAGUUGCUAAAAUCAAAAAAGGGUAGAGGUCAAAGAUGAAGGUACCUCUGAGGAGAUUGAUGAAAUGGAUUUCUGAUCUGCAUUUCUUACAAUUGGAAUCAUUAAACCCUGCAAUCCAAAUAAAAUAAUAUGAAACCCGUUGCUCUAUAGAACCCAAGAACUACAUCUUAUUGGAAGCAUACCUUCUCAGUAGCAACUGCAAUUGAUAUGUCAACAGAAUCACACAAUUAUUUCCCCUUUCUCAACAUCCCAAUAAGCUGCAGUCAUUGAAAUAGCAAAUUUUUUAUUAGAAAUAAGCCAAAAGAGCCAAAAUUUUGUAUGAAAGCUAAAUUUAAUCGAAGAAAAAGGAAUAAUGUAAUUAUUUUCCACUUUAUAAAAUAGCACUUAUUACUGAUAAGCUGAUGCUGGAAAUUUCUUAUACACAGUGUGUACACUCGACACAAAUGUAUGACAAAUUAACAGUAAGUGCUCUUCCUGCUUGAAACUUCUUCGAUGCAACCAUAUAUUAUCAACACAAAACAAGAUAAGUCUUUUCCUGUUUGGAUGUUAGAGGAGGCUCAUAGACCCACCUGGUAAUAAUGUAAAUACUCAGCUUCAGAUUCUAUCAAAGUGAAUAAAUAUUUUAUACAACAUUAAUAUUCUCCAGAACUCUCUUUUCAGAUUAAGCUGAAAACCAUUUAUAGAUCAGCAACUACAAAUUAAUUGUUGAACUACUGAGGUAUAAGAAAUAAAAUGACCACACAAUCUUAUGACAUUUCCUUCAUUAAGGAAGGUUGAAGUUCUGGUUUGAGCAUAUGAAAAAGCAAGUAGGGUUGGUAAAGGACUGGGAAAGGGUUACCCCCACUAAGAAUCCAGCCAAUGAAUCAACACAAAAGAAAUAAAUAAAGGUAGAAAAGAAUCAAAAACUCAAAAUAUUUUCUUCCCAUCGUAGUUUUGCUAGAGAUGCAAAAAUCACUAAUAAAAGCAUUUUUGUGCUUGCAUCAGUUUAAAAAUGUAUGUCAUUCCCAAUCUUUUACAGCAGCAUAACAGAGUGGAAUCUAGUCCAAGAGAUAAAUAUCACCCCACAUUUCUAGCAAUGUUUACUACAUUUUACAAUUGGUCAAGCUCAUUAGCCAAUUGUGUUGGCUCAGCUCCCAUACCAUGUUUACUCAGAAAUCUACAAGGACCAGUUUUAUUGAAAUUAUGUCUUACCAUUAGCUUCAGGUACAUUUUUCAAAGCAAUUGCCACUGCUUUUAUGACGAUGUCAUUUAACUGAAACUUUAAUAUAAUGCUUCUCUGCAAAUUGAGAAAGAAUAGAACAAUUAGCAGUCAGUAAAACCACAGGUGUGAAAGAUCAAAUUGAUGAUACAGGAAUUUAUUCCAUACCUUUAAGCUCCUUCCUAAAGGAAAGAAGAGGAUCCACUAUAACAUCUGAAGAACACAAUAAAACCUUUCACUGGUUUAGACCAGUCAAAAUAAAAUUCCAAUACAAAAUUUAGGAUGGAAACAUGUGAAAAGAGAAAUUCAAAGAUAUCGGACAUUUAGAUGAAUUGAAAUACGUAUUACUAAUAACAACAUUUGACGGUAUAACAAAUGCUAAGGUUGUAAAGAACUUAUAGCAGUAACAGAGAUACAUUUCUCUUCAAACUGCUUAGAAAAGAACAAAGAAUCAAUAAUAGGACUUCCUUGAGCUUAGAAAUUUAAUUCUCUUCAAAGAACCCAACUAUUAUCUGAACGAAUAAAUUAACUACAAAUAUUAAGGAAAAGCCUUUAGACAUUUUGUAUUGCAAAUAGCAUACAGGGACAUAAAGGAAGACUGGCAUGUUCAAAUACUUCUAUCACAGUUCUAGUGCCUCUAUAUAAAACCAACCCUAACAUGUUAUUAAUUCAGAAGUAUUCAUAUCAAGUUUAUGAAGAUAUACUGCCCGUAUUUAAAACCAACCCUAACAUGUCAUACAUGAUAAAUAAGUUCUAAAUAAAUAAAUAAUAAAAGAAAACCCUCUCAAUCAAACCCCUUACUAAUCCUAUUCAAUGAAUAAUCUGUGAUUCUAUAAUGCAAUAGCCAUAAAGGCCUGUGUCCUUUUGGUGAACUCAACUUAAAAUAAAUCACUUGUCAGUGCAACUGAUUCAUCAAACCAUUACAUGCAAACUUUGAACCCAAUGUCCUUUGAAUGUUGCUCCUUCUAACUUCCGCCAAAUGCAUUCAUGUAAACCUCCUAACUUUGGCAAAGCUCUUUGCAUCAUUUUAUUUCCAUAUUCUCCAACACCACCAUCUGCCUUUAUCAUCAGUUUGGUCAUUAGCGCAUAAAUCUUACCUUUCUUAUAUUGAUGCAUGCUUCAAUUUUUUAUAUCAAGCUAUACUUAAAAUGUAUGAAUAGGUCAUUUUUUCACUAUCCAAUAUUUGGUAUAACCAUCUGCAGUCACAGGACUUUAGAGAUUUUAAGUUUUAUCUGACGGCCAAUGCAAUAUAAAGGCACAUUUAUUUCAGGAAUAAAGAUUAAAACCAGUCCAUAAUGCUUCUCCUAUCUUUAAAUAAUAACCUAGUUAGAAAAGGUCAAGGCCAAAGUCUCUUGCCUUGUUAACUCCCUUAUAACUGAAUAAUGAAAUAUACCUUGCGAAUUUGAGUACUGGACAAGUCUUCAAAAGAAUCUGAUUGCUGUGGAUGAGCUUUUGACUCAGGCCUCACUGAAGGAGAUUUCUUAGGGCUGGUUUGAAUUGAUGGUUUUUUUCUUCUCAGAUGAAGAUAUCUUGGAAGAUCCUUUUCCGGACUUAAUUACAGCCAAACCUUCUCCUUUUAGCAAAGUACCAUGAGGACCCGAUGCCUUUAGUGAUGAUGCAGCUAAUCCAUAUUCUAAGCAACUUGGCUGAUGUACUGAUCUUUGUACCAGACUUCUGCUCUCUAACUUUACUUUUGGAUUCAUGAUGAGUUGGUUCUCGCUUUUUGACUGUAGUGGUCUUUACAGCUUCAAUAUCAACUGGAUCUUCAACCUCGCAAGAUAACAAGCAUUAGUGCCCCAUGUGCCUCAAGUCACUACCAUUAACCUGACUUCAAAAAAUCCUUUGACUAACUAUGAAAAGCUAAAUUGCAUCAAGUAAUUUACAACAAGAUAUGAAAUAAGUCAACGUAACAGCAUAUAAUGGCGACUUACUGUUACCGCAAUAGGUUUCCCCACAGCCACAUCCUUUGAACCUUCUGAAGCAAGUAUCUUUGCCAGGUAGCUGCACCCAACAAUUUCAACAGACAACUGUAAGUUUAUAUGUAAUUAACAGAAAUGAACCAUAGAAAUGAAAGGAAUUGCUAACCAAGAUCAAUCUCAAACCCAAGAAAGCCUCUCUUUUGUUAUUAACUUGUAAAAAAUACCCUUGCUUCUAGAUUGAACUAUGUUCCACCUGCUUUGGUUGUUCAAUUUUAUAGGAUUCAACUUAUUUAGCCACGUAAACACAGCCCUCCAAAUUUUUCACCCAGGUUCUCUCGAUUUGACAUCUUAUUUAGUACUACUUUUCACUGUUAGUCUUACUAAAUAUAAUAUCCACAUAUGUGCUUUAUGGAAAACUCAUGCUUAUGCCUCACAUCAACGUUAUAUAUAUAUAUAUAUAUAUAGACACACACACACACACACAUAGACCUUGCUUUUGUUGUUCACUUUGAUAGAACUAGGGUCUAAUACAUGGCCAAGUUUAACUAAAAUAUAUGAUCAUGCUAAUAUUUCCUUGAAAACAACAAGGUAAAUCCAUAUUAAUACUAAAGGUGUUUCUCAUCUUAGUGUAUAUCCAACAAGUCUAUAAGCACCAUUUUGGAAGACUUACGCCUGAGACCUCACUAUUUAUCAUACUUUUGGAUGGACAUAAUGACAAAUGAUCAGCUACAGAAAUCAAGUUAGUCCAAAGAUUACACUAUCAAUUAAUGUCACUUUAGUGCUAUCAGCAAUAAAUUCCAAAGCAAGAAAGAACAUUACCCUGCUUCAAGGCUCUCAAAUUCGAGGGUAGCUUUGUCAGUCUCAAUCUCACAUAUAACAUCACCCACUUCUAUAUGCCCAACAAUGUUAGGCAUAUGGAUGCGAACAAGGUUAUUAUUCACUCAAAAAGAAAAAGAAAGCAUUUUAAAGUAUUUAUAACUUGUGCUAAUAAAACUAACCUUGUCCCCUUCUUUUUUCCUCCACUUAAAAAUGUUACCCUGAUUCUAUAAUAAAAUAUGAAAAGGCAAAAUAAGCUUUUGCAGUAAAGAAAAAGUCAGAGAAGGAGGUUCAUAUUUGAACCUAAUUUUUCUUACCAUUGAUGGAGAAAGCACUGGCAUUCUAAUAACAAUGUAAGGAGGAAGGUUUGAGGCGUUGGCAUUAAUAGAAGUUGGUUCCUCUUCUUUUUCUGAGUUUCUGACAUCCUGAUGGGCUGUUUUUACCUCAACCUCUGAUCCUCCCCCAGAAGUAGAAGGGAUCUCCAGGAUAUUUUGUUCAUCCUCAACCUUGUGAACCCAUCCAAAUGAGUUUUAACAAAUUGUUUAUUGCAUAGUUGGUGCUCAACAAAAAAUUACUAUUUAAAAGCAUAAAAAAGAAAAUUCAGAUAUCAAAAGUUAUUCACCAAAUAAGAUGGAAAUUUUAUUGUUUGAAAUUAAAAGGUAUUUUCCAACAAUGUUGUUGCCAUUUUUUAGAAAGUUUAUGAACAUAAAUCCUUAUUUAUAUAGCUGUUAUUCUUUAAACCUUUUCAAAUGCUAAGGAGCAUAAAAAGAAGUGGAUAGCUAGCAAAAAUUAGUAAGCAAGGCAGAUGCUCAUUAGAUCAGGAAGCAAGAAUAGCAUACUACAGAAGACCAAAAAAAAAAAAAAAAAAACCCCAAAUGCUGCAAGACUAAGACUGUUUCUUCUUGAAAAAUUCAAAUAGAAUUGAAUUUUAUAUAUCUAUCAAUAGUAUGCCACUAAAGGAUGCAUCAAAGAAUAAAUACCGUUACUGCAAUAGGUUGUCCCACAGGCACAUCCUUAGAACCUUCAGGUAAUAGUAUCUUGGCCAAAAACCUGCAGAUAAGCACUCCAACCAUAAGGAAAGGUAAAAGAAAAAAGGAUGGUUAUGAACUUCACUAAUUCAAGCGUGCUCUUUGGUCAAUAUUAAUAAGAUGAAACAGCACAAGAAAAGUGUAUAAAGGGCUCGUAUGUAAAAUUAUAAAGUUGCAAAAGGAAACCAAAAAUCCCAUAUGUGGAGCAAAAUUUAGUAAUAAAUUAGGCCAUAGGAUUUAACAUCAGACACCAUAGAAAUUGAAAAAUAAAAGCACUAAGAAGCAAAAAAAAAAGGGUUUACCCUUCUUCCAGACUUUCAAAAUUGUAUGUGGCUUUAUCUGUCUCUAUUUGACAUGGUACAUUCAAUCUGUUAGGUAAGCAUCAGUGAUCAAGAAAUAAAUCAGGAUGACAAAAUGAAUCAAUUAAUUCACUACACCUUAUCACAAGACUUUUAUUUUUGAACAACCGUCUUUAAUUUACAUCAAAUUCAGAUGCGAAGACCAUAAAACCUAUAGCUUCCAUUAGUUUCUUAUAUAACUCACCCUAUCUCCUUCUUUCUUCUGCCAUUUUUGCAAUGUUACCUUGGCUCUGCACAUAUGCAAGAAGCAGCACAAGCUUCACUAUUGGAAUAAAGGGAGAACGUCUAUAUCAUAGUCAAAUAUUAUGAGGCUUAGCAUCCCAAAAUAUAUUACCGCUGUUGGAGACAAAGCAGGCAUCCCCAGGACAGUAUGCUCAGGAAGGUCGGUAAUUACAGAACUUAGUGAUAAGCAAGGAACAAAUCUUUGGCAAAUAUCAUAAUGAAAGACAACAAGUAAAACCUAACAACCAAGAAAAAUGAUAGAAAAUAUUUACCCUUUUAAUAAGUAGACUUGAAUCUGGGACCUACUCUAACCCGCACGCCAAUGUUUUUCAGGGGAGUCUAUCAUGCAAUCAAAAAAAUUGAUCCUUUUGAGAAAUCGAUGUCUUACUCCAUUACUUUGAAGGAACAAAACAAGAGAACAAUAGCCUGACAAAUGGUUCGGUUUGAUUCAGGUGCCGUUUAGGCAGGAGCAGGAUCCGAAUCGAACCUAUCAUUGAUUUGAGAUAUUGAUAGGGUGAAUACCCAGUCUAUUCAAUGCUAGGCAUAAUGAGUAUAAGGCCCAACAGCCACUAAUGCAUUAUGAGACCACAAAAUCUAUUUAACAUAUGAAACCAAGAGAUGAUACAUUCCAAUUUGAAGCACUGACAUUUUAUAUGUAAGCUGAAGAAUAUAAGUAAAUAGAUUUUCAAAUAGGUCUUGCACAAAGAUAAUGUAUUGAUUCCGCAUUAUGUAACUUGUAUUCAUCCUUAGACAGAGCCGAGGCAAACAUGAAAACCUACUUAUAACCUAAAGUAGGACCACAUAAUUCUAUCUAUAACCUAAAGUAGGACCAAAUAAUUCUAUGGCCAUGCAUUACGUAUAUUACUGAGGCUAGGCAGUUAAGUGCUCUUCAACCAAGCAGAUUUAUAACUACUAGUAAAUCUAGAAUAAUGAACCAUACAUAAGAAUCCUUGUAUCCAUGAAACCAAAUAUUGUAGUUAAACUUGCUUUUCGAAUUUCUACUGCUCAACAAGCACAACUGUUUAUGUGAACAAAACAUAGAUGUUUCUUACUUCAACUGAUACAAAAAAUUUCAUGGAAGUUUACCAAUGUAAUAGCUCCUUGCCUAGAUAAAUAUUCCUGAGUAUGUAUGAACGCAUGAAACCGAUGCCCCAGCAUUUUCCUAGUGCUAUGUUAUGACUCUACUACAAGACAUUUAUCCACAGCCAAUAAGUACUAUCAUUAGACUCUAAUUAAUAUGUAGAUUUGAAAAAGGAUAUAUCACAUAUAAUAUAUAUAUAUAUAUAGAGAGAGAGAGAGAGAGAUCAAACAAGGGCAAGCUAUUCUAGUCGGCAAAUUUUUUAUGACCGAGAUACCUAGCAUAAGAUCAUACUGACUUUGCUAGCGGUUUGAAAUAGAAAAGAAUGAAAAAGUAAGCAAGUCACUCAGAGCCUCUCGGACAAGACUUUGAAAACUAGAUGGGCAUUUAGGAAGAGGGAAAUGUUUAAUGGUGUCUUUGGAUGAGGCAUUUGGAGUUUGGGUAAAUAUAAGAGAGAAUUUCAAAAUUAUGAGGAAUUUCAAGAGGAAAUUUACCACCUCAAAUUCUCUCUUAAAACUCCACCUAAAGAGGUGGUUUUCAAAAUUCCUCCAAAUCUCCCAUCACUUUAUUGCACAUGGCCCACCAUAAAAUACAAAACUCAAAAAACAAAAUAUCAUUUUGUUUAACUCUAAUAAAAUAUCUAUACAUUUUUAUAAAUCUAAUGAUACCCAUAUUACAUUAUAUAUAUAUAUAUAUGUAUUUUUUCCUUUUAUAUUAUUUUUUAUUUCAUCAAAUUCCAACAGAAGAAAUUUUCCUUUAAAAAUAUUUAUCUAAACAAAAUAAUUACAAAUACUAACAUUUUAAAAUGAUGUAUUUUAAAAUAUCCUCAUUUUAAAUUCUUCAAAAUUUUAAAAUUCCUCAUCCAAACACACUGUAAAAGUAAAAUGUCAUAUACCUGCAGAUGAGAAUUGCCGAACUCCAAUUUGCAACUUCAAAAUCACAUAAAAUCAGAAACCAACCUUAUCCUAGAAAAGUGCAAGUUAUAAUUAAAUACCAACCUCGAGCAUUGAUGAAGUAAUGUAUAUUCCAAUUACGGUGGAUAAAGAAUUUGGCCUGCUAUGAGGGGAAUAAGCUGGUAAGAUUCAGAAAGUAAGCGACCCAGCUACAUUUGUCCAAAUAAAGGCAUAAUAAACGAAAUUGAGUCAACUUUGAUGUAUCACCAUCAUUUAGACAAAAUUGCAUUGGUUUUGAGUUGCAAAAGCAAGAAGGGGAAAACAACACUGACCAAGCUCAAACUUCACUUAAAAGUUUUAUCCCUUGAUAUUUCAUUGGUUUAAAAUUGUGUUACACAAGAAAAAAAAAUGGUCCUAUUACAAUUGCAUGGACAAUGAGUAAAGGUGUUAACAGAGGUACAUGAAGAUUAACAAACGUUGCAUAAAUGAGUGAUGAAUCAUGUAAAGCAGUCGUAACAAAAUUUACUACUGAUAAAUAGGAAGUCAACAAAGAAAACCUUAAGCAAGAUCCAUUCCAGUCCUUGAAAGGGCUUUCAACAUUUGUGGUGCUGCAGCAGCAAAUCGGUAAAAGGACAUAAGCAGAAUGAUACGAACUCAUGUAAAAGUCCUACACUUAGCACAAAUUAAAGGGCAUCACAUAUAAAUAAUCAAGAAAAGUACCUCAUAUCACUAACUUAAAAUGCUAAACUGCUAUUUUUCACUUGGAAAAAAAAGGGAUAUAGGCAGGUUGUUUGUAAAUGCAUCGUACAGGUGUAUAUAAAUGAAAGCAAUACGUACAUAGCAAGUAGACAAAAAUGCAUAAUGGAACAAAAAAAGGCCCAAUGUAAGAACUAAGGAUAAUAGUUAUUAUAUAUAUAUAUAUAUACAUGUUUAUAAAGAAAAUGAUUUACCGGAAACUUUUUCUUUUUCAUAAUUAUAUGCCCUUGUAAGGUUCAAAGAACAUAAUUUCAUUUCAAGCACCGUUGCAAUAAAGUUCUGCGUCUAAUUUCCACACCAAAAUUCUCACAAACCCAACUCUCAAAAUCACUACUUUCUCCAACAAAAGACAAAAUAGAACAUUCAAAUGCAAUUCUCUAUUUGAUUUCAAAACUAAAAUUAUCACAAAGAAAAGCCAACUCUCAAAAUUACUACUUUCAUCCAAAAAGAUUCAAAUAAGAUGCAAAUUGAUGGUUAUCACAGCAAGUGGCAAGUACCUAAUACAGUUGAUAACAAACAGUUCUGAGCAUAGAAAUAAAUGGAAAAAAAAAAAGAGAAAAAUACAGAGAAAGUGAUAUCGGGGAGGCGUAGAAAGAGAGAAAACGAGCUCUAAAGAGAGAUGGAGCGGCUCUUGAGAAAAUUGGAUUUCUGAGUCGUGAAAGCGCCAUUGAAAGUGCUCUGAGAAAAAACAAAGUGUGAGAAGAAAGAUCUUUGAUUUUAUUUAAUUUACAGUUUCAUCAAAGAAGAAGUUUUGGGUGUUUAUUUCUUGAAUAAUCGAUUUAAAAGAAGGAAAAAAAAGUUUCAUUUCUUUAGAUCGAAAAUGGCUGAUCCAAAGUGCAUAUCGAUCUACAAGACUACGACUACACAAAAAUAUCUGUUAGUUUUGCAAAUUUGAGUUUUAAGAAAUGUGUUUAUGAAAAAUUUUUAUAAUUUUUUUGAAAAAAUAGAUUUUUUAUUAUUUAAAUGAGUGAAUGAAAAUAUUUUUUGUUAUUAGACUGUUUUUAGAUUUUUUAUAAAUAUUAUUUAUAUAAUUAUUAAAAUAUAUUAAUUAUUUAUUAUUAAAAUAAUUAAUAUUAAAAAUUAAUUAUAUUUUAAUAAAAUAUUUAAUUUUAUAAUAUUAUAUUAAUAUUAAAAACUAAAACUAGUUAUAUUUUUAUAUUAAUACGUUAGAUAUUUAAAAUAAUAUUAUUAAUUUAUAUAAUUAUAUUAAAAUACUCAUAUUUAGUAGUAAAUAUUAAAAAUAUUUAUAAUAUUAAAAUAAUUAUAUUUUAGAUUAAAAGUAUCUAUUAUUAAAUUAUAACAAAAAUAUUAUUUAUUUAUAUUUAGUAUUCAAAUAGUAACAUAAAGACAUUAGCAACAAAAUAUAAAAAUAAUAUAUUUUAAAUUAAAAAUAUUAAGAAAUCAUUAAAAAUAUUCAUCUUAUUAAUAUAAUUCUAUAAUUAUAUUAAAUAAUAAUUAUAUUAAAAUAAUAAAAAUAUUUUUUGCUAUAUUAAUAUUUAUUAUUAAAAUAAUAACUAUAAUACUAUUUAUUAGUGAAAUAUUAAAAAUAUUUAUGUGUAAUACUAUACAAAUUGGAAAUAUCAAAAUUAAAAUAUCGAAAGGCUUUUAAUAUUAAUAUUUUUAAUUAAAAUUAAAUAAAAAUAUUUUUAUUAAUAUAAUUAUAUUUUAAUUCGAAUCAAAUCAAAUUCAAAGUUUAAAAUAUCAUGUCCAAAGUCUAAUUUGAGUCAAAUUACAACAUAUUUUAAAAUUAAAAUAUUAUAAAACUUUUAAUAUUAAUAUUUUAAAUUUAGUAAUAUAAUAAUACUUUAUGUUGAGUAAAAUUAAGCUUGAGCUUAAAAAUCAUACUAAAGGUCCACCUUGACCAGAAUUAUAAUUACAAACUUGAUAAAUAGUCUUAUUCAUAGGCAGUUAACUUUAUAAAUUGUUUUCUUUUUUUAAAAGGAAAAGAAAAUUAUUUUAAAAAAUUAUUUUUUAUUGAUCAAUAAAUUAUUUUUCAUUAAUUGAUCAAUUUUUUAUGAAACAAAUAUAAAAAAUUUAAAAAUUAUUUUUCAAAAAUUAUUUUUCUUAGAACAUAAUUUUUUAAUCAUUAAUAUUGAUAAGUAAUUUAGAAAAAAAAUUAAACUUUAAAAGAGUUUUAAAAUUUUUUAUUUAUUUUAGCUUUGCAUUUCAAAGCCCAGCCUAAUGGGCAAACAACAUUGGCACGUCCACAACACCUAACUGCUAUUGUCUUGGGCUCGAAAGGAAUAUAUCGGUGGAGGGAAAUUCAUUUUUUAUAUGUUCAAAAAUAUGCGAGACACGUAAAUUAUAGUUUAAAAUUUUAAUAAAAUUAUAUAUGAAUUUGAUAAAAUCAAAAAUUAUAUUUUAUAAUUUUAUAUUUGUAUAAAUUGUGACACUUAAUUUAUUUAUAAAUUAUUAUACAAAUAUAUAAAUUAUGAAUAUUUUACAUAACAUAAAUAUAUAAAUUAUCACAUCUAUCCAAAAUCAUUCCUUCUAUAGUAAUUUCACUAGUUUUUUGGUCCACAAAAGAGAGGACUCACCUUGGUUCAUACUUAUCUUGACCCUAAUAUCUCUCAUAGAGCCUCACAUUAGUGAAGAAUUGGAUAUGCUCCUUAUUUUCGACCUAAAAAGCAUAUCUAUUAGGUGGAAAAAAGAAAACAUGAUUCAUAAGCCCCAAACCACCCCUGCCGUAUCAAUUUGGGAUUAGUGACAUUACCAAUUAGCAAACCAUUCCCUUUUUUAUUUUUAUUUGAGAGAUAAUUAAAAUAUGCUUUUUAAAUAGAAAUUUUAUAUCAACCAUUAAAUUAAAUCCAAUGUUCCAUUGUUUAUAUAUAUAAAUGAGAAAUUAUUUUAUACACGUUGGAUUAAAUUUUUAGGUUCAUGAAUUAAAGAGUUAUUAUAUAUUUUCUAAAAUAUAUUAAUAGAAAUUUAAGAAAAAUUAAUAUAACAAAAAAUACAUGAUAAUUUUUAAUUUUAUAAAGUUUAAAAAUUUUACGAACUGUUUAUAAAAUCAAACUAUUUUUUAUUGGUUAAAAAUACAAUUUCUAAUUUGGACGUGUCCACUUUAAAUUUUAAAAUAAAAUAUUGAAAUUUAUGGGAUAAAUGAGGUAAACUAAACUAUUUUCGUGUGAGUACAAAAUAUAUUUUUACAUUUCUACUCAAUUAUGAUAUUCAAAGAAACAAGAAAACUGUCAUUGCAUAUGUAUUUAUAUACAUAUAUAUAAUUCUUUAAAAGUUAUGUACAAAAAAUUCUUUAAAAGUUAGGUGCAAAAAAUUAAUUUACUCAAAAUUGCAAUGUUUUGAAGGUUUUUUUUUUUCUCUGUAAUGACUUGGUAGAAUGUUUAUUGAAUAAAUUCCCUUAAAUAUAUAUAUAUAUAUAUAUAUAUAUGUUCCAGCCAUUUCCAUUUGUUUAUUUAGAAGGUACUUUUUAAUUACUUCACUAAAAUACAGGGUAAAACAAAUGAAAGAAUAAACAAAAAUUAAAAAAAAAAAGGAAAUAGGGAAGAAAAAGUAUUUUUAUGGUAAAAGAACUAAAAUAAAUAAUAAGAAUAUUAAAAAAUAUAUUUAAAUUUGGUAAAUAUUAAUAUACUUUAACGACAAAAGACCUAUACUAAUAGGAGAAAAUAAGAUAUAUUGUGUAUUCAUUAUCUAACUUUUAAAAAAAUUGUGUUUAGGUCGCUCAAAGUUAUUAAAAAAAAAAAAUAAUGUUUUGAUCCCCUUUGUCUAGAUAUACUAUCUGACUAUAAUGGUAGGAAUGUCGAGUGACAAUAUCCAUUGUUUUUUUAAUGGUUAAGUAAUAAAAAAUAAUAACACUUACAAAUGUUGUUGAGUAGAAAGUUAUCCAAAUAAAAAAUCUCAUGAUCGAAAUAAAAAAAUCUCAAGAAAAAUAAAUAAAAAUAUUUUUAUUUACUUUAAAAUCAAUUUGCAUAGUUUCGGUUAGAGUCAUGGGGUAUGAAAUAUUGUUUAAUUUUGUAUUUUUACUUUUGGUUUCACAAAACUUUCUCCAACAUACAAAAUAUAUAUUUAUUUAAAAACUACUUGAAAGAGCUUCAUUAAUAGUUCUAAAAAUGAAGAAUUUGGCAAAAGAAUCAGAAAUAAACAAAUCAUGAAUUUUAAAGCAUAAUUAAUUAAUUAUCAAUCAACUACAAAGCAAAAGUUGUUGUAUUCGAAAAUAGAAAUGGGCAGAAGUAUGUGUAAUUUAUCCACCAAAAGAAACAAUCAUAGGCAAAUAAAUGAGAAAAGCAAAUAAAUCAAACCAACCAUGCAUAAAGAUAAAGAAAAAGAAGAGGGAAGCAAUAAAUUUACAUGGAAAACACUUCCAAAAGAAGAAACUUUAGUGGUAGAACAAUCCGUAUUAAUUUUCAAAAUUGUUAAGCUUUUAGUGAGAAGAGUUUUCAUAUCAAUUACUCAAAGUUGUUGGAAAAAAAAUCAAAAAAUCUAAAUGUUUAAAAAAUCUAAAAUAAAAGAAAAAACUUGAAAUCAUUGGUGGUAAUAAUAUUGUUAUCUUUGUCAUAUUCCUGAUUCUUAACGAUAUACAAAAAGAAAUAACUGUAGAUAUUUAAUUUUAUCCUAAAUAAUUAAAAUAAUUUAGGGUUUCAAUUUAUAUUGAAUUAAAGGUAGUUUUACCGUAAUUUUACAUUUUAAUUAGAAUGACUUGGACUCAUUUAAUUUGGAUUCAUUUGAACUUAUUAGAUCCAUCAUUUAGGCCUGGACUUAUUAUGGAUUAAAUUUUAGUUCAAUCAAGGUUUUGGGUCAUUUAAGCUUAGAAGCUCAAAAUAGGGAAAAAGCUCGUAAAGAGUUUUUUUCUUCUUUUUUUUUUCUCUAUAUAUAUAAAAAAGAAAAAAAAAAAAAAAUAAAAAGCCUAAAGCUUGGAUUGGUAUGGAAGCCUUCCUCCAAAUUGCUACCCUAAUUCCAACUCUUCGAUUUUUGACUUUCCAUAAUUUAUCCGAAUCACCUCUAGCACAACUUGAUAAAAAACUUGGUAAUCCAAAAUUGGCUAGCAAUUCAAAACCCAAGAAACAACAUCACUACUUCCAUCUUGCAUGCCAUAACAAUUCAAGAACUCUGAUUACCAUUUGAGACCUAUUUCCAUCCAUAUUCUAAUGGCAACAUGAAACAAAGAUGGCUUUAAAAAAAAUCCUAAGCAAUUUGAAGGGGGAUAUGCAUACGACAUGACCCAAGCAAUUCACAAAAAAAUCCUAAGAGCCUAAUAUGCCUUCACAAAAAAAUCCAACUACCCAAACCUCCAAAAUCACCAUUACCAGCAUAAACCAUCCAAUACCAACACCAUCGAUCAACUUAAACACUACCUCCACUACCUACAUCACUAGCCAUCGUUAACCACUAGUUGAACCAACCUUGUUAAGACCUCAAACAUAGAAUUCCUACCACCAUGAACCCAUACCACCAUAACCUCUAAGCCUAUAGCAUCCACUAAAUCCCUUCAUCAUCUCCACCAUAAACACAUACAACACCCAAAAGUAAGACUAGACUUGUCUUCAUUUCUACUCGAAGUAAGACUAGACUUGUCUUCAUUCCUACUCGAACCCCCUGCACUACAAAAACUCAACACCAAUUCCAUUAUAGCCCUUUGCCUCCACUAAAAUCGAACCCAACUCCAAUCACCUAAGGCCUCUUACAUUAACACAUCAACCAACUAUCACCAACAAGCAGCCCAAUCACAACCCAAAAAGCUUAAAACAAAACAAAAAAAAAAUCAUUUUCUGUUCUUUUCCUAAAACUAAAAAUCACACAGAAAAGAUCAUUUGUUCUCUUUUCUGAAUUCCAAAACAAAAUAAAAAAUCAAAAUAAAAAGCAAUAACCUCAUUGCUCACAUUGAGUAAGUAACAAUAAAAAAAAAGAAAUAUAUAUACAAAAAAAAAUAGAGAGAGAGAGAGAGAAAAAAGUCAAGUUUUUUAGUACUAUUUUUAAAAAGGAAAUGAAAGUCAUCGUCAUUGGCUUGGAAAGUUUGAAUGGUGGCAAGGGACUUUGUAGUCUUAAUUGUGAAGUUUAUUUUUAGGGGUUCACUUUGGUGAAAUCUUAACUUAAAAGGGAAGAAAGAAAGGAGGAGGCUUGAGUUUUGACGAGAAAAUAGGGGAAGCAAAGAAGUAAAAAAAAAGAAAGAUAGGGGAAAUGUAAAAAUUGGUGAUCGCCAAUGGUUACUAGAGGUAGUGUUGGCAUUUGAUUGGAGGGAUUAGAGAAAGAGGGCAUUUGAUUAAAGACAAGAAAGGUGGUUGGUGAAGAAGAAAGAAAAAGUAAAAAGAAAAGAAGGGAAAGAAUAGGGUUUAAAGGAGAAGGGAAGAAAUAGUGAGUAUAAGGAAAAUUAAAGUUGAAAAAAAUGGAAAAAGGUUGCCAACCGGAUCCAACUGACCUAACUCAAAAUUAGACCCAACCUAAUUCAGUCCAAGCCUAGUCCAAGACUCCAUUAAAGCUAGGCCUCUCUCUUGCUUUGGUUCACCUAAGGUUCAAGCCCAAAAAUCCUAUUUGGUAUAUUUUCUAUUAUUUCUUUUAUUUUGUUAUGUUAUUAUGUGUAUUUGUUUUCUUUAUAUUUUAAAUACUCUUUAAUAUAAAUUUACUUAUGGAUUAUUGAAGUUGUAAAAUAAAAUAAAAUUUUUAAUAAAAAAUAAUAAUUUUAUGAUUUAACAAUGAUUUUCUUUAGAAUGGAGUUUUAGAAAUAAAAAUAAGAUAAUAUUCUAAGUAAAAACAAUUUUGAAAUCUUGCCUAGAUAUUGGAAGAAAUUCAAAUAUUUAUUUUUACCAAGAAAUGUUAUCUUUAUUUUAAAAGAUUAUUAUGAGAUUUUUAAACAAAUGACUAAUUUUUCUAAAUUCCACCUAAAUAUUGGGAAAUUAAGAAAAUUUUUCGUCACUAAAAAUUUUUAUUUCUAAAUAUUUUAUUAAAGAGAGAAAAAAUGACAUAAAAAUGAAAGAUUCAAAAAGAAUGAAAUAAAAUUGAUUAUUUGUAUUGUGUGAUUUUUAUUUGUUUCAUUUAUUUCCUAUGGCAUUACAUGUAUUGUACUUGUUGGUAAUAAAUGUCAAGUGGUAAAAUAAAAAUUAAAAAACAUAAUUUUUAGAAAUAAAAGUUAAUAUUCCUAAGUAAUAAUAAUUUUCGGGACUCUUCUUAGAUAUUGGAGGUUUUCUCAACAAUUAUUUUUUAUAAAAAAAUAUAUUAUAUCAGAUUUUAAAGAUUAUUAUAAGAACCCCAAGUGAAGAAAUAUUUUUCAAAAUUUCGCCUACAUAUUGGGAAAUUUAAAAAAAAUUGAAACUAAAGAUUUUAAUUUUAUUCCUAAACAAAAUGUCUUAAAAACAUUUUGCAAAAAUAAAUUAAAUUAAGAAAAUUAUUUUAAAUAUUAAAAAUAAGACCAUUUUCUUAUUAAUACCAAAAAUAACAUGCGAUUAAUUGGUACUGUUUUUUAAAAUAGAUAUUAUGAGGUGUUAAUCUUUUUCACAUGUAAUCGAACUCCCAAAUCCAUCUCUAAUUUUAAUUAUGAAAAUUACUUUUUGAUAAACUUUAAACUAGUUUUUUAGGUUUUAUUAAAAUGAUAAAUUUUUUCAGGUAGCCGAUUACACUUAGUCAAAAAAGAUUGAUGAUAAUUCUCUGUUUUGAUUUUAAAAUUUCUUCCAAGUAGUCAGAUUUCCAGAUCAAUACCUUACGACAACUAUGAUAAAAUAAAUAACCAAUAAAAUAAAACCUAAAAAGUACUUUGUUAACUUAAUUUGGAGUUUUAAUUAUGAUCACAUGUAAAGCAAGAUCUUGAACACUAGUGUUUUAUUAAGAGAAACUAUUGCAACUUUGAAAGGCUAUUUUAAACACACACACACACAUAUAUAACUAUAAAUUAAAAGAAUCCCCUAAAGAUUAUCAUGUUGACACCUAUUUAAUAUUUAAAAGAUUAUUUUACCCUUAAUCAAUAAUAAUUUAUAUUAUUAUGCUAUUAAAACUAAUCCCAUUUUUUUGUGAUCUAAAAAUAAAAAAAAAACAAAUCCAAAAUAAUCCUUAAAAAAUAACAAACUUCAUAACCUCAAAAGAAAAAAAAAUGUAAAUCUAAAUGCAAAUUUUAAAAAACUGAAAAUAAAAAUAUUUUUAAAAAAAUUCAGACACAUUCAAAAAAUCAUCAAAAAAAUUUCUCAGCUUCCAUAGCUUCAAAACACAACACCCAAAUUUUCAAAUUAAAAAAAAAAGAACAUAGCAACAAAAAUCAACAAUAAAAAAAAAAAAAGAAAAUGAGACUUUUAGGCUUGGAAGGAUUUAAAAAAAAAAAAAAAACAAAAAAAAGGGAAAGUCAGUCGCAACGAAAAUAACAAUGAAAAACACCACAAGGCACCAUAUUAUGAAAGCAAAUAUGAACUUUAAAAAAAUUAAAAAUUUUCAAAGAUUUUGGCUUAAAUCUACAUUUUUUGUAAAGAUUUUGAAAAAUCUAAACUGAUUAAAAUAAUAAAAAACUUGAUAGAUAAAGGGAAAAUAUAAGAGAAAAAGAUAAAUAGCAAUGCUGACAAUAUCCCCAAAUCAAAAUCUAGAUAGACAGGAAAUAUAAAGAGAAAGAUAAAAGCUAAAAAGAAAGAAACAGAACAAAAUGAAUCAAAGAACUCUAAGUUUAGGAAUUUAAAUACAAACGAAAAUAUCAAUAGCAACGGAUAAAAAAAGAAAAGUAAAGAAAAUGUGGGCUGGUUUAAGUAAACCUAAUUUGAAUUAGCUUUGAGCCUAACAAAUUUGGGGUAAGUAGUAAUAACUUAAACAUUUGUUAGCCCAUUCUUUUUUUUAUUUAAUUUUAAUUUGUGCAUAAGUUAAAUUUAUCAAAUUGUUUAAAAAUGAAAUAAAAAUAAAAUUAUUUGAAAAAAAUUAAAUAAUAAAAUAAUUAUUUUUGGUUGAGUAUAAUAAAAUAAUUGUUUCAAUAAUAAAAACAAUAAUUUUUGUAUAAUUAAGUAAAUAUAAUAAUAAAUUUUAUUAAAUAAAUUUUGAUUUUAAAAUAAUAAAAAAUAAAUUAAAAAUACACAUAUAUUAUCAAUUAAUUAUAUUUAAAACAUUCAAAUUUAAAUUAUCUAACAAACUAAUUAUAUAUACUUUUUAUUAAGAUAAAAAUUUUAGUAAUUUAUAUUUUAAAAUAAAAAAUAACUCUAAACAAAGCCUGAGGCAAACCCUAGUGUAUGUGUGUGUCUAUAUAUAUAUAUAUAUAUAUAUAUAUAUUAGUAAAGAAGUGUUUGGCCUAAUUUAUUCAAGGGUUUUUUACUGCAAAAAUAUAAAUAAAAUAUUUGACUUUCAAAAUUUUAAAGUUAUUAAUUGAAGCCUAUUUGGCUUUUUUAAACAAUGUUAUAAAUUAAAACUUUUUCAAAAGUGUUAUUGUAUAAUAACAAAUAUUUUUCCAAUUUUUUUACAUUCUCAUUUGUAAAUAACUCAUAAAAUAAUAAGAAUGCAUUAUUUCACAUACAUAUUUUUUCCUCGAUCCAAUUUUUUUUGUUGAUUUCAUUUAUUUUUUAAUUUCUAAUUAAUAAAAUAUAUCUUUGUUUUAUUUAUUUUUUUGCCUUAUAAAGUUAAACCUUUUAAUAUUUAUUUAAUAAAAAUAUUAUUAAAUAGGUUUUUUUGUUUUAGAGAUUUUUGCAUUAUGUUUAACAAAUAGUAUUUUAACACCUCUUAAAAAAAAAGACUUCAAUAGACCAAACAAACUUUAAAUAUCUUUUUGAAAAAUAAGUGAUCUUGUAAAGCAAGGACCAAAAUUUGGUAUUAAGUGCGACAAAAUUCUCAAUGUGGCCAUGGAAAAUUUGUUUUUCUUUUUCCAAUUUUCAUAAUUUUUUUAUGUUUAAAAUUAUUCACAAAUUAACAUUAAUAUUAAUUUUUCAAAUAGUAUAAUAAAAUUAUUAAAUUAAAUACAUUAAAAAGAGAAAAAAAUAAAAUGGACUCAACUAUCAUAUUGACAAAUUAGCUGUGUGAACACAUAAUACUAGUAAUUAAACCUAUUCAUAAAUCGAGUUAGAUCAGAUUUAGGCUUAAUCUAGAUAAAGCAUUAACAAGUUUCGAACUUGCCUAAACUCAAUCCGGCCCAAAAUAUGACCUCAUUUUGUUGCUUAGGCCCAACUCAUUUUUAAAAGAUGUCUAGGAUCGUCUAUAUUUUUUAAAUAAAAAUAAAAAUAAUUUUUGUAAUAAAUAUGAACUAUGAUAAAAUAAAUAAUCAACAAAAUAAAGCCUAAAAAAAUACUUUGUUAACUUAAUUUGGUGUUUGAAUGUAAUUAGUAUAUAUAGGCAUGGGAUAUUAAUGUACACUUGUAUAUUAUUUAAUUAUUUUUUAUUUAAUAUAAAUAUAAAAAAUAUAUAAUAAUUAUUCAAGCUGAGUAGGGCUCAGGCUUUAAACUUUAUGUCCAAGGCAUAGCACAUUUUUAAACUAACAUAAAAUUUAAGUCCUAGCUCAUUUAACGAGUCUAAAAUUCAUGUCAAAACCUUCUCAAAUUUCGAGUAGGCUUUUAGGCUCAAGCAAGUAGCUUGACCAACAUAAUUUAAAAGUUUAACUCAUUUAAUUCAUUCAGCUACCUUUAAAAGGUGACAUUCGAUAAGUUUAAAAUUUAAAUAUCAAUACUUGUAUUCUAUUUUCCAAUCUUUAGGCUGCAAAUUUUUGUAUAUAUAAAACAUCAUCUUUUAAAGAAAAAAAUUAAAAGUACUAUCGUUUUUUAUAAUAAAGAUUUUAAUUUGCCUUAAGAAAAAAUUGUUAGAAAUUAAAAGCUUCUACACCCAACCUCAACUACUUAUCUAAUGUAUGACAACAGAAUGAUUUGCUUUGAAAGCGAGAAGAUUGAUUGAUCUUUACGUUUGGUAGCUUUUUUUUCCUUUUUUGGUAAGACAUUUGGUAGCUUUAAUUCUUCACCUAAAAUUUCCUAGUCUGCUUUGACGCAUAUGAAACCAAGACCAUUUGAUUGAUCCUUGCGUUUAGAAAACGAUCAUUAUAGCUUUCGUGACUUAAAAUUUUUUAGUUUGCUUUGAUCUUUGUGGAAAGCAAGAUGAUUUGGAUUGAUCCAAGGCCUAGCACUUAGAACACGGCUGCUUUUGAUGAAUUAAAAAGACAAAAGUUUCAUCGUUAUGCACAUUUCGACUCUUCUUUUGUCUCUCUCAUGGUGACAGAAUUGCUUGCACAGUUUUGGAUUACACCAAUCACGGCUUUGAUAUAUGGUAUUAUCAUAAACUAAUGCUCCAUUUGUCCCAAAAUCUAUCUAUCCUUAUUUGAAUUUUUGUAGAUAUUAAGAAAAAAAAUUGUGGUAAAAAUAAGUAAGCCUAAACAAUGUUCAUACAGCCAAAAAAAAAAGAUUUUAUUUUAUUCUAAAAAUAUAAAAUUAUUUUUUUAAAAUAUUUAAUAUUAUCUAUAAUCAGUUAUCCUAAUAUAAUUUAUAUCUCUUAGAAUAUAUAUAUAGACACACACACACAAAAGAAUGACUGACUGCAAAUCUGUGGCAAAAGUGAUAGAGCCAUAGUAUUUUGCAUCUCUGUGGUGUAAAACGUGGAGUCAAGGAAUAUUAGUUAGGUCUCGAAAAGUAUAUAAGUCCAACGAAUACAAAGAAAAAGAGAAAAAGAUAUAUUAGUUUUAGCUAUGCUUUGUAAAAGGAGAUUAAAGGCAAAUUAGAGGGCCCAAAAUCAAAAGCCUGAUUCAUUUUAUUUAUUGUGAAGACCAAGACCAUCCCAGCACGACUUUCCUGUCGGAGUUGAAUCCUGCAAUUUCAUCAAUUCCCACAGCCAUGAACAUGAUGCAACUGCGUUAAAAAAGAGAAAAAGAUAUAUUAGUUGUAGCUAUGCUUUGUAAAAGGAGAUUAAAGGCAAAUUAGAGGGCCCAAAAUCAAAAGCUUGAUUCAUUUUAUUUAUUGUGAAGACCAAGACCAUCCCAGCACGACUUUCCUCUUGGAGUUGAAUCCUGCAAUUUCAUCAAUUCCCACAGCCAUGAACAUGAUGCAACUGCGUUAAUUUUUCUUAACUUCAUUUCCUCGCAAAUUAUUUUAUUAAUAUUUUCGUAAUUUCAUUUCUAAAAAUAAAAAUUUUGACUCUCCUCAUAUACCAAUUUCACUUAGAGAAAUUUCAGAAAAAUUGGCACUCCAACUUCCCUUGAAAUUCCCUUUUACAAAAGGUUUCAUAUAUUAAAUUAAAUUAACUUUUAAUUAGAAAUUUCAAAUAAUUAUAUUUAUUUAUCAAAGUGAAAUUUUGUAUAAAAUUCAACAAAUGAUAAAUUACGUUUGUCCAACUAUGGAAAUUAUAUUUUUACCUUGGUGACAAGUUAAAUUUAUUUACCAAAUGUUAAGCAUCGCAUGGGAAAUGUUUUUGCAUUAUAUAUAUACUAAUAUUUGAAGCACCCAUUAUCUAGGUGAAGUAAUAAACAAGAAUUAUACCUUUAGAUAAAUGCUAAAAGAGAAAGAAUAUAUAUAGAGUUAUUUGAAAAUGUAAAAUAAAGAAAAAUAGGAAUGUAACUAGUGUAUAGUUUUUUAAUAGAGAAAAAACAGAGAGAAAUGUAAGUUUAAAAAGGACUGGACUUGAAUCAGCUUUCAAAGAAUGUAAAGACUAAAAUAUCCUUAUUAAUUUAUAUUUCAUUAUUACAUCAUGAGUUUAUUUUUUUAAUUCUUCGAUUGAGUUGGUGUUACUUGAAUCGUAUUUAGUAGGAGUUUUAUAAAUAUUAAUCUUAUAUACAUGCACUAUGUGAAUGGAAUAAUAAAUAAUUUUAUAAUUUAAAAAUAGGUUAAUAAUAUAUAUAUAUAUAUAUAUGAUUUUCAAAAGCAUGAAUGAGAAAAAAAUAACUUAUUGAAACAGUUAUUGAGAAAAGAAAAGUGAAAAUAACUCAUUGAAAUUGUUAUUAAGAAAAGAGAAAAAAAAGCAUUUAUUUAUUUAUUUUAACUACCCUGAUCAAGUUCACAUCACUUGACUUAUAGUAUCAAACUCAGCUAAAGAUUUAUAAAUGUACUAAAAUUUGACACAUCCACUAUGUGGAUAAAAAAAUUAUUAAUUAAAAAUAAUUUUUUUUUAAAGGAAGUAACUUUUUUGGUGGGUAGCUUUUUUGAAAUGAUAGUAAAANNNNNNNNNNNNNNNNNNNNNNNNNNNNNNNNNNNNNNNNNNNNNNNNNNNNNNNNNNNNNNNNNNNNNNNNNNNNNNNNNNNNNNNNNNNNNNNNNNNNNNNNNNNNNNNNNNNNNNNNNNNNNNNNNNNNNNNNNNNNNNNNNNNNNNNNNNNNNNNNNNNNNNNNNNNNNNNNNNNNNNNNNNNNNNNNNNNNNNNNNNNNNNNNNNNNNNNNNNNNNNNNNNNNNNNNNNNNNNNNNNNNNNNNNNNNNNNNNNNNNNNNNNNNNNNNNNNNNNNNNNNNNNNNNNNNNNNNNNNNNNNNNNNNNNNNNNNNNNNNNNNNNNNNNNNNNNNNNNNNNNNNNNNNNNNNNNNNNNNNNNNNNNNNNNNNNNNNNNNNNNNNNNNNNNNNNNNNNNNNNNNNNNNNNNNNNNNNNNNNNNNNNNNNNNNNNNNNNNNNNNNNNNNNNNNNNNNNNNNNNNNNNNNNNNNNNNNNNNNNNNNNNNNNNNNNNNNNNNNNNNNNNNNNNNNNNNNNNNNNNNNNNNNNNNNNNNNNNNNNNNNNNNNNNNNNNNNNNNNNNNNNNNNNNNNNNNNNNNNNNNNNNNNNNNNNNNNNNNNNNNNNNNNNNNNNNNNNNNNNNNNNNNNNNNNNNNNNNNNNNNNNNNNNNNNNNNNNNNNNNNNNNNNNNNNNNNNNNNNNNNNNNNNNNNNNNNNNNNNNNNNNNNNNNNNNNNNNNNNNNNNNNNNNNNNNNNNNNNNNNNNNNNNNNNNNNNNNNNNNNNNNNNNNNNNNNNNNNNNNNNNNNNNNNNNNNNNNNNNNNNNNNNNNNNNNNNNNNNNNNNNNNNNNNNNNNNNNNNNNNNNNNNNNNNNNNNNNNNNNNNNNNNNNNNNNNNNNNNNNNNNNNNNNNNNNNNNNNNNNNNNNNNNNNNNNNNNNNNNNNNNNNNNNNNNNNNNNNNNNNNNNNNNNNNNNNNNNNNNNNNNNNNNNNNNNNNNNNNNNNNNNNNNNNNNNNNNNNNNNUUAACUAUGUUUCUUGGUAAGAUUCUUGUAUUUCACUUAUGAUGGUCUUUUGAUCUCUAAUAAAAAUAUGGCUUAGCAAAAAAAAAAAAAAUUACAUAACUUUUGCCUUCUUAUUUUGUAAAAGAACAGUUAAAUUCCCUAAUUUGACAACAAAAAGGGUAAAAGUAGCACUUAUUUUAAUUGCAUAUAAUAAAAAAAGCAUAUAAUUUAUAAUUAUUAUAAUAUAAUUAAUUAAUUAUAAUUUAAAAUUAUGUGAAAUUUAUCAAAAUUUUAUAUAUAACCCAUAUUAUAAGUGAUGAUCCUUAUAUAAUAAUUUAUUAUGAUUAGAUAAUAACUGUAAUAUUAUAGUUAAAAAAAAUAUAAUUGAAAUACUCCAAAUAAAAGUCAGAUAACUUUAGACAAAUCUAUACAUUAUAUUAAAACAAUCCUACGAUAAAAGCAUAGUAGUUGGGGACGAAUUGAAAAUUGAAACGUGGUUGGAUAAGUGAAGAAUGCUUAUCUUUUAAUUUUGAAUGUUGAUUUUUUUAAGGAACGGAGUACGACUAAAAAAAAUCAUUAAUACUAUAUUUUAAAACAAUGGUUUUUGUUAAUAUAUAUUUUUUUGAAAUUGGUUUUUGUUAAAUAUAAUUAAUCAUAGGUUUGUUCCACAAUUACCAUAUAAACUUUACUCAUUUGUCUUAAAAGAACGGAUUGAGUAAAAAAAUAAUAUAGGCUAAGUAAACGUAUGAGCCUUACUUUUUGUAUUAAAAGAGUGGACUUACUAUACAAUGUUAUAGUAAUUUUAAUCUAAUUUUUAAUUUCCAUAUUAAAUUUAUUAUUUAUAUGUAGUAUAAUAAUGCUCAAAUUAAAAUUACCUUAUCUAUUCAAUAAAAAUUUUAUAUUAUAGAAGAUUUAAAUUUAGUAUUUUAUUAUAAUACUAAACCUUGUUAAUAAAUAAUAAAAUUAUAUUAAUUUUAAUAAAAUAUUAAGUGUUGUUAAUAAAUAGUAAAUUUAGAAAAUCUAGAAAAUGAAUUGACCAAUGUCAUUAGCUAAUAAUAGAAAAUUACAAAAUGGAUCAGUUCCAAUUUAAUGAAACUUUAAAUUGGUGUUAAAAGACAAAUAUUUGAGGGAAUAAACACUAAAAGGUUUUUAAUUUGGUUUUAUUGAUGUGGAAAGACUGUUUCCUUCCUACUUCAAAUUAAAUAAUCAUUACAAUACAGGUUUAAAUGAUAAUUUUUUAUGCAAUUUUUAUUUUAGAAUACACUUUUUAUAUGUACCUUUCUUUCUUUCAUUCUUUUCUUCUUGCUAUUCAGGUUUUUUUUUUUUUUUUUUUUUUUCAAAUUUCAAAAUUUUUAGCUUACUUUUUAUCAUCUAUAUAUAAAAUUAAACAAAUAUACACAUAUUACAUCAUCUUUUAUUGUUUUCAAUAUCCAGAAUAUCAAAAUACAACAUUCACUUAAUUCCAUGCAGUGGGAAAAAAAUGGGGUAGUUAACAAAUAGCUCAAAUACAUUCAUGUGAAUUUUGUAUGAUUACAGCAUAUUAACUUUUGACUAUACUUAUAGAAUCUGAAUAUUAUUGUUUUUUUAUAGAAUCUGAAUAUUAUUGUUUUUUAUAACUUUGUUAUGAUGAAUAUCAAAUAUAUUCAUUUGAAUUUUAUUUAAUUUAUCCCUCAUCAUGAACUUUUGAAUUUCAUAAUCCUUUUAAUAUAUACUUAACAGUUUUAAUCAAUUUAAUGAUAUCUAUAUGAUUUAAUUUUUAUGAAACAUUCCACAUAUGCCCUAAUUAUAUGCAAGUUCACCAUUACUUUGAAACUACUCCACGUAGAUACACACUAUUAAUAGAUAUAAAAGGAAUGAAAUACAUUGUUACAUUUUUUGUUACAAAAAAAAUAUAUUUUAAAUAUUUGCAGGUAAAUAAAUAUAAAAAUAUUAAAUAUUAUAUUACUACUUUAAGUUGAUGGAACAAUAAAUUAAGUAAGACGGUAUUAAAUAAAUAUGGGGGUAAUUAACAAAGUACGUGAAUUUUACUUUUUAUUACAUUAUAAAACAAAUCAAGUAAUUUUACCAUAUAUAAUUGCAAUGGGAUAAUAAAUAAUAGCCAUAUUGGCAUCGCAAGUGUUGGGUGCCUAACUUUUUUCCACCUUGGCCUACCUUGUAGUCUUAGGUACUGGUGUGCAUCCUAAUUAGGGUAUCAUUCAAUCAUAAAACGUUUACUAAAAAAUUAAAAAUAUUUUCCAAAAGAUGGAAUUUCGACUUUUAGGUUUGGUUUUCAAAUUACUCUGAGUCUUUGUUUUGCUUUUCCCUAAUUUAAUUGGAAACAGCAUUUGAUUUAAUAAGAUAAAAAGGUUUAGAAAAUCAUUUCUCAAGCCUUUCAAUGGCACCUCAUUUGUUUAACAGUUUUCAUAAUUUUAUGAUUAUUUGUUUUAUAAUUCUAAAGUAAACUUUUUUAAAACUAAAGUAAACAAUUUUAAACAUAAAAGCAAUGAAAUGUUUACAAUAAAAUUACCUGAUAGACUAUUGUUCGAAAGUUCAAUUUUUUUCAAAGAAGAAAUGUUGAAGACGACAUGUGGAAUCAACCCAUUUAAACGCAUAAAUGAUGCAUGUAAUAUCUCUAACGAAAUAAGAUUCCCAAUCUCCCAUGGAAUUUCACCUACAAAGGAACAACAACUUACUAUUAUAAAACUAUCCACUUUCUAAACAUUCCAAUAAUAUUGAGGUCAUUUAAAAUGCAAUAAAAGUCAAUUACACAAGAAAUUCCUAAUUUUUUCAAUGUUUAAAAUAUGAAGGAAUAAUUAAUUUUUUCAAUACCAAAAGUUUUAGUCAAAAUGAGAAAAGAACAAAAGAAAACCAAGAUUUGACUAUCUUCGUGUUGGCCAUUCUAUUAAUUUUUAUUUUUUAGUUAUUUUUUUAUACUUUUUUUCAGUAUAAAUAAUAAUAAAUAUCAAUCAUUUGAAAUCUAAAUAAUCAUAUGCAAAAGCUUACCUUCUAUAUCAUUAUAACCUAGAUAUAUCUCUUCAAGUUUGGUUAAAUUUCCUAUAUUUCUUGGAAUGUGUCCAUUGAAUCGAUUAAAAGAUAAUGAUAAAUUUCGAAGAUUGCCGCAGUCACCAAUAUUUGAUGGAAGGUAACCAAAAAAUUCGUUGUGGGAUAUGUGAAGCACCUCAAGUUUGAAAAGAGAGUAACAUAUAUUAUCUGGAAUACUACCAGAGAGAUUAUUGCUAUAGAGAUAAAUUGCUUUCAAAGAAGUAAGGUUAAAGAUGGAAGUUGGUAUUGGACCAACUAGCCUCAUGUUUCCGGCAGAAAAUAUCUCCAAGCUCAGAAGAUUUCCAAUUUCUGAAGGGAUCUCACCUGUGAAAAUAACAAAAACCAAGUUGUAAGAGCUCGGUCAAGUAGAUAAUUAAAUUAGAUAAUGAAACCAUUUUUUCCAAAUUUUAUGAGAUUAUUGAUUAAAUUAGUUAAUUAUAUUCUCAUUCUAAAUAUUAUCUCAAAAGAGAUUAAAUACCAAAAUUUUGAGUCAUAAUGGGGAAACCAUAAAAGAAACUUAAGUUCAUAUGGUUGAUUUUUUUUAUUUGUCUUUUACUCUCUGUUCAUUUUUGAGUAAAAUAUACCCCAAUUAUCCGUAACCUUCUAAAAAUAUUUCAAAUUCACAUAUUUCAUCAACCAUGAAUGAAAAAUCAAUGAAACAUGCCAUGCGACUGAAAUUUCAACUCAAAAACCAAAAUGAUUCACUUUUUUUUGCUAUGUAACUAAAAAAUAUUUAAUUUACAAUAUUUAUUAUGGUUAAGACUUAAAUUUAUUUUUUUUAAUUUAAAAAUGGAUUAUUUCCAAAAAAAAUAUAAAUUAGUUUUCAAAAAAUACAAAAAAUUAUUUUUAUCAAAUUUUUUGUUUAUUUGAAAAAAUGGAAAAAAGGAAAUAUUAAAAAAUAAAGAAAGAAAAGGGGAAAAACAAAAAAGAGAAAAAAAAUAAAAGAAGGAAAAAUAAAAAAGUAGUUUGGUUAACUAAUUUAAUAAUGACAUUUAUCCGCCUAUUAAAUGUUUAUUUCAAAUUUUAAAUGUAAGUUCUAGGAAGAAAAUAGUUCAUUUAAAACUCAAUUACACAAGAAAUUCCUAAUUUCUUCAAUGUUAAAAAAUAUAAAGGAAUAAUUAAUUUUUUCAAUACCAAAAGUUUGAGUCAAAAUGAGAAAAGUAUAAAAGAAAACCAAAAUAUGACUAUUUUCAUGUUGGUCAUUCUAUUAAUUUUUAUUUUUUACUUAUUUCUUUUUAUUCUUUUUCUAAUAUAAAUAGUAAUAAAUAUCAAUCAAUUGAAAUCUAAAUAAUCAAAUGCAAAAGCUUACCUUCUACAUCAUUAUCUCCUAGAUAUAUCUCCUCAAGUUUGGUUAAAUUUCCUAUACUUCUUGGAAUGAAUCCAUUGAACCGAUUAAAAGAUAAUGAUAACUUUUGAAGAUUGCUGCAAGCACCAAUAUUUGAGGGAAUACUGCCAGAGAUACUAUUGUUAUAGAGAUAAAUUUCUUUCAAGGAAGAAAGGUUCAGGAUGGAAGCUGGCAUUGGACCAACAAGGCUCAUAUUUUGGGCAGCAAAUAUCUCCAAGCUCAAAAGAUUUCCAAUUUCAGAAGGGAUCUCACCUGUGAAAAUAACAGAAACCGAAUUGCAAAGGCUGGGUCAAGCAAAACGAGGCAUUUUUUUGCUUCGCAUCACUAUUCAUUAUGAAGUCAUUUUCUCCUAAUUUUAUGAGAUUAUUGAUUAAAUUAGAUAAUUAAAUUCUCAUUCUAAACAUUAUCUCAAAAGAGAUUAAAUACCAAAAUUUUUAGUCAUAAUGGGGAAAACAUAAAAGAAACUUAAGUUCAUUUGGUUGAAUUUUUUCUAUUUGUCCUUUACCUUCUUUUCAUUUUUUAGCAACCUAUACCAAUUAUAUAUAACUUUUGUGCAAUAUUUCAUUGUCAUCCACAAAUUUUAAAAUGUAGUUUAUGUCCAUAACCUUCUAAAAUUGUUUCAAAAUCAUAUAUUUCAUCAACCAUCAAUGAAAAAUCAAUGAAACAUGUCAUGCGACAAAUUUCAACUCAAAAUUCAAAAGGAUUCACCUUUUUAUGCCAUGUAACUAAAGAAUAUUUAAUUUACAAUAUUUUUUAUGGUUAAGAGUUAAAUUUAUUUUUUAAAUUUAAAAACUGAAUAUUUCCAAAAAUUAAAUUAAUUUUUCAAAAAUAUACAAAAAAUUAUUUUCAGCCAAGAAAUUUUACCUAAGAAAAUAACAUGAGUUUCAUGGUCACUGUUAAUAUUUAGGAGUUUUAACAUGAUAUCAAUAAUUAAAUUAAUUUUAGCACUUACUUUCCAAAUUAUAAAAGUAAUUCUUUUACGGUAAUUUCAAAUUAUCAAAUAAAGUUUAUUUUGACAAAAACUUCAAUGUUGAUAAGAAAAUAAAUAAAACUAGUCAUGUUUUAAUUUAAUAGGAAAAUAAUUAAUUAUAAAUAAAGUAGCUAAUUUAAUAAAUUAUCAAAUUAUCAAAGGAAAAAAAAAAAAAAAAAAAAGCUUACCUUCCAAAUUAUUUCCACCCAAGUAUAGCAUUCUGAGCCUCGUUAAAUUUCCAAUACUCCUUGGAAUGUUGCCACUGAAUCUAUUGAUACUUAAUGACAAAUUUUGAAGACACCUGCAUUCAUCUAUACUAGAUGGAAUUUGACCAAAAAACUCAUUUGAGGUCAAGUAAAGUACCUCAAGAUUGGGAAAAUGGCGACAUAUAUUUUCUGGUAAGCUACCAGAUAGACUAUUGAAUGCAAGAGAGAAAUCAUAUGCAGGAGAAAUGUUAUAAAUAGUGAAGUACAGAGCCAGAAAGUUUGAUUAAAUGCCAGACGAAUGUAUCUGUUAGAUUUCGUAAGCAUCACUUAAUCUCGGUGGAAUGUGUCCUUGAACGAGAUGUACUUCAAAUCCAAGAUCUUCAAGUGACAUUUUAGCUAGUGAUUGAGGCGAUGUGUACUGUCAAAUUAUUGUUCUGGAGACUCAAGUAUAAAACUUUAUUUUAAUCUCCCAAACCAUGAAGGAAUUUCCCCACUAAGAAAAUUGGAACUUAAAUCGAUGAGUUUCAGACGACUAAUUGCCCCAACUCUCUCGGCAAGAUGGCCAUGGAAAUUGGUUGUGACUCCAAAUCAAGAGAUACUAAAAACGAGAGAUUUCCCAAUUGUGGAGGACAGUUCCCGUAAGAUUCAUGUUGGUAAGAUUCAAAGUGUUGGACUCUCCUAUGCUAGAUGCGCAAGAGACACCAACCCAAUUGCAAACAGAAGUAUGAUGGUCCAUGUUGUGGCUAAGAUGCUGUUGCAGGAUCAAUGAUUUGGUGCUUAAAUUUCGAGAAGAGCAUGUUGGUCUGUGGUAAGGUUCCUCCACAAUCAUGGCCGUAGCAAACCAUGAAAACAAUGAAUGAACACUAAAGGCUAGCGAAAGAAAAUGGAAUAUUCUCAUGUUCAUGUCUGUGGAAGGAAAUCCAAAUCGAUGAAAUGGCAGGUGUAUACGGAACUCUGAUCAACAGCAAUUCUUAAAUAGGAAUAAGUUGCCAAUAUGACUUAAGACCUCAAGAGGAAGUUCUGGGUUUGGUCUUGGUCUUCACAAUUAACAAAUGAUUCAAGCUUUUGAUUUUGGGCCCUCUAAUCUUUUUUGAUCUCCUUUUACAAGCAUUGGCGAAGCUAAUUUAUCUUUUUGCAUUCUUUCUUUGUCUUUUUCUCUUUCUUUCUUUUAAUUUUUUUGUCUUGUACACUUUUUAAGGCCCCAUGACUCCACGUUUUACAAGAGAGAGUUGCAAAAUAGUAAUGGCUCUAUCUUUUUUGUCAAAAAAAAGUAAUUUAUAGUUUUUUUUAAACUUCUGAGUUAGUUAUUGUACAAAUCAAAGUAACUUAAAUUUAAUUUGUAAAAUUACUUAAAAUCAAAAUGAAAUAAUAAUAAAAAUAUGUAAGUAAAGAUAUUUAUGUAUUUUUAUUUAAAAAUUUAUGAUGAAAGAAAGUUUUUCCAUUUCCAGAUCAAAACAGGCUGCAAACUUUAAGGAGAAUUUAUACUAGAUUUGCAUAUCAUUCACCAAAAGUAGUGCUAGUAGUGGGAUUCCUCCCUACUACCGUUAAGUUUUCUCAUAAUUAUGGCGUAGUUAACCAUGAAAUAGUGAAUGAACAUUAACGCUGGCGAAAGAAAAUGGAAUUUUCUCAUAUCUAUGGCUGUGAUGGGAUCUAUGUAUAUCAAAACAGGUAACAUAAAAUAUUGAAGAAAUUGAGUCUGCAUAAAGCAUUAUUUAAAUAGAUUUCUAUACACACUACGAACUCGUCAACACUCAAGACAACCGAAAUUAUGAUAGGACAUUGAAGUCAAGACUUGGGGCCUUAGCAUGUCUUGGUCUUCACCGUGCUCUUCUGCAAUAAGCCAAGCUUUUAUUUUGGACCUUUUCAAUUUGCUGUUUUCAUAAACGAGAUAGGUAAGGUGCUAAGGCCUAGUUUAGUAUUAUCCUCGCGAUUGAAUAAAGUUUGGGUUAAAAAAAAGUGUUUAAAAAUAUUAUAAAAGAAGUGUAAUUAAAAAUUUUAGGUGUUUUGUGUUGUCGUGAAAAAUUAUUAUGUGUAAUUGAAAUGUUUGAUAAUAAUAAUAAUAAUAAUAAUAAUAAUAAAAAAUUAAAAAUAAAAAUAUAAUAUAAUAAUUUUUUAUUUCAAACACAUUUUUUAUCACAAAAAUAUCUAUCAAGAAAUUUUUUGUUUGAAUUUAUAAAUCAGUUUUUUAAAUUGAAAAACUAUAUUUUUUAUUUAACAUUAAAAUUAUAUCUAAAGUUGGAACGUAAAAAUUAUUUUCAACACAAUACAAACCGAGGUCUAAAUCUCUCCAUAUAAAGAGUAUUCAUACCGUACAAAUUCAAAACCUCUUACUCUUUAAAUAAUAAAAGUUCUCUUCAUCUAAAUACGAGUAUAUAUACAACCUUGCAAAUUUAACUAUAUUUUACUCAUCAAAAUGAAAUUUUGUUAUUUCUAAUUAACCAUUUCUAUUUUAAUUUUAGAAUUAUUAUAUUUUAAUUCUGGCCUACUACAUCCAUCUCGACUCUAUUAGAAUAAAAUUUUUUAGUUCCUCCACAAUACAUAUUGGACUUUUUUUUUUUUGAAUAAAUAACAUAUGAGAUUUUUAAAUUUUAAGCCAAAAUGAUAUAUAGUCCAAAAUUUAAAGACUACGGGUACUAUUUAUUAUGUUUUAGUAAAAAUAGUUCCUAUUUUCUGUUCUUUUAUAAUUAUCAUAAGUUUUUACAAAUACCCAAAUAUUCAAGCUUAAAUAUGAAAUUUUCACUCAAUGAUUUAAGUGGGAUGCCUAUCAUACAAAUCAUAUUAUUGACAAUUAAUCAAUUAUAAUUCUUAUUGUAGGGUUCAUAAAGUAAUCAUAUAGAACCCACAAGUUUAAGUGGUGGACUCCUACAUAAUUCGUUGUUAUGAUUAACUAAUUUCAAUGUUGCAAUAAAGAGAAUAGUAUGUGAAAUGCUACCCUUAUGCUAAAGUUUAAUAUGAUCUAUAUGCACUAUCCUCAUUUGUUAUCUCUUUGAGGAUGAAAGUAAAAGAUCGCUAAUAAGUUACGCUGAAAGAAUAUCAUGAAUACAUAAAUAUUACAAGAAUCAUAUCACUUAUUGCAAAUUAGAUUUUGAUUGAAAUUCAUUUUAAAAAUUUAAAAUUGAUACCAAAACAACUUUAAGUAUAUAUAACCUUUAAAUAUAAAGGAUAAUACCUUAAAUAGCCCUUGAGUUAUUGUAAUUUUUUUUAAUGCGAGACCUAAACUAAAAAAAAUUCUAAAUUAGGGUCAAGGGUUAUUUAUGGUAUUGACCCUAAAUAUUAUUAGAAUCAUAACAACUUUGGUUUUAGUUGUAGUGAGAAAAUUUCCAAUCUAAUUAAAUAAUCAAGCAAGUAGAAGCAUAAUUAAACAAUUGAUUAAUCACACAAAAAUUAGCAAUUUAAUGUGGUUUAGCUCAACUAGCUAUAGACACCAAAUUUGUUCGGGAUUUUAAUUGGGUCUCUGUUUAAAAUUCACCAGGUUUCUCAAGUUUUAGGAUUGAGGCUUGAUUUUGAUUCAAUAGGACCUAAGGCCUAGUUUCAAUUUUUAGGCUCAAGCCUAUUUUUUUAUUUUUACUUUUAUUGUAUUUUUAAUAUUAAAAUACAUUACUAUUAAUUAAACAUUAACAAAAAAUAUAUAAAAACAAAAAAAAACAAAGGCUAAAAGAUAAAAAAUAAAAAAAGAGCUGGUGGUGGAUGCCGUGCACAGCACCAUUGCCACCCACUCCCCUAAACCCCCCAAAACCCAACCGUUAACCCCCGUACCCUAUAACUGCACCCUUGGAAUCCUAUGAGUCACACCUUUCUUGGUAGAAGGUUGCAACUAGAGCUUUAUAAGUAAAGUUCCAUGGUGGCAAACCAAAGAAAGAGGGAGAAGAGACUCUAUAAAAAGAAAAGGAGAAACUCUGCCCUAAAAGAAAAAAACCACCAAAAGAUUCUGAAAACAAUUUCUGGAAGCAAACAAAAAAAAAAUCUUGUCCAAAAAAAAUAAAAAGCCAUUGCCAACAAAAAAUACAAAAAGAAAAUACUAUCCUCAGAGGAGGGGAACCUAGCAACAUAAAGAAAAAUACAAAAACACAAAAAAAAAUUUUGAGUUUUUUUUUUAAGAAGCCAAAGGGUUUUUUUUUUUUUUUUUUUUAUCUAAGAUUGUAGGUUAGUUUACAGGUAAAACAGAAGUAAGACUGGGGUAGAGGGGGCUUAGAGGAAUCUUUUAGUUUUUUUUUUAACUUUUUCGACAAUCGACGGGAUGAUCGAUGACCACCAUGUGACGGUCGAUAUGACAGUUGGUGUUGGUUUCUACCAACGGGCUGGCCCUCUGGGUUUUUGGGUUGAGAGGAUUUUGGAUUUUUCUUUUGGAAGGAAAAGGAAAAAUGAGCAAAAAAAAUUAAGGCUUUUUAUAUAAGAGACCUAUGGGCCAAAAUGAUGUCAUUUUGGGACCCUAAGAUCCGUGGACCUGUGACCUGACCUAGGACCUAGUUCCCCUUUUAGCUCAGAUCGAUUUAGUUGAAUUGGCUCAAAUCGGCAUUAACCAGCCCAAAUAGAAGUUGAUCAAAGUAUUGAUCGAUCCAGUUUAGGUAAUUUUUUUUUUAAUUUUUUGAAUUAUUAUUUUAAUAUUUUACGUAUUAUUUUAAAUUUUAUCAUUAGUAUUUAUGCAUGUUAAAAUAUUUAAAUUUAUUAGAAUAAAUUUUAUUUUUUUAGUAAAAGUGAAAAUAAAAAUAAAUAAUAAAAAAUAUAGUUUAAAGUUUUGAUAAUUUUAUUAAAAUUAAAAUUAACCUUAUAAAAUAAUAUAAUUAAUAAAAAUAUAAUAACUAAAGAUAAUAAUGAUAACAAUAAUAAAAAAAAGGAAAAUGAUCUAUUAAAUUUUUAUAUUUUUAAAUUUAAGAAUAAUAACAAAAAAUAAUAAAAAAUGUAAUAAAUGGCUUUUUUAUCCAAUGACAAGAUUCUAAGGUAUUUCAAGUUGCGAUGCCUAUAAAAUAUUUAGGUGAAAAAAAUUUUUAAAUAUUACCAAUGUAUUAGAGUAUUUAUAAAAUUUUUUAAUAAAAUAAAAAUUUUUCUUUUUUUUUGGCUAUAAAGUAAUAAAUGAAAAUUAACAAAAAUUAUUAAAAUGAAUAAUAAAAAAAGAGGAAAAAAAUUUUUGUUCAAUGAUGGGAUUUUCUAAAAAAAUUAUAUCACAAAUUUUAACAAAUAAAAACUAAAAAAAAUCAAAUCUAAACAUGAUGUCGAUAUGAUCAUUAAUAUAUUUUUUCUUUAAAAAUGAUCAAAUUAAAAAACAUUAUGAAGAAAAAAGAAAAAUAUAUUUUAAAUAAUAAUAUCAAUUGAGUAUCAUAUUAAAAAAUUUUAAAACAUUUAAAAAUAUUUAUUAAAUAUAAAAAAAUUAAAAAAAGUUAAUAGAAAAAAAAAGAAAAAGUGAAAAACAAGUAAUCAAAUAACUUAAUAUAUGACAUAUCAUUGAUAUCAAGUAGGUCUAAAAAAAUUAAAAUCUAAACAUGUUAUUUACUAAAUAUAUUAAAAAAAUAAAAAAGUAAAAAAUAAAAAAACACGUGGCACUCUCAGUAUAAGUAUGUUCCACAUAAAAAAAUCUAAAAAACAUUUAUUAAAUAUUUAUAAAAAUAUAAAAAGAGAAAAGCAAAAAAGAAAAGUUUUUAUAUAAACGAAUUCCAUAUAUAAAAGAUAAAAUCUAAAAAACUAUAUUUUUUAGCAUUUAAAAAUUAUUAAAUAUUUAAAAAGGAAGAUAAAGCAAAAAAAGAAGAAAAAAAGGAUAGGAAGAACAUGUGACACUUGAUGCACCCAAAGCUGAUCGUACAUGAGUAAAAUUAACUAUAUAGAUAGAUGAUUAACCCAAUAGUUAAUGCUGCUGAAAUUCUUUACAAAUAAUGGAAAGACUUCAAGCUUGAAUCAGGAGUUUAACUCAUUAUAAAUAAGUGGCAUUCAUCAAUUUUGAGAUUUAAAAUAUAAAAAAUUUAAAAAGUAUAUUAAAAAUAUUCAUUAAAUAUAAAUUUUUUUAAAAAAGUAAAUAGAAAAGAGUAAAAAAAAGAAUUAAAUAACUUGACAAGUGAAAUAACAUUGGUAUCAAGUAGGUCUAAAAAAUUAAAAUCUAAAAAUGUUAUUUACUAAAAAAAUAAAAAAAUAAAAAAAAUGGAACUCUUGGUAUCAAGUGGGUUCCAUACAAAAAAAUAAAAAUCUAAAAAAAUAUUUAUAGAAAUAUAAAAAGAGAAAAGCAAAAAAAGAAAAGGUUUUAUGUAAAUGCAUCCCAUAUAUAAAAAAAGUCUAAAAAACUAUAUUUUUUAGAAUUUAAAAAAUUACUAAAUAUUUAAAAAAUAUACAGUAAAAAAUUAUACAAAAAAAAGAGAUAGGAUGAGUGUCACGGACUAGGCUUUUUCUCAACAAGCAAUAGACCAUGUGGCAUUUGAAUAGACGGUCCCACCCAAGUCAGCCCUGAAUAGUUCGAUAUCUGAACAAAUAACCAUAAGCCACAGUUAGUCCAAAGCGUACACAAUAAGACACAUUUAUAUCGAGAUCAAUCUCAGGCACACACAAGAAGGCACAUUCACAUUGAGAAAAAGAAAAACACAUCAAAGCAACAUUCGGGACAUUCGAAUCGGAGGUGAAUUUCAUUAUAAUCAAGAAUAGUACAUCGAGACUUCCCACCAUCGUCAGGGCCAGGGGACAGCCCUUGGCGAAUGGCCUAGGCCCGUAUCACGAGCGGUGAGAUAGCCCAACAGUACGCUGCCCGCUCACCCCCUAAAAAGCUUUAGAAAUUUUAGAGUUAUGCUACCACUAACUAUUACAAUGUUUGAAAUGGGAUACUUUUCUUAACAUAAGAGAUCUACCCUCCUCUCUUGGCACCUCUACCCGAUCAUGACCCUAUACAUGGGUGGCUCAUAACAACCUAAGCCUCGGUCAUGGCCCUAUACAAGGUUGGCUUAUGACAUCCUCUUCCACCUAUUCUAUCAACAUCCUCGUCGACUUGCUGGCUUGAAAUUCUUUAAUCUUCCUUUUGAAUCUCCAAAGAUCAUGUUCCAUUUCCUAGUUAGUUUCUUUUAGUCCUAAUCCCUCCCACUUCACUAAGUAUUCAUGAACUAGUCUUUGAGAUACCUUGGUUUCCCUAUCAGUUAAGAUCUUUUCGACUCGACACUCUGAGGGUGGCUUCAUGGUGAUGAUGACUCUGGUUGGCUCCCUUCGACUAGUAUCUGUAGGAUCUGCAUGGAAAGGUUUCACGUUGCUCACAUGAAAUACUGGGUGCACUUUCAUCCACUUUGGUGGGUCAAUUUUGUAAGAAGCAUUCCUCACCUUAGAAAGGAUCUUCAUUAGACCCUCAUAUGACUCUCAUAUUUGUGCACUAAUCUACGAUAUCUCUUUCUUAAGAACCUGGUUUGUUCAAGAACUAGUCGAACAAGAACCAAAUCACUAGCUUGGAAUUGUUACGCCCUGCGACCUUUGUCCGCCCAUUUUUUCAUUCGCUUUAAUGCCUUAUCCAAGUAGGCUGGUGCAAUCUUAGUAUUUUGUUUCCACUCCUUUUCGAGGUUGAAGGCUCUUGGAUUUUUCCCUCUAUAUUACUCUAAGGAAGUAUGGGGUAACCUUGGUAAUUAUUCUGUGACCACCUCAAAUGGGCUUUUAUUAGUGGAAGAGCUUUUGUUAAAAUUAAAGCAAAGCUGAGCAAUGUCCAAUAACGAAGGCUAAUUUUUUUGAUUGGCUUGAACAAAGUGCCUUAAGUAUUUCUUUAGUAAUCCAUUGAACCGUUUCGUUUGACCGUCGGUUUGAGGGUGGUAGCUUGAGGAGAUGUUAAGUUGAGACCCCAGUAUCUUGAAAAGUUCUCUCCAGAAGAUCCUGUGAAUCUCGAAUCUUUAUUGCUUAUAAUGUUUUGAGGAAGGCCCCAAUAUUUGAUCAUACGUUGAAACAGUAGUCAAGCUGUCUCUUUCGUAGUAUAAUACUUUUGAGUGGGAAUGAAUGUGACGUACUUAGAGAAACAGUCAAUCGCCACCAAAAUAGCUCCAAGAUCACCAACCUUGGGAAGGCUCAAAAUGAAAUCGAGAGAGAUGCUUUCCUAUGGUCUAGCGAGCACCGAUAGUGGUUCAAGUAUGCCUACAAGUUUUUUCUUUUCAAUUUUGUCUUAUUGGCAGAUGAGGCAAGUCUUUGUAUAGUCUAUCACGUCUUAUAGCAUGUGAGGCCAAUAGUAUCCUUAUUUCAAUAAAGCCAAAGUACGUUGCCAACCCAGAUGUUUUACCCAUGGUAUGUCAUGACAUUCCCUCAUCAGCAUCUAUCUCAGACCUCCUACUCUUAGCACAAAUAAUCGGGGCCCUUUGGUCCACAAGUCCCCAUUUUCUUGCCAGAAGUACUUGUGUCACGGACUUAAAGAAGAGUCAUUAAUCUCACAUUGAACAUAAUAGGAGGGUCACUGGGGUAUAAAAGGGUUCACACCACCUUUUUCUUGUGAGGUACCUUUUAUAGGAUAAAAUCAUGAGGCCAAGGGGACCAAAGUGGACAAUACCUCAUAAGGGUGUGAACCGUGACAGAUAGGCUGAUUUGAGACACCGAAUGAGUAGAUGCCCAGGUCUCAGAGUCGCGCGGGUUUGAAGCUUAAGUCUCAACUCGUGACAAGUGGUAUCAAAGCUAGCCCUAAACCGUUCGAUCCAUGUCAAGUGCCUCGAGGAAGGUAGGCAGGGUGGUCAGCCUCCGUGACAAGAGUGUCACGAGGUUGGGUGGGUGAGAAUGUCACAGACCUAAGAAAGAGUUUAUCUUACAUUGAACAUAAUAGGAGGGUCACUAGGGUAUAAAAGGGUUCACACCACCUCUUCCUUGUGAGACACCUUUUGUAAGAUAAAAUUGUAAGGUUAAGGGGGCUAGAGUGGAUAAUACCUCACAAGGGUGUAAAUUAUGGUAGGUAGGUUGAUCUGAGAUAUCGGAUGAGUGGAUGCCCAGGUCUCGAAGUGAAGUGGGUUGGAAACUUAAGUCUCGACUUGUGUAUCAAAGCCAGCCCUAAAUCGUUCGAUUCACGUCUGGCACCUCGAAAGAGGUAGGCAUGGUGGCCAGCUUCCGUGAUGAAGAUGUCACGAGAUUAGGUGAGGAAGAAUGUCACGGACCUAAGGAAGAGUCCCGAAUCCUACAUCGAACAUAAUAAAAAGGUCACUAGGGUAUAAAAGGGUUCAUACCACCUCAACCUUGUGAGGCACUUUUUGUAGGACAAACGUGAGGCCAAAGGGGCCAGAGUGGACAAUACCUCAUAAGGGUGUAAACUGUGACAGAUAGGCUGAUCUAGAUGUCGGAUGAGUAGAUGCUCGGGUUUCAGAGUCGUGUAGGUUCAGAGCUUAAGUCUCGAUAUGUGACAAGUGGUAUGUGAGCCAGCCCUAAACCGUUCGAUCCAUGCCUAGCACCUCGAGGAAGGUAGGCAAGGUGGCCAGCUUUCGUGACGAAGGACGUCACGAUGUUAGGUUAGGAAGAAUGUCACGAACCUAAGGAAGAGUCUUGAAUCCCACAUCAAACAUAAUAAGAGGGUUAGUAGGGUAUAAAAAAGUUUACACUAUCUCUGCCUUGUGAGGUACCUUUUGUAGGAUAAAAUUGUUAGGCCAGAGAGGCCAAAGCAGACAAUACCUCACAAAGGUGUGAACCAUAGUUGGAAGGCUAAUCUGGGAUGCCAGAUGAGUGGAUGCCAGGUUUCGAAGUCACACGAGUUUGAAGCUUAAGUCUUGACCCGGGAUAAGUGGUAUUAAAGUCAGCCAUAAACUAUUCGAUCCACGUCGAGCGUCUCGAGGGAGGUAGGCAGGGUGGUCAGCCUCCGUGACGAGAGCGUCACGAGGUUGAGGGGUGAAAAUGUCAUGGACCUAAGAAAGAGUCUUAAAUCUCACACCAAACAUAAUAGGAGGGUCACUGGGUAUAAAAGGGUUCACAUCACCUCAACCUUGUAAGGCACCUUUUGUAGGAUAACUAUGAGGCCAAGAGGGCCAGAGCAGACAAUACCUCACAAGGGUGUGAAUCAUGGUAGGUAGGCUGAUUUGAAACGUCGGAUGAGUGGAUGUCCAGAUCCUAGAGCCACACGAGUUUGGAGCUUAAGUCUCGACCCGUGACAAGUGAUAUCAGAGCUAGCCCUAAACCAUUCGAUCCACGUCGAGCGUCUCGAUGGAGUAGGCAGGGUGGUCAGCCUCUGUGAUUAGGGCAUCAUGAGGUUGGGUGGGUGAGAAUGUCAUAGACCUAAGGAAGAGUCCUGAAUCUCACAUCAAACAUAAUAAAAGGGUCACUGGGGUAUAAAAGGGUUCACACCACCUCUUCUUUGUGAGGCACCUUUUGUAGGAUAAAACCAUGAGGCCAAAGGGGUUAGAGCGAACAAUACCUCACAAAGGUAUGAACUGUGGUGGUUAAACUGAUCUGGGACGUUAGAUAAGUGGAUGCUCGAGUCUUAGAGUCAUGCAGGUUCGAAGUUUAAGUCUCGACUCAUGACAAGUGGUAUCAGAGCUAGCCCUAAACCAUUCGAUCCACACCAAGUGCCUUAAGGGAGGUAGGCAGGGUGGCCAACCUCUGUGACGAAGACGUCAUGAGGUUGGGUGGAAGAGAAUGUCAUGGACCUAAAAAAGAGUCCUGAAUCCCACAUCAAACAUAAUAGAAAGGUCAUUGAAGUAUAAAAAGGUUCAUACCAUCUCUACCUUGUGAGGUACCUUUUGUAAAACAAAACUAUGAGAUCAGGGGGUUAGAGCAGAUAAUACCUCACAAGGGUGUGAACCCUGGCAGGUAGGCUGAUCUGAGACUUUGCAUGAGUGGAUGCCCGGGUAUCGGAGUCGCGUAGGUUCAGAGCCUAAGUCUCGAUUCGUGACACUUGGACUUUCCUUUUUCAACUAGUUUCAGGAUGACACUGGCCUAUGGAUCUUUCCCUAAAUGAUCUUUAAUUAACUUACGAAUGUUUAUUGUGACUCUGCUAGCCACCAUUGGGGCAAUUCUUUUAAGGGCUGCUAACUCCGUUUGUCUGCUUAAUGCAUCGGCCACUUGGUUGGUCUUUCCAGCGGUGUGCUCAAAAUAAAAAUUGAACUUUGCUAAAAAUUCUUGCCAUCUAGCUUGUUUUGCUGUAAGCCUUAGUUGGGUGAGGAAAUGGCUAACGAUCGCAUUGUCUGUCUUCACGACAAAGUGUGAACCCAACAAAUAAUGUCGCCAAGCCUUCAGGUAGUGACCUACCAUUAAGAGCUCUUUUUCUUGGGCCAUAUAUUUUCUUUCAGCUUCGCUAAGCUUUCUACUUUCAAAUGCUAUUGGAUGAUGUUGUUGUAAAAGUACUCCCCUAAUAGAGAAAUCAGAUUCAUCAGUCUAAACUUUGAAAGGCUUUUCAAUGUUAGGGAGAGCUAAGAUAGGAUCCUUCAUAAUAGCAUUAUUCAAUCCCUCAAAGGCCUAUUGGCACUCACUUGUCCAACACCAUUUAUGCUCCUUUUUCAAUAGCUUCGUGAGGGCCGUGGUCUUGCGAGAGUACCCUUCUACAAAUCUUCUAUAAUAGUUGGCUAAUCCCAAAAAUGAAUGAAGUUCACUAACAUUUUUUAGUGUUGUCCACUCCUUGAUAGCCCUAACCUUUUUCAUGUCUAUUCGAAUGUGGUCACGUUCGACAAUGUGACCUAGAAAGUGGAUUUGGGUCUGAGCAAAUGCACAUUUUUCCCUUUUCACAUACAACUGGUGGUCUUGUAAUCUUUGAAGCACCUGGCGUAAGUUUUUUGAUGUUAUUCCAGAGUAGAGCUAUAUACCACUAUGUCAUCUAAAUAGAUAACUACAAAUUUAUCUAAAUAGUCAUGGAACACCUGAUUCAUCAAUGUACAAAAUGUGGCAGGAGCAUUGGUCAAUCCAAAGGGCAUAACAAGAAAUUCAAAUACGUCAUACUGUGUUACACAAGUGGUUUUUGGCUCAUCUCCUUCAGUGAUUCUGACCUGAUGGUAGCCAAAUCUCAAGUCCAAUUUGAAAAAGUACUUGGCCCAGCUUAGUUGAUCAAACAAAUAUGCUAUAAGAAGGAUGUGAUAUUUGUUUCUCACGAUGAUUUUGUUCAGGGCCCUGUAGUCAACAUAUAAUCGCAAACUUCCAUCAUGCUUCUUCUGAAAUAGCACUGGCACUUUAAAAAGAGCCUUUGAUGGUCUAAUGAAUCCAACCUGUAGAAGCUCAUCUAACCGUUUCCUUAGUUCGGCCGACUCUAGUGGAGCCAUGUGAUAAGGGGCUCUAGCAGGGGGUUUGACUCAUGGGAGGAGCUCAAUUUCAUGGUCCACAGCUUUUCGAUGAGGUAGAACCUUAGGCAACAUCCCUAGCAUCACCUCUUUGAAUUCUUUUAACAUUUUUUCCACACUAUUGGGUAUCAAUUUCACUUUCAACCCUUCCUUGUAAAUCGACAUGGUCACAAAUAAAGGGUUCUCCUCUCUUUACCCUUCUUAAAUUGUAAAGCUGAGAUCAUUUUCUUUCCAUUCUUUGGCAAGAUAGUGGUUGGCACCACACAAAGGUGUUCCCCUAAGAACAACAAGGCAACUAGCUACGGAGAUAGGGAUCACUUGAGCCAACAUCAUAAAGUUCAAUUCAAGGACAACAUCAAAGUCAUCCAUGAGGGAAACUGUGAAGUUUACCUUCUCUUUCUAUGGCCUCAACUUGGUCAUCACACUCUUGGAGCUUUCAUUAAUCGUAAAGGCUGUCGAAUUGGCCACCUUUAUUCGCCUGUAGUCUUUGCUAACCUGGAGAUCACACCUUUUUGCUUUUUUUGGUGUGAUGAAAGUAUCAAUUGCACCCGUGUCUACCAUGGCCCUUGUGGCCUUCUCAUUGAUGAUUAAGUUCACAUACAUCAGGCCUCUACCUUACUCUUUUUUUAUCGUGUUCAGUUAGGUGUAGAGGGCAUUGAGAAACCUUAUUGAACCCAUCCUGGUUGGCUCCUCUUCAAUUUUUUUAAUGAUCUUCGGUGCUUUUAUGGACUCUUGAGAUGAGGCUCUUAAGGCAUUAAGGGCUCAUCUGUGUGGGCAUUUGGCUACCUGAUGCAGCCCCUUACAUUGGAAGCAAGCUAAUGGUUGCCUAGGCCUAAAAAUCACUGUAUUGUUUGCCUUAGUUUGGGUGCUAUCUCGACCAAAGGACCUCCUAUCUGAUCCCCUACUAAAGGCUGGUCCAAUCUAGUCAUCUUUCUCCCACUCUCAAAGUUGAAGUUACUACCAGCUAAUGGAGGAUUUUUUUGUUUUGAGGAGCCAUCAUUAUAAUCAUGGAGAUGUUCAGCUGCAGCCAUGGUCUUGGCCACAUCUUGCACUUUUUAUCUUUGUAAUUAUGUCAUGGCCCAAGGCUUGAGGCCCUCAAAGAAAUAAAACAUCUUGUCUUUUUCGGACAUGUCUCGAAUAUCCAACAAUAGGGUAGAAAAACUCCUCACAAACUCUCACACUGUUCCUAUUUGCACCAAUUCUCAAAGUUUCUUUUGGGCCAUAUACUCCAUAUUCUCAGAGAAAAACUUGUUUUUCAGUUCCUGUUUUAGGUCCGUCCAAGUCUUAAUUGGACACUCAUCAUUGAUAAACUUGGAGUGCCACCAUAACUUGGCAUUCCCUGUGAGGUACAUCGACGUCAUUGCUAUCUUAUCUUCCUUUGAAUCUGUGUGUUAAGCUCAAAAGUAUUCCUCCAUGUCAAACAGAAAGUUUUCAAGCUCUUUGGCAUCUCUUGCCCCCUCAUAGCAUCGAGGCUCCAGCACCUUGGCCCUUUUUCUCCUUUCCGUCGAGCUCGAACUUGAUAUGGCCACAAUCAUUUGUAUGAUGCUCACUUAUGCUCUGAGCUCUUCAAACUCCUUUUGGAGAACAUUCAAGGCAUCUCUAGCCUCCUCGUCCACGUUGUGCAGAGUAUCGAACAACUCCCAAUGGGUUGUCUCGAUCUCCCUCAAUCGAUUUUUAGUCACCAUGUGAGUUUUCAAUACGGCCAUCGCGGCCUCAAGCUCCUCAAGUCUCUGUUGAUAAUUGGGUCCACCACUUGUGGCCAUCUUAUCAAUUUUCUAGCACUUUUCAAUCGUGCUCUGAUAUCAUGUGUCACGGACUAGUCUUUCUCUCAACAAGCAAUAGACCGUGGGGCACUUGAAUGGAUGCUCCUACCCAAGUUAGCCCUCAAUAGCUUGAUAUCUGAACAAAUAACCAUAAGCCAUAGUUAGUCUCAAGCGUACACAAUAAGACGCAUAUCGAGAUCAAUCCCAAGCAUACACAAAAAGGCACAUUCACAUCGAGAAAAAGAAAAACACAUCAAGGCAACAUUCGGGACAUUCGAAUCGGAGGUGAAUUUUAUUAUAAUCAAGAAUAGUAUAUCAGGACUUCCCACCAUUGCCAGGGCUAAAGGGCAGCCCUUGGCGGAUGGCCUAGGCCCGUAUUACGAUCGGUGAGACAACCCAAUAGUACACCACCCGCUCACCCCCCCUAACAAGCCUUAGAGAUUUUAGAGCUAUGCUACCACUAACCAUUAUAAUAUUUGAAAUGGAGAUACUUUUCCUAGCACAAGAGAUCUACCCUCACCCUUGGCACCUUUACCCGGUCAUGGCCCUAAACAUGUGUGACUCAUAACAACCUAAGCCUCGGUCAUGACCUUAUACAAGGUUGGCUCAUGACAAUGAGCAUGUGACAUGUGACACACCCAUAGGUACAUGAGUAAAAUUAACUAUAUUAAUAGAUAGAUGAUUAGUCCAAUGAUUAAUGCUAUUGAAAUUCUUUACGACUAAUGGAAAGAGUUCAAGUUUGAUUUAAGAGUUUAACUCAUUUUUAAGAGUUGUUAGCCAAUAAUUUUGAUAUUUAAAUUCUAACAUUUGCAACAUUUUGUUUCUUCCCUAAAUUGCAGCCUGAUGCUUUAUAAAAUGCAAGAUUUCAACUUUGAAAACUUAUUAACUUUUUAUUUUUUUUUACCUUUUUUUUAUUAUUUAAACACUCGAUAUAUAAAUGUCAUGUAAUGAUGAUACUUUUAAUUAUUUUUUAAAUAAUUAAAACAUAAUUAAAUUAAUAAACACAAUCUACUUAUAAUACUAAUAAUCUCAAAUUAAUAUUUAAUUAAUAUCAAAGUACCCUAAAUGGUCAACAAAUGAAUUACUUAAAUAACUAUAACGUAGAGAUAAAUUAAAUUAUAAAAAUUUAAAUUAGCACAUCAAAUAAAUAAAAAUAUAAAGCAUGAUUUUAUAUUUAUAAAUAAAAAAUAAUAAGAAAUAUAAAUUCAAAUAAAAAAUUUAUCCAAUGUUUUAAAAUGAGCCAAAAAUACAACUCUCAAUUUUACUUACAAAAUGUCGAGAGUACCCAUAAAAUUGGACAAAUUUUCUCUAUAUCCUAUAUGAACAUUUGUAACUGUCACAUCUUUUAUGGCUAUUAAUUUUCAAUUAGUGAUAGAUGAUAGAUUAUGAUUUUGUAAAAAAUUUUUCCAAAGGUAAUAAUAAUGUUGCCGGACAAUAAAAUCUUUAUUUUUUUAUGCUAAGUAAAAUCUUAAAUUUAUUUUUUAAUCAAAAUUAUGGAUACAUAUACAUACUAAUAUUAAAGGGAUUGAUUGAGUUGGUGUCAUGAUUUAAUCAAAUACUAAACCUUUUUUUUUUCUUGGUCAAGAAUCAAACACCAAGUUGGUAAAUUUACUUUAAAUCUAAAGUUAAAUUACAAUAAUAAUAUAUAUUUAGGAAUAUUUAUGUAUUAUUUUUUUAAAUUAAAACAAACUUUUUUACCAUCAUUUCAAAAAAGCUACCCACCAAAAAAGUUACUUCCUUUAAAAAAAUUUUAUUUUUAAUUAAUAAUUUUUUUUAUCCACAUAGUGGAUGUCUCAAAAUUUAGUACAUUUAUAAAUCUUUAGCUGAGUUUGAUACUAUAAGUUAAGUGAUGUGAACUUAAUCAGGGUAGUUAAAAUAAAUAAAUAAAUGCUUAUUUUUUCUCUUUUCUUAAUAACAAUUUCAAUGAGUUAUUUUCACUUUUCUUUUCUCAAUAACUGUUUCAAUAAGUUAUUUUUUUUUCUCAUUCAUGCUUUUUGAAAAUCAUAUAUAUAUAUAUAUAUAUAUAUGUUAUUUUAACCUAUUUUUAAAUUAUAAAAUUAUUUAUUAUUCCAUUCACAUAGUGCAUGUAUGUAAGAUUAAUAUUUAUAAAACUCCUACUAAAUACGAUUCAAGUAACACCAACUCAAUCGAAGAAUUAAAAAAAAAACUUCAUGAUGUAAUAAUGAAAUAUAAAUUAAUAAGGAUAUUUUAGUCUUUACAUUCUUUGAAAUCUGAUUCAGGUCCAGUUCUUUUUAAACUUACAUUUCUCUCUGUUUUUUUCUCUAUUACAAAACUAUACACGAGUCACUUUCCUAUUUUUCUUUGUUUUACAUUUUCAAAUAACUAUAUAUAUAUAUAUAUAUAUAUAUUCUCUUUUAACUUUUAUCUAAAGGUAUAAUUAUUGUUUAUUACUUCACCUAGAUAAUGGGUGCUUCAAAUAUUAGUAUAUAUAUAUAUAAUGCAAAAACAUUUCCUAUAAGAGGCUUAUCAUUUGGUAGAUAAAUUUAACUUUUGGCCAAUGUACAGAUAUAGUUUUCAUAGUUGGACAAAUGUAAUUUAUCAUUUGUUGAAUUUUAUACAAAAUUUCUCUUUGAUGAAUAAAUAUAAUUAUUGAAAAUUUUUAAUUAAAGGUUAAAUUAAUUUAAUAUAUGAAACCUUUUGUAAAAGGGAAUUUUAAGGGAAGUUGGAAUGCCAAUUUUUCUGAAAUUUCUCUAAGUGAAAUUGGUUUAUGAGGAGAGUCAAAAUUUUAUUUUUAGAAAUGAAAUUACGAACAUAUUGAUAAAAUAAUUUGCGAGGAAAUGAAGUUAAGAAAAAUUAACUCAGUUGCAUGAUGUUCAUGGCAUUGGGAAUUGAUGAAAUUGCAGGAUUCAACUCCAAGAGGAAAGUCGUGCUGGGAUCGUCUUGGUCUUCACAAAAAAUAAAAUGAAUCAUGGUUUUGAUUACGGGCCCUCUAAUUUGCUUUUGACCUCCUUUUACAAAGCAUAGCUAAAACUAAUAUAUAUUUUCUCUUUUUCUUUGUAUUCAUUGGACUUGUAUACUUUUUGAGACCUAACUAAUAUUCCUUUACUCCACGUUUUACACCAGAGUUGCAAAAUGCUAUGGCUUUAUCUCUUUUGUAACAGAUUUGCAGCCAGUAAUUCUUUUGUGUGCGCGUUUUAUAUAUAUAUAUAUAUAUAUAUAUAUAUAUAUUCUAAGAUAUAUAAAUUAUAUUAGGAUUACUGAUCAUCGAUAAUUUUAAAUAUUUUAAAAAAUAAUUUUAGAAUUUUAGAAUACAAUAAAAUCUUUUUUUUUUUUUUUGCCAUGUGAACGUUGUUUAGGCUCACUUAUUUUUACCACAAUUCUUUUUCUUAAUAUCUACACAAAUUCAAAUAAGGAUAGAGAGGUUUUGGGACAUAUGGAGCAUUAGUUUAUGAUAAUACCACAUAUCAAAGCCGUGAUUGAUGUAAUUAUAAACCUACUCGGUCGAAAUGUGCAUAACGAUGAAACUUUUGUCUUUUUAAUUUAUCAAAAGCAGCCGUAUUCUAAGUGCUAGGCCUUGGAUCAAUCCAAGUCAUCUUGCUUUCCACAAACAUCAAAGCAAACUUAGAAAUUUUAAGUCAGGAAAGCUAUAAUGAUCGUUUUCUAAACGCAAGGAUCAAUCAAGUGGUCUUGGUUUCAUAUACGUCAAAGCAGACUAAGAAAUUUUAGGUGAAGAAUUAAAGCUACCAAAUGCAAGGAUCAAUCAAUCUUCUCGCUUUUCUCCUGGAUCAAAGCAAAUCAUUCAGUUGUCAUACAUUAGAUAGGUAAUUAAGUAGUUGAGGUUGGGUGUAAAAGCUUUUAAUUUCUAAUAAUUUUUUCUUAAGGUAAGGUAAAUUAAAAUCUUUAGUAUAAAAAAGAUAGUACUUUUAAUUUUUUUCUUUAAAAGAUGAAUUUUUUAUAUAAAAAAAUUUUGCAGCCUAAAGAUUGGAAAAUGGAAUACAAGUAUUAGGAUUUAAAUUUUAGACCUGUUGAAUGUUACAUCUUAAGAGUAGUUGUAUAAACUAAAUAAGUUAAACUUUUAAGUUAUAUUGGUCAAGCUAUCUGUUUGAGCCUGAAAGCCUACCAAAAUUUGGGAGGAUUUUGACAUGAAUUUUAGACUUGUUAAAUGAGCUUGGGCCUAAAUUUUAGGUUGGUUUAAAAAAUGUGCCAUGUCUUGAACAUGAAGUAUAAGGCCCAAACCCUACUUGGCCCGAAUAAUUAUUAUAUAUUUUUUAUAUUUAUAUUACAUAAAAAUAAUUAAAUAAUUAAAUAAUAUACAUGUAUAUUAAAGGCGUUUCUUAUAGACAACACCUUCAUUAAUCUCAUACAAUUUUUUAUGAUGUGAUUAUUAAAUGCGUUAUCUGUCAAAAAUACGCCUAAACUAUUCACUGAAAUUUUUAAUAAAAAAUAUUUAAGGUGUUUUAGUCGAGAAUGCCUCUAAUAUAUAGUCUUGGAUGACGUUUAUAAGUAAUAACAUUGCUAUUUGAAUAUUUAUUUGAAUAUUUAUUGGUGUUUGGAUAAUAAAUGCCUUAAGUUUUAUAAAAACACGGAAGCUAGUUGUAUUUGUAAGUGAAAGGCUGCUACAAAAUUAUUGCUAGUAUGCCAUUUUGCUGUAGUGAAUAGAAUGAAAGUUCAUAUACUAAUCUAAUAGUUUUAUUUCUUUAGAUACCAAAUUAACAAAAAAAAUGUAUACUUCAAGGGCUAUUUUUAUAUUUAACUCUUAAUCUUUUUAAGCUUUAAAGUUAUUUAUUAUCCAACACACAUUUUGCAAAAACAUUUCCCAUAAGAUACUUAACAUGUGGUAAACAAAUGUAAUUUUUUACCAAUGUACAAAUAUAAUUUUUGUUGUUGGACAAACUUAAAUUAUCAUUUUGUUGAAUUUUAUACAUCAUUUCACUUUGAUGAGUAAAUAUAAUCAUUUGAAAUUUCUGACUGUACCACUUAUCUUGUAAUACAAAAUGAUCCCACUGUGAGAGCAAUUUUUAUGGUGAAACUUUUUAAUUGACAAAUGAUUGGUGAAUUAAAUGCAAAAUUAUUGGUGUUUCAAGUGCAAGUAGGACCUCAUGCUUAAUUUCCACAAACAUCAAACCAAACUAAGAAAUUUUUAAAACCGUUUUCUAAACGCAAGGAUGGAUCAAGUGGUCUUAGUUUCACAAUGUCAAAGCAUGGUAAUAAAUUUUAAGUAAAGAAAACUAUCAAAUGCAAGGAUGAAUCAUAGUCUUCUUAUUCUUAUCAUACCUUAGAUAGGUAAUUAAAUAGUUGAGGUUAAUUGGGUGUAAAAGCUUCUAAUUUCUAAUUUGUUUUUUCUUAAGGUAAGGAAAAUUAAAAUCUUAAAAAAAAUGAAAUUACACCAGCAUAUGUCUUAGCAUAAUUAAAUGCAUUUUUAAUAUUUUUUUUUUGUUAUUUGAUAGUUCUCUAAAUAAUAUGGUUUUUUUUUUAUAAAUAGUAAUAUUAAUAUGAGAAGGGAUUUAUUUAUACUAAUGUAACUUUUUCCUUUUUUACUCUUGGAUGAAAAUUAAAUUCAUGAUUCAUUUGAAUUAAAAUAAUAUUUUUAAAUUUAGUAAUUUUGAUCUAAAAUUUCAAAAAAGUGUAAGAGUUACACUUGUGUAAAUGGAUCCCCCUUCAUAUUGACGUAGCUAUUAAAAUAUUAAAAUAUUUAUUAUUGAAAUAUUAAAAAUAUUAAUUUUAGUUAUUUUUAUAAUAAUAUUUAAUAUUAAAUACUUGAAAAAUAGGAUUUAUUAUUAAAAUGUUUUUAUAUUAAUAAUUUAAAACAUUUAAAUAUCAUUAUUAUUAUCAUUAUUAAAGUAUAUUUAUUAAAAUUAAAAUUAAAAUAGCAUAUUUAUUAUUAAAAUAUUAAAAAUAAUAUUUAUUAUUAAGUCAUAAAAAGUAUUAUUUAUUUUAUUAUUAAAAUUGUAAUAUAAAAAUCGAUGAAACCUUAGCUUACCACUACUCUUAAAGUCUUAGGUUUAAGUCCCACUAUGUGUGGGUUUGGUGAUUGUUUAGUUAGAUUCUAAUUUGUUUUUUGUUGAUUGAUUAUGAUUGCAAAUUCUUUUAUGUUUGUAAUUUCAAAAAAAUAAAUGAUAUAAAAACAUUUGUCAUUAAGAUAUUAAAUGUACAAUAUAUUUUAAAUUUAAAAUUACAAAGUUUAACUAAGUUAGAACACGGAAAAAUAGAAAAUUGAAGCAGCAACUGGUUUUUUAGCAUUGAGAGGAUGAAUUUAAUUUUCCUUGCAGAGAAAAAAGGUUUAGUCGUGGAAAGAAAGAGAUAAUAGAAAAAAGGGGUCAAAGAACCGAGAGAAGCAAAAAUAGGAACAUAUUUAUAUUUUUAUAAAUAUAAAAACCCUAACCUAAUAAACAUAAAAUUUCUAUAAUAACUCUAUUACAAUAACCCUUUUUUUAUAGAAAGCUCCAAUCAAGCGAAACUAAGAUUCUAGAUAUGUCAGUAUUAAUUUCUUUUGUUGCAAUUGCUUGAAUACAUAAGCAUCAAUCAUCUGUGAGUUUUAUAUAAUAUUUUAUUUUUAUUUGUGACUUGUAAAACUUAUUUUUAGAUCCGUAAAUUUAAAACUCAAUGGGAGUAAAAUAUUUCAAAUCCAUCCUUUAAUUUCAUUAACAACCAUAAAAAUCAAUGAAAUUUGCUACCUCAGUGUCACGUAGCUGUCCACGUAACAACAACCUCAAUUCAAAAGGUCAAAGAGAUUCAAAAUUUUUUUACCGUAUGGACAUUGUUCAGGCUCAUUAUCACAUAUAUUUGUUAUAAAUUACUUAAGGGGAAGAUUAUAUACGUAUAACAACUACACAAAUUUCAUAUACAUAUGACAAUAUAGGGAUUGAAUUAAAAAAAAAAAAAAACUUGAAACAUGCAUAUAUGUAUAAUUUUUGUGUAUGAAAUAUGUAUAUGCAGUAUUCCUUAGGGAUAUGAAUUUUACCCAUACUCAAUGAGAAAUUUGAUUUUUUUUUAUCUAAACAGGAAUAGGAAUAAGUAUUACAUUGUGGUUAUGAAGAUGCAUAUGAUUUUAAAUUUUUAUUUAGUAUGGGGUAGGAGAUGGGUAAUAUAGCACCUUCCCCACACUUGUACCCUACAUAUAUAUUUAGUAUAUAGAUAUUUAAUUAAAUAAUAUAAAUUAUUAUUUUAGAUUAAUUAAAAUUAAUAUAUAUUUAUUGAAAAAAUAUAUAUUAAUAUAUAUUUAUAAAAAAAUUAUCUAAAUAUAUAAGAUAAAAUUAAAAAAAAUUUUAUUUUUUAUUUUUUUAAGCUAUGGGUAUGGGAAUCUCCAUACCCAUUAAAUACCUGUGAAGAUAGGAAUAUGAAUAAAUAUAAAACACCAAUUGAAUAUAGAUACAAAGAUGAAUAUAAUAUAAAAAUCUAAAAAAUAAAGUUAAAAGAUUCUCUAUCAUGCUCAUACCUUAACCAUUAAUAUUUCUAGUUUCUCAUUAGUUAAUUUAUUGUCUUUGGUAAUUAUUUUAAAUUCAUAUCUAUGUUUCGUUCUAGAAAUUUGAUACUCAUUCAUCUUUGUUGAGUAAAAAAUUAAAUUUUUUGUUAAAUAUGAAUAAAAAUAAUAUUUUUAAUUUUAAGUGCAAGCAAGGAUCUAUCAAGUAUCUUAUUUUCCACAAACAUAAAAGCAAAGAAAGAAAUAUUAAAAUAAGAAAAACUAGCAACCGUGUUUCAAGUACAAGGAUCAAUCAUGUCAUCUUGCUUUCCACAUAUCAAAGCAUAUUUUAAGUCAAGAAAGCUAUCGAGCGUGUUCUACGUUAAUGGAUAAUCAAGUCAUGCUGCAUUUCACAAACAUCAAAGCAGACUAAGAAAUUUUAAGUCAUGAAAGCUGCCGACAGUUUUCUAAACGUAAAUCAAUCAAGUCAUCUUAUUUUCCAAAAACAUAAAAGCAGAGAAAGAAAUAUUAAAAUAAGAAAAACUAGCAACCGUGUUUCACGUGCAAGGAUCAAUCAUGUCAUCUUACUAUCUACAUAUCAAAGCAUAUUUUAAGUCAAGAAAGCUAUCGUGUUCUAAGUGCAUGGAUAAUCAAAUCAUCCUGCUUUUCACAAACAUCGAAGCGGACUAAGAAAUUUUAAGUCAAGAAAACUAAUCACCGUUUUCUAAACGCAACUAUCAAUCAAUUAGUCUUGGUUUUACACACAUCAAAGCAGAUCAUUCUCUUGUCGUACCCUAGAUAGGUAAUUAAAUAUUUGAGGUUGGGUGUAAAAGCUUUUCAUUUCUAAUGAUUUUUUUUUAAGCAAAGCAAAUUAAAAUCUUUAUUAUCAAUAUGGCAGAUGAGUUCAUUUUUUUUAAUGUAUUUAAUUUAAUGAUUUAAUUUUAUUAUUUUAAAAAAUUAAUAUUAGUGUUAAUUUUUGGAAACUUUUAACCAAAAAAAUUGUGAAAAUUGGAAGAAGAGAAAAAGAUUUCUAUUGCCACGUUGACAAUUUGCCGUGUAAACACUGCCAUAAUGAUUGUAGAAAAAAAGGGUUUAAUUACAUUACAUGAUGCUCCCAUAACUUAAAAUACCUGUUUUGAAGAAAUAAAAUGGAACUACACCUAUUAAAGAAUAAAACUUUUAUGCACUGCACGUAGGAAAAGAAAAAGAAAAAUGCUCAACUUCUAAUUAGUAAUUUUUUAAUGAUUUUAAGUAAAAAGAAAAGUGCCUACACCAAAAGAAAAAGGGCUAUUAACAAUUGAAACCAAAUGAACCCAAACCAAAGAGAAGACAUUUCACACGGAUGAAUUAAAAUGUUUAGACAGUUUUUUAUUUUUUUCUUUGUGUAUUAAUCUAAUAUAAUUUUUGCAGGAAUAAUUAGAGUCACUAAUAUGAAAGUAUAAUGGGUUUUGAUAAUCCAUAAAUAGCAAAAAUUAUUUUAUAUAUGUUUUAGUUUUUAUUAAUCUCACUGCCUAGCUACUAACUUGUUAUUUUAUUUUUACGAAUUAUGAGUCAAUGAAAAAUACAUGAUGCGUACUAAUUAAAUGUGACAUCAUAUUACUUAAGGAAAAUAUUAUAUACACGUAACAUCUACACAAAUUUCAUAUAGAUAUUAGAAUAUAAGAAUUAAAUUAAAAAGAAUAAAUUUGAAAGAAAAAAAAUAAUGCGUAUGUGUACAAUUUAUUUGUAUGAAAUAUAUGUAAAUGGCACUCCCAAUUUGAAAAUAUUUUUAAAAUAUGAAAAUAUGAUUAUGUAAAUAACUUAAUAAAAAAUAAAUUAAGUUAACAAAUAACUUAAGAUAUGGUUCCUAAAAAAUAUACUUAAAAUGAUCAUGUUAAAAUGACUAUAUAUGCAAGCAAUUGACUGCCAAGCUCAGGAGAGUCCAUUGCCUUAGACUUUUAGGAAAAGCAGUCGAUUGCCAAGGGCAUAAAGUCGACUACUUUGUCAAACAUAAACUAAACUUAGAUUCUAUAUAAAUAGUAGCCGACUAUUAGCUUAGAGCAAUUGAUUGGUACGUCUAAAAAGCGAGUGGACUGAUCCCAAACCCUAAUCCAAUCGACUGCCAGUAGAUGAUAGUCUUAUGGGAAUUUAUCUAUGCUAAAUGCAUUUAAUUGCUAUUAAAGAUGAGUCGACUACUCUAUAGGAGACCAAAUGUGGAACCUUUCUGGAAAUUGAAAGGAGUCAUCUGUUCACUCGGAGAAUGCAUUUUAUAUAAAGAAAUGAGUCGACUAUUUUAUAGAGGAGUAGACUAACCUACUAUGAAAAGCAUUUCAAAAAUUGAAAAUACAAAGAAGCAAUCGUUUGCUUUCUUGGAGCAAUCGACUACUUUGCAUGAAAAAUUGUAAUUUCCAAAAACAGGAUAAAUGGUUUCUCUUAGAAUGAAAAGUUUGAUUAUUUAAAUGAAUAAAUAUGUUUGUAAUCUCUCAAAGAUACAUUUUUAUAAUCAAAAGGAAUUUAUCUUUAAUUGAAACAAUAUAAUAAAAAAAUCACAAUCUUAGGAUUCAAUAUCUAUGAAUAGAUAUUGAUGUGAGUUCAUUUUGUAAUCUAAUUCAAUUCAGAAUUACUUUCUUCUUUCUCCCAAUCUUUUCUCAAUUAAAAGCUUAUUGCUUUGACAUUGUUUGCUGCAGAAAACCUUGUAAAGACAAGAUAUUUUCAUUCCUACUAAAGUAUGUUUAGUGGUUUGUUAUAUUAGUGCAAAGUAUAAACAAACAAGGCUUCAUUUUAUGCAUUUUGGUUCAUCCCUUUUGCAUGCUAUAACUAGUUGGGUUGAUAUAAGCAUUAAGAAAAGUGACAUUUAUAGCACACUUUGAAGUAAUUUUGUUCAUAUUUGAAGGUCCAUGAUUGCUCAACUCUAACUAUUCAUCAAGAAGUUAUAAGAAGUUCUUAAAUUGUCAAAACAUUUAAGUAUUUACAAAUUGUAUCUUAUAGCUUUAUAUUACAAUAUUUUUCUAACAUUCUUAAGGUUUUGUUUCAAGCAAUAUGGACAAGUUCAAUUCCAUAAAAGAGAUGACAACCAACUUUUAAAUCUUGGACUGGUUUGAUGGAAGCAACAUCCUGAGGUGGCAAUUGUAGAUGCCCUAUUUAAUUUGAAAUCAUUUGUAAAUUCCAAUUUUUGUUUUUAUUUGUUUAUUUAUUUAUUUAUUUAUUUUAUCUCUUUUUUGUUUGCACUUUCAAUUGACUCCUUGAGUUAUAGUGUGUAGUUGAUUGUGGGGCAUAACAUUGUGGCUCUUGUUGGAUUAUUGGGAUUAAGUUGGCCCUUGUUGGAAUUCUUGGGCUGUGAUAGGUUCUAAACCAAGCCUAACUCCUAUUUUUUAUGAAUUUUAUUUUUUAUCUGAUUUAUCUCUUCUGUAAAAAAAAAAAAUUGAAAUUGAAAAGUCGGGAAGAUAAACAAAAUGAUAAAUAAAGAGAAGGAAAUCAGAUGAAUUUUGAUAAUGAUUUCUGUGAAGAUAAGUUGAAUCUUUUAAGAAUAAAGGAUAAGAUAAUUUUUAAAAUUAACCCAAUCAAUAUUUUGUUUCGAUUUAGAUUCUAAGCGAGCUGGGACUAAAGGCUUAUAUAAGCAACAAUAAUUGAAUACAAUAUACACAACAAGUAAAGGCAAUGGCAGAAGUAGAAAGCAAGUAAAAAAAAAUUUCGAUAGUAGGCCAUGGGUUCUUAAUUUGAAGAUUUUUUCUUUUUGCAAUUUUAGUUAUUUGAAUCAGUUUAAUUUGUAAAAAUUAGUGUUAUUAAGGGAUUAAAGAGCGCACAAAGAUCCAAGUUGAAUUUUUAGCAUUUUUUUUGAAGAAUUUAGAAAAUUUUAAAUUUUUUGACGAAUUUUAAAUUUUUUAGUGAAAUUCACAGUUUUUAGUGAAACUUGAAUUUUCCUAUGGUUUUGAGCAUGAUUGGUUCACUGCGAAUCAUUUUCUUGGAGAUAGUUGUGUUACAAACCAAUUUUGCAGUUUGUAAUCUGAGUAUUAAUGUUACAAACUAAUUUUAGCAUGAAUGGCGUGUCCUGGCUUUACCAUUUACUCUCUUUGUUUUAUUUUUUUUUGGUUUAAAAUUUUUAUGAAUGUUUCGAAAUUUUAUAUUUUUUAAUAUCUAAAAUUUUUAUCUUUUUAUCUUUUAAAAUUAUUUAUUAUUAUUUAUUUUUUACAUUAAAAAUAAAAAAUUUUAAUUUUAAUAUUAAAUAUAUUAAAAUUAAUUUUUUUUUUUGAAUUCUGUGAAAAUCAAUCAUCAUUAUUCUCCAGAGAGAGAUGAUAAUGAAUGGAAUGCAAUCAAGCUCGGGUUUUAAUUCAUUCAUCAAUCAUCAAUCUGCUGGACGUGCUCUAUUAGCACUUGUCUUCUGUAUACUGUUUCUAUGACAUGGUUUCCCAUGUUAAGGGUCCGACCAACAUUUUACCUAUUAUGACUCACUGUCACUUGUAAUUAUCUAUACCCUAUAUAAAAACUAUAGCCUUACUAAAAAAAUUGUUCCCAUAUUAUUUUUUUAAAAUUUUUUCCUAGUUUGAAAUAAAGGAUAAUAUUUCAUUGAAGCUAGAGGUGAGAAAAUUAGUUCAUUUUGAGUUGGUUCAUUUUGGAUAAAAAAAUGAAUUAUUUUAUAUUUGAAUUAAGUUGAGUGCAAAUUAAAAAAUGAUUGUAUUAUGUUGAGUUUGGAUCAAAUCAAGUUCAAAUUAAAAACUUUGAAUCAUUUCAAUUUUGAGGUAUUUCAAGUUGAUUGGAUUAAUUAAGAUUUAGAUCAAUUUUAGUUCAAAUUAUUUGGAUUUCGGAUUUGACUCUCGAAUUAUUGAGGUUUAAUAUUUUAGUUAUUUAUAUUUAAUUUGUUAACAUUUAAAAUUUAAUAAAUAUAAUUAAAUUUAUAAAAAUUAAAAUAUCAAAGUUAAAUGAUUCAAAAGUAAUUUGUUAAUAAUAAGAAAUUAUGUCAUGUUUAAUAUAAAAUUAAUUUUAUUCAUGAUAAAAAUUUAUUAAUGACUUUUAAUUUAUUAAUAUUCAAUAUUUAUUAUUAGUAAUUUAUAUCGAUAUUUUGUAAUCAUACUUGUCCGCGUUAUUUAUUAUAUAUGAAUUAAAAAUGAGCAAAUAACUAAAUAAUUUCAAAAAAAUUAACUUUCAAAAUCAUCACUAAUAGAACGAUAAGAUAAAAAAAAAUACUAUUAAUAUUGAUUACUUAAUUAACAUAAUGAUCUAAUCUUAAAACAAUUCAAAAAUAUCAAAAUUACUUAGACAUAAUAUUAAUAUAAUUUAAAUAAUUGAAAUUUUGAAUAGUAUAUAGUACAAAUGUGUAAUAAAAAAUAAAGAUGCUAAAAUUAUCUACUGUUAUUUGAUAGUAGCAUGGUAUAACACGACUUGACUCGUUGGCUGGAUUUUAAUUUUUAACUUUUAAGUUGUAACAUUUUAGUUUGAGUUUUAAUUUUAUAUAUAAUAAAAAUAAUAAAAAUAUAAUUGUAUAUAUAUUACAAACUAUUGUUUUAUAUAUAUUUUUAAAAAAUUUAUUCAUAAAAGACUUAAGAAGUUUAUUUGUUUAAUAGAACUAAUCUUAAUAUUACUUAUAUAUUAUAAGAUUAUUAUAUUUAAUAAUUAAAAUAAAUAAAUAUAAUAAUAUUAUUAUACCUCUAAAUUAUAUUUUAUUAAAAUUAAUAUUUAAUUGUUUAUAUUUAUUACUUAUUAAUAAAUUAAUAAAAUUUGAUAUAUUAAAUUAAAUUAAUUAAUUGAUCACAUUUGACUUUUGAUAUUUUCUUUCUAUCUAAAAGUAAAAAAUGUAUAAUUUCAACAAAAAUAGAAAAAAACCCUUCCAAUUUAAUUCUAACCAUUUAUUUUAAAGUCUAACCAUUUCGAGUGUGAGUUAAUUUGAGUUUAAAUCAUCGUUGAAUUAUAAUGCAAUAAUUACAGGUGAUAUAUCUCAUGAUUUAAUUCUUUGCCCUGAAACAAUAAAGAACCAGUAGCAGAUAAUUAAGUAAUACAGAACUUACAUCAAAAUUUUAAAAACACAGAGAUGUCUCCCUUCAUCUCCUCUUAUUCUGAACCAAGUAGAGCAUGCAUGUCCUUGUAAACCAUCCUCUCGUUCUAUCACAAGCCUAUCUCCCUUCGCAUAAUCCCAUAGGACUAAAAGAAUGGAGACAUUACUGAACUAGCACAAGGCACCACAGUUUGUAUUUACAUCUUCAUAGAAAUGAAUAUUUCCAUCACAUUAUGUUGUAAAAUGUGCAAUGCUCUCCUCAGUGCUAUUAAAGAAUGAUGGUCAGCUCCAUAGCCACCAUGGUGGAAAGUGCAACCCGUUUUUAAUAUCAGUUGCUACUCCACCCAAUUUGCAAAUGUCUAAUGUCAGCCUUUCUUUGAAAAGCUUUGGAACAAAUAAGACCUUAUAUAGAAGCUGGUAGAUGGUUCAUGCAGUUAUCCUCAAAAAAUGACAUCUAAUAGGUUUGUGGUUUGAAUUUCAGUACUUACAACUCCUUCUCUUAUCCCAAAUGCAAAAAAAAAAAGAGACCUUAUAUGCUCGGUGGCAGGGACUUGGACACUAGAAUGGAAACUAUAAGAUGGGUUUUUGAGGUUACCAUCUGGGAUGUCUAAGGAAGAAUUCAUGGUUCUGAAAACCCCUGGAUAGACAUGGAAUCAGGAUGAUAAUAAUUUGUGCUUUUGAUAAUUUAGUUUUUGCAGCACUCAAAAUUCAGUUUCUGCCCUUCUGACAAGGAAAUAGUGUUUUUCCUCUUCAAACAGUUACUCUGGUCAUUUAUUCAGUAUAAAAAACUAACUCAAAAAAGGUAAAUUAUUUCAUACUUUUUCGUUUUAUCUUGAAUCUCGAUCAUAUUACAUGUAGGCCAAAAAGGAUAAUGCAUUAGUGGACUUGAUCAAACUAAAAAAGCAGUGGCUGCAGCUCAUACAAAAUAAGAUCAUAACAUUAAAAUCCCGAAAUGGAAGACAGAUGCAUAUCACUUUGUUCUUUUUCAGCCAACAAUUUUCUUUAUGAAUUUCAAAAGGCAUGAAAAGAAAAAUUAUCACUGAGAUUAAGCCUUUAAAAAAAUGAUAUGAAAAUUCACUUAUUCAGCUUAUGUACAAUCUAUCUUGAAAGGCCUAGCUUCUCCUCAUAUACCUUUAAUAAAGAAAGAUCCUCAUAAGGGGUCACAAACCUUUGAAGGAACUCCUUUUCGGUAAAAAAAAAAAAAAAAAGAUAAACACUGAUUUUCUCAAUCAAACGUUUGGAUAGCAAAGAUUGAAGAACUUAACACCCAAGGACAAUUCUCAUCUCUAAGCUAUAUGGGAAAAGUUACGGAAGGUUUACUAUACAUCAAGAUUUCCAGUCCAUUUGUGUUGACAUAUAAAAAAAAAUUCGUUGCGACUUUAGUCUUGUCCUUAGAAAGCAUCAUUGCAAUACGGAUACUUAAUUCCACAAAAUGUUUUUUAUAUAAAAGUUUAGGAUGAAGCGAGGUUUUCCCAUUCCAAAGUCAGGGAUUUAUAUUGGAUUUAAAGAUUAUUGUGUCAUAAUAUAUAAAUUCGUAAAUUUAUCGUUAGAUACAAUUAAAAGAGUCAUCAUCACUAUUUUUUGAUUAAAUAUGAUUGACCACUUAGGUGAAUCUAUUUAUAUUCAUUUUAAGGAUGUCUUAAACUUGACUAAGGGUCCUUAAAAAAAUGUUUGGUUUACUAAUCAGAAUAGGGUUUGAGAGUUUGAUUAUAUACAAAAAAAAUUAUAGCAUCCUCACAACUCUCAUCCUAAGAUGAUAUCAUUUAAUUUUAAAUUAUCUUAAGGAUUAUUGGUUCUAAUGGUUUUUUAUUAAACUUUAAUAUUUAAAUAUUAAAAAUAAUUUUUAAAAUUUUUCCAUUAAUUUGACAGAAUUCUUAGAAAAUACUUCCUCAACAGGAGUAUUUAAAAAUCGUAUUUAUUUUUUUAAAGAGGUUCUGUCGUAAAAAAAAAAAACUUAAUCAUUUAUUUUUUAUUUUGCUUUAUUGAAAAUAUAUCUAAUUCUUCCACCAUUUAGGCUAAAAUUAAAAAUAUUUUUUCACCUAAAAAUUUUUUAAAUAAUCAUCCAUUUGUAAUUAUUAGAAAUUUCAUCCUCAGAAUUUAUUCUUUUUAUUUUGUGUAAAUUUUUUGUAUCUAAAUUUCUAUUGUAUGGAGACAAAUCUAAAAUUUUCACCAUUUUAAAAACUUUUAGAAAUACUUUUUUACCUAAAAAUUUCUAAAAAAAAUCAACCAUUCUUGAUUUCUUAGAAUUUCAUCAUCAACAUUUUUUUAUCAUUUCCAAAACUUCUCAUUUCUACCCUUUUUAUUUACUACAUUUAAAAAUGUAAUUAUUAUAAUUUAUCUAAUUUUAUCAUCAUUAUGGUAAAAUUUUAGAAAUAAAUUUAUUAUCUAGAGUUUCUCAUCUUGAAAUUUUUUAGAGGAUCAACCAUUCUUGAUCUCUUAGAAUCCCAACAUCAAAUUAAUUUUAUUAUUUUUCUAUUUUUUAAGAUUUAUUUUCGUUAUUUCUAAAACUUUCUAAAAUUAUUUUUUAAAUUUUUUAUGAUUUUAAAGCAAAUAUCAAUAUUGUUAUUGAAAAUUUUAUCUAAAUCUCCAGUUUGAAGAUAUUAAAAAAAAACUCUCAUUUAAAAAAAUUCUAGAAAUUCAACAAUUAUUGAGUUCCAAAAUUUUACUAGUUGGUAAUUUUCAUUUAUGUUUUAGGAUUAUAUUCUUUAUUCUUAUUUUCAUAAAUUAUUUUUAUUAACAUUUUCAUAUAAAUUGUCCACCAUUCUAGAGAAUUUAUAAGAAAAUUUCUCACUUAAAAAUUUCUAAAAAUCAACCAUUCUUGAUUUCUAAAAUUAUCUCAUUAGGAUAAUUGCCAUUUAUUUUAGAGUUUUUGUUUCAUUUUUUUUAUAUUUGGUGUUCAAUUGACGAGAAAUUAAAUUUUUUUUUUAGGUUUUUAACUAAAUUUUCCACCAUGGAGAAUUUAAAAGAAAUUGCUUAUCUAAAAAUUUUUUAAAAGUAAAUUCCUUACAAAAAAAUUUUCACUUAUAAUUAAAAUUUGAAUUAAAUUACAUGAUUAAAAAAAAAGGGUUAUUUAUCUUUAAGAUUUAUAUGAAAUACAUGAUUCUGAUAAUAUUUUAAUUAAAGAAAACUACUAGUAUAAAUACAUUUUAUUCUACCAUAUUUUAGUUUUUUAAGUGUGAAGCAACUAAACAUUUUUCUAGUUUAAGAAUGAAUGCUUUAUAAAAUGUAUAACAAAGUAAAUAAAUGAUUAAAAAAAAAAGAACCAGAAAAUUAAAUAAGGAAAAAAAAAAGAUGAAAACCUGAAAUUUGAGUUACAACUCAAAUCCAACGCAGGCUAGCCUAAGCUAAAAAGUAGGCUUGGAGUUCGAGGCUUCAAAUUGUGGGUUCUUGAAUCCUCCUCAGGUUACACUCAAAAUAUCAGCUUUUUGGACUUGGACCAGAUCUUCAAGUUCUAGAACAUUCCUUCCCCUUUCUUUGUUCUUUAUUGCAAAAGGAUAACGCCCAACUUCUCAUUUCAGCAACACAGCUCUCAGUUUUUGCUGUUUUCUCGUCCUUUUUGCGGAUAAGUUGUCACUUCCCUUAUUAUUUUCAGAAUCUCACAACACUUCGCAAAUUUAAACACAAAGACUAUUCUACCACUUCUUGGAAUUCCUAAUCCCAGCUACUCGGAUCAUUGAAAAACUCCUCCAAAUCCUUCCCCUUUCUUUUGCCGUUUGAAAGAAUACCAAAAGGUGCCUAACUAAAAGUGAAUCCCAAACCGAAAACCGCUGCUAGAAGAAUAUCUUUUGUUUUCGUCUUUCGAUUGUUGUCGAUUGUUGAUUCUAUCUCUGUGGCUAUUUUUGAUGCUUGACUCUGGUUAUUGUGUUUUGAUUAUUUGUUGGAUUUUGGAUCGAUGGUUACUAUUUGGGCAAGAAAAGGUAGUGGUAGUCUUCGGUUGCUGGUUUAGGUAGUGGAUGACUGAUGGUGGUGACUGGCAAUUGGGAG